This 98644-nucleotide long non-coding RNA is filed under the name Setaria viridis. RNAcentral describes it as "long non-coding RNA (SVIR_LNC001338)". The record is from RNAcentral. Lineage: Eukaryota; Viridiplantae; Streptophyta; Magnoliopsida; Poales; Poaceae.
GAGGGGAAUGCACCUCCUGUACAAGGACGUGCAGUCCUGCCAGGACGAGGACGUGCAGGUGCUGUGGUCGAUCCUCAUCGACUCGCACCGCCACCCGGCGCUCCUGAAGCUCAAGCUCUGAAGCUCUGGAGGAGCGGCCAGCAAUGGCGUGUAUUUAUGUGUGUGAGAGCAGCACCACUCCCUUUGCUCAGGCCUCCCUAGAGUUCUCAUCCUACACUAUCGUUUGUGGCUUCUAUGAGGAUCCUCAUUGGCCAUUACCGCCUUUGCUUUCCGAAACCCGAAAACUGAAAAAAUUCUGAGGUUGAAGAAGAAGAGAGAGAGAGAGAGAGAGAGAGAGAGAGAGAGAGAGAGAGAGAGAGAGAGGUUUCUAUGAUUUUCCCCCCUUUUGUGUUUGGUUUGAAAUUGUACCAGUGAGUUUGAAACGCCACCUGUGCUUUGUUUGAGCUUGAAAAAUGAGUGUGAGGUUGAGCUCCUUGUACAUAGACACAUGUUUGCUCAAGUGCCUUACCUUGGAAUUGUAUUGUACUGUAUUUGUGGAGUAUUGUAACUGUACAGUUGUGUGCAUGGGAGGUCUGGUUGUUAGAGUGUAUCUGUCCCAGCUUUUUGGUAUUAAAUCGCCUGUCAAUUUCUUGGUGCCCUGAGGUGUCUCUUGCCCUCGUUUCCCUCGCACGAAUGGCUGCCAAGUGGACAUGCUCAUGUGUAUUUUGGACUAGAAUAUGUGUGUGUGUGUGUGUGUGUGUGUGUGUGUGUGUGUGUGUGUGUGUGUGUGUGUGUUCAAAGUGUAUCGAUCGAAAACGUUUUUUCAACGCAUGGGAUCCAAAGUCGUAGAGGACAAUUCGGCUUGUGUUUGUUUUAUGAGAAAAAUUGCCAGAACACAAACGAAUAUCUUUCAGCGAAAGCCGGCAUUGCCGACACUCGUGUGUGUGUGAGAGGGAGAGCGUCGUCGUGGAGGCAAAGGUUACGUCUGAAGAAGUUGUUGAAAAAAGAUUUACAUGUUUUUUUAAGCAAAGAUUUAUGUAUGUGUUGGUUCACAUUAUAUUACCUUAUCUUCGAACUAGUUUAAUUUACAGUUACCAGAUUAAUUUUUAAUUUCAAAAGGAUGUCUGAUUUAACUAUACUAUCACCUACCGACGGGUUCUUCUUUCACAUGUUUAUAUGGCUCUCUUUGCAUCAGUAACAAUUCGGGUUGGUUAGACCUGAACCAGACCACCUGACAAGUGGGACCUCCUGCCGGACACCACACCUUUUGUGCGGAAUUUUAGUGUAAAUUCACCUUUUGGUCGCAACAGAUAAAGAAUACAAUUUCCUCCUCUUGAAAUUCUAAAUCAAAACAGAACUUGCAACAUGUACUGAUGCAUGUCUCCCAUGAUGCCCUUCUUAGGCCUACCCUUUCUCAUUCAACCCUGUAACUUAUGCUUGAGAUAAAUUUGAGGAGUAUUUUGGUCAUAUUUUCUCACAAGUUGCCGAGCCACGCAUGAUUGGUCAAAACUGACAAUUACUUAACAGCAGAGGGGCUAUAAUGCAAGCUAUUAUAAUUGCUAUAAAGAGAAACCACAGAAUUACAAGACCAAUGAAUUAUUGAAGAACCAUAGUUACAAAAGGCCGUAGUUCUGCAAUACAUACGCCAUAAAAUUAUGAGUUUCUGUACUACAUAGUGUGGCAGUGCAUCAAUAGCAAUAAACAGAAUGCCUGAAAUCAAUGUGGAUUUAUUCGUGACAUUGCGGGCAAUUGCAUCAGCAGGUUCUGUCCAGCCGGCCUGGUAAGCAUCCUGAUCACUGAGAAGCAACACAUGAAAGAUGAGUCAAAUGGUGGCCAAGAAGCAGGGCAUCUCUUUGUGAAUGCAUAGUUCAGAGGCAACCUAUGGAGCAGAAUAUAUGCUGACAGUGAUUGUCACAUUAUGCCACACAUUAUGCCAAACAGUAAGAGUGGUAAACUUGCAAUGCAGGGUAACAAGGUUAAUUAAUUAGGAAAAGAAACAUGAAAUUUGAUCAUGGUGAUGAAUAAACAGCUUUAGAAAUUUUGUUCGGCUCAAGCUACUCUGCUUCUAGAAAAUGAACGACCAAGAGAAGCAAAAUUUCCAACCAGGCGUGACACGCAAGCUUUGAAGUAGGGUAUGGCAUCUGGUUCUGUGCGGGAAAGAGCACCCAGAGGAGUAACGGUAAUCUGGAAUAAACAAGACAUAGUUAAUAGAAAUCUUUUCUAUAAGAAAAAUGGAAGCUGUGUGGUAGCUAGGUCAUUCUUACAUAUCCAUUUGCUAGGGACAUGUGGUCCAUGUCCUCUCCUUCCACUCCAUCAGAACUUCUCCCUACAAGCUGUUUGGAAUUCCAUCAACAAAAACCAUUAAUACACAUUGAGUCAUCCAUUUUAAUUCAAAAGGAGAUAUGUUUUAGUGUAGCUAGCAUAAUAAAAGAGAACCAAUAAAAUAAAAUGAGAACAAAAUGUCCAGAGAUCCACAAUGACACAAGCAGUUAUUAUUUAAGUAUAGCUACUCCCCAUUUAAAACUGCAGAAAUAUCAAUAAUGCAACACCAUUUAAACUUAAUAACUGAGAAGCAGGCAGCAUCCCAUGAUUUUAAUUGAACAUCACAAAAGUAGAAUAGUAUGACCUCAAGAGAUGAGAUGAGAUUCUAAUUCUCUACACAUUUGAUGGUUUUAUCUUUGAAAACUAUCUUUCUUUAAGGAUGCCUAUGAAAUCCAGUUCAAAUGUGAUUGGAACAAUAGCAUGGAGUUUGGAAACGCUAACUUACCACUCUCUUAAAUAAUAGGUCAUUCUCUGAUGGUGUGACUAGUUCACUGUCCUUUUCACCGUCAACAUCCAUGUUUGCUGUCUGGUAACUUUCUACUGCAGGCUUCUUGUAAACAGUUUGCUCCCAACUAAUUCUGGCCAUAUAUGUUCCUUGUUUUGUAAUUUUGUACCCCUAUUGCAAAGAACAGGACAGAUAAAAAAACUUAGGUUUCCAUCUGUUCAUAAACAAAGAUUCUGACAUAAAUGUUUUACAAAUAUUCCGAGGCAAAAUCCAUUAACAUUGGACAUUAAGUGAAACUCAGCAGAAACAAAAAAUUAUUAGCACUUUGACAUGUCCAGGGCCAUGCUCUAUAGUUUGUCCAGUUGUACAUGUAUAGCUUAAUGCAUUUAGGUUUGCUACCCCCGUACAAUUAUAAAAAGCGCAUUAGUUUACUUCAAAUCACUGUUGGAUAUUUACCUUGUGGUGUGCAGCAUCUGUUGGUACAUCUACAUUCAAGAAUGAUCCUUUAGGAUAUGUUCCAUUCUUGAUCUCGGUCACAAUAGUAUUUAUCAAUGGCAUACAAACCUCUGCAGACACCUUGAGGUCAUUAACACUGCUCUGACCUGCAACCCUGUACAAUUGGGAGAUCAAAUAGAGUUCUCAGUUUUGACUGACUUGCAUAGAUUCAGCACAUAGGAUGACAUGGCUGAGAGCAGGAAUAUACAAAUAUUGAACAUAUGUACAUCAAAAUUGAAUUUUAGUGUUUCAUAGAUUAACAGGUUCUGAGAUCUAUUGAAAUUGCAGAAGAGCCAUAAAUGUUCAAAUAAUCUGAACGUAGGAUUAUAAAGUUCUAUACGAAACUGGAAUUAGUUCAACUUCCCAAAAAACAAAUGCAGUUAUGCCACACGCACGCACACAAAAAAGUUUCUUAUCAGAGGUCAAUUCAUUUUCUAUAUCAACCAUUGGCUGAAAAUGGGGCUUCCUGAAAGGUAAAAGCGAUUAUGCAGUCAACUAUCAGGCCUUCCUGAAAGGUAUCACCAAAUAUCAGUCAACUACUUCUAUGUUUUCAUACUUUAGACUGUAUCAUACCAUUUGUUAAACACUUCAAAGGCUUCAAUUAAAACUGAAAGGACACAACAGAGCAUGUAACGACUGUUCCUUUGCAAACAAUGUACCCGAACCAUCUUGUUAACUUUAUGGUCCAUUUUGUCUAAAAAGGAUUUGGUUCAAACAUGUUAUACAAUGACUGUAUACAACAUGUACUGAAGGAUAUAUAUAACCAUCAAUGAAGCCAGUAUUCUUAGGUUAGAUCAGCAGUAAAACUGAAGAGCCUAUCGACAUAUAGAUCAUUCACAUGAAAUGCACAGCUCUAUAAGAAAGAAAUAAAGUAUAAAAAUGUUAUACAAAAACAUAUCAUAUUUUUUUGCCACCAAAUAACUAGCUGCUGAAUGUGAAAGAAAGUGGUUUUUGUACAUCUGAUAGAAUCAAAGAAGAAAAAUCUUUGCAUACCAAUCAUAUGACAUAGCUAUUGCAGGAAUCCCAUAUAAGAAAGCCUCCCUAGCACCAGCAACUGUUCCAGAAUAAAUACUGCAAAUUAAAAAGCAAAAACACUCAUGAUUCACUGGUAAAUGCAUAUAUUUAUUUCUGAAUCUAAAAUCGCAUCUAAUCAGCUGUUACAAUUUCCAAUAGAUAAUCUUGAGUUUUGAGGACUUCAUAACUCUAGCUAUAUAUGUUUAAGAUCAUGAGUACAUAUGUAUCGACAGACACAGAGAUACUUACACAUGGUAUCCACAAUUGUUUCCAAUGUUGAUUCCGCUAAGUACCUGCAUUAAGGAUCAUAUAAAAUAGAAUGGAACUCAAGAGUGUUUAUGACUAGAGGACAUGUAAAUAAAGAAACUAUUUGUAACCAGAAUUUAGAAUAAAAGCAUAAUAAGAAUAUCUGGUAUAUCUAUUAAGAUACUUCAAAACUCACCAGGUCAGGAACCACACCAUCAAAGAGCUUCCCAGAGAUGCCUAAAGAGGCACAGUCGGCAGGAGUUCCUAGCAUUAGUAGGAGAAAACAUGAGCACUCAGCAUGCAAAAAAGAUGUCUUUGAAAUUUUAAUGUGAUUCCAAAUAUCUUAUAUGGGGAAGUUUAUAUGCCAUAAGUUGAAGGAAUCAAUAGCAGACAAACCUGAAACUCCAAAUGCUGUAGCACCACUUAUAUCAACACGUUUACAGCGGAGUGCGGGGCGCCAUGUGAUGCAGUGGCUAACCCCCGAUUUGUCUCUGCAUUUUUUAUGAAAAGUAGACAAAUAUAAAACACUUAGGAAGGAGACUGGUGCCACAAGAUUAGCUUGACCCGUGGCCAACUACAAUUAAUUAAAAGACUACAUGACAGUUUUUCUUUUCUUCAUAUUUUUUCAGUUUCCUUCUCAACAACCAUGUGCAUAGAUAAGGUCAAUGACAAAUCAUAGUUUUGUUAAGAAGACCUUGACUAAAUGAACCAUAGUUGUUUCUUGUUUAUUUUUCUUUGUUUGGCUUAGGUACACCCAUACCAUAACUUGUACAUCACAAUAUACUCACAAGCAUUUUUCAGUGAAAGCAACUUGGCAACUUGGAUGGUGUAUUUGCUGCUAAUCAGUGAAAAUAAUUCCAAAACAUGUCCGAUUCCAUGUUGUGCACACAGCAUCUUGCAAAGCUGAUGCUUCCAUACACAGCGAUUAAAUAUAUUAUUUGUUUUCUUCCAAACUGCUUUUGUAGAUUCAUCAUGUCAAGGGCAAGUUCACUAUUUCAUUCUUUACAAGAAAACGACUUAGCCACACCGAAAACAACUCUAAACUCCACACAAAACAAGAUUAAUUAACAAAAAAUUACUUCUCAAGAUCAAGAAUUUAUUUUUCUUAUUUCUUUUACAGUAAAAUUAGGCCCCAGAAUUUCGCACCAAUGACCAACAGGGAGAACAGGAACUAACUGCAUCAUCUGCUGCAACCUGCAAAUCCAAAAAAUUCACGGAAACAAAAGAAUUUUUCUAUCACUCAUUCCUCUUCUUCGUCUUCCUGGGUGAGAAUGCCAAAAGGAUAAGGGAUGAAAACAAAAUUUUCCCCCUCUAAGUUCCUGUUUCCCCCCUCUCGCAUACUACUUCCUCCCAAGGCACUGACCAAAAUCCCGUGAUCCUACCACAGAAUAUCCACAAAGCACCAACCACAGAACCAAGGAAGCAAGAAAUCGGAAGGAAGUUGGAAGCAAGAUGGGAGGGAUCGCGAGGCGAGAUGGGGAGGGGGGACAUUUACGUGUCGGGCGCGCAGACGAGGACCCGGUAGCGCCGCGCGGCGACGAGCUGGUCGACGAGGAAGCGGAGGCCCGGCGCGUCGAUGCCGUCGUCGUUGGUCACCAGCAGCACCGGCGCCUGCGCCGCAGCAGCCGCCGUGGAGUCCAUGCGAGCGCAGCACGGGGAUGGGGAAGCUUUCCGUUUCCGUUCGCGGCCACGGCUCCCGUUUCGUGCGCCUGUUGGGGGUUUUUGGUUGGAAAGUUGUGAAGCGGCAACCGCACCCUGCCAUGGUUUGGGGAUUUUAUAUUGAGAGGGACUCCAACUCGUCACAUACAAAUAUAAAAUUACAUCUUUAUAGUUCAAUCAAAACUUUAAAAUUUUGACAAUCAACAAAUUGUGAGAUGUAUAUUUAUUUUGGAAACGUAAAAGUUAGUUAUAUGCAUAUAUUUAUCUCAAAGAUUCGCAUAAUAAUUUUAUUAGGAUUUCAUAAAACAAUGGUCAAAAGCACAUAUGGAGACCAUGUUUUAUAUGCAAGAUGCCAAGUGAUUUGUUGUUCGCAAUGAUCCAUUGAUUUUACAGAUGCGAAACUUUUAGGUCUAUUUUAUAUAAAAGGUUCUCCAAAACUUAUUGAGUAUCCUUGGUACUCAAGCAUGUUGAACUUCAUCUAUGAUUUUCCUACUCCAUGUCAUGUAUCCUAUAGAUAAAACUACAAGAUCAAAGGCAAUGAAGAAUUUGUUAGCAGAUGUAUGAAGUGCUUGCCUUAUGAUUUUAAUGGAACUUUUGAUUUUCCUACUUACACCACCAGCGUACAAUUUGAAAAAGUAUAUCCUUUGUUAGGAGAUUUUUCUCAAUUCACAUCAUAGUUAAUUCGUAUUCCUCUAACUAUUCUAAAUUUUUGGAAAUAAGAAGCGUGGCACAGAGAUACGACGUUCCCACACUUAACAUUGUCAGCAUUUCAUUAUGCAAUUGCUAAAGUGAAAUUGAGCAUUGUUGGGAAUAAAGUACUUUUGAAGAAAUAGAAACGGACCUAGCUAGAACUGAUACUUUUAUUCCUACUUUGCUGCAAUGAUUUACUUGUCGUUUUAGCUCCAAGUGCACUGAUAACUUUGAAUGGGUGCUUUUAGUUUUAGCGGAAGUGCCUCAACUACAACUAGAAGUACUUGCAUGAUAGAUAAUUUGUUUCAUUUUAUUUUGAAAAAGAGAAAGUCGAUUGUGGUUUCGAUAUUGAUUUGGAAUCAAGACCUUCUGUUUUUUGUGAGAAGAUUAAGGGAGUUUACUUGUGCAAUCAACAAUCAAGUUGUGUUCUGCGGGCUCCUGGUUGUUCUCUCUUGUAAAUGGAAUAUCAUAAAAUUUGUUUUGUCUAGAGGAUAUCAUAAAAUUUAUUGAAUGUUGUAACACCCUAAUUUUCAUCUUCUGCAAUUAAAUAAAAUUUAUUAGAUUUCUCUAACUUUGUAUAAGGUCUUAUGUGAAUUUAUUAGGCAUUAAAAUCUUUUUCUAAAUUAACUUAAUGAACUAUAGGUUUUUGUUUGUUGCAUUCAUGCUGGUUGCAUUUCUUUCUGCGUGAGUGUGAAAAAGAUUUAAAAAGGCGUUUAUACGACGAUUAGGUUCUUCUGAAAAUUUUCCAGCUUUUCCCGAAAUCUACUCUCAUUUUCCUAGAGCUAAAUCUAUUUAUUAGAAGGCUCUAGUUCCUUUUUCACGGGUUACAAAGUAUUUUAUUUGAUUUCUCAUAUCCCAAUCUACCUCUGGGAUUUUUUCUGGAAUUUUUUGUGAAUUAAAUGAAUUAUCUGGAUUACUCUGGAUUUUUCUUUCACGGGAAAUAGAAACCCUUUUCGUCUGGGCCGAGCCUUGGGCCCAACCUGCUCCGACCCAGCCCAGCAGCCGCACAGCUGCAAUUGUUGCGCAUAUGCCGUCGCCGGUAGCCAUCCUUAGUUCUGCGCCAAGGCAGCCACGCCACCCCUGCGCCCUAUAAAACGCGGACCCCUAGCCUCGUGUGCCCUGCUGCCUCCGCCUGAGGACUCGCCUGCGCUGCGCCGCCGUCCUGCAAACCAGCUAGCCGACGGGCCGAGUCAAGCGAUGCUGCCAGUUUUCCACCAAUUCAUGCGACCCGAUCCCGAAGGAGCAAGCGGCCGCCACCCUGAGCAUCCCCUCGCCUAUCUACAUACCUGCCGCCUCUUCUCGUCACCAUCCUGCCGCCGGAGGAGCGCCGCCGAGCAAGACCGAGUCGCCAUCUCCUCCGUCCGCCGUGUGCCAAAUUCCAGCGGAAAUCCGUCCUCCCCGUCACCGGUGAGGACCCCUGCAUGAUGCCCUCCAUCUCCCCUAUUUCCUGUGCCUCUCGCUUGAGCUUGGGACCACAUCAGUCGCCGCGAUUUGGCCGACUGAGCUGUUGUUCGCCAUCGGCUAGAGGAAGAAGAAGGUCCUGCUAUUUUUACAUUUUGACCCCUUGGAGGAUCUCGUAAUACUAGCUUGUUCCUUGUAUCUUGUUUCAUCCAUACCCUGAAUAGAUUAGUUUUCUAUCAAUCUAAUCUAAGCCUUAACUUUUUAUAGAUCACGGGCACUAUUUGGUGUGACUUCGGAAAUAUCAUUUGCUUGCCCUAUAGUUUACCUUUAUUUACAUCUAGGUCCUUCAAACCAUGUUCAUCUCACAUCUUUUCUGUUUUAGCUCCGAUUCCAGUGAUUCUCACGCUCACGCGAUCCUUGCAACACAUAUGAUAGUUUUAAAGUGUUGUUUUAAUAUGUUUUUAUUGUUUGGUGUACUGUUUCUUAUUAGAUGUAUUUGUUUGCUUGUUUAGUUGCUUUGGACUUUGGAUGAUUGUGUGACGCUAGAUAGAGCGUAGUUCGAGGAAUCUGAAGAAAAAGCCUUUGAAGACUCUGAAGAGCUAUAAGAUUUUAAGGAAGGCAAGUUGUGCCUUGAUCACAUUUUAUCCUAUACAAUAUUUAUAUAUGAAACAUAUACAAUAUUUAUAUAUGAAACAUAUAUGCUUGGCACACCUAUGUCUUAAUUUGAAGGGUCCUAAUUAAGGAUUUAUCUAGUUUCCAUAUUAUUCCUUGUCGAUCUGGGUUUUUAUUGUUAGGUAAUUAUGCUAGUUGCUAUACCUGAUUUAUGAUGGGAAGUAAUGAACAAUGUGAUUUAUGGUGGGAAGUAACGAACAAUGAUGAACCUGAUUUAUUUAUGUAUGUAUCUUUGUUAAUUACAUCCAUUCACAUGCCUUAAUUGGAACAUAGAGUGACCACUUAGGAAAACAGUACAACCAUAAGACCAACGGGCUCUAGUCUUGGCUUACUAAUUAGAGACUCUGGUUUGUGGUGGUUUUACCGAGAGGGCAAGAGGGGUCUUGUGAUGGGGUAUAGCUCGACUCUUUUGAGUGGUAUUCUCUUUGCAAAUACUCACCUUAGGGGAGGGUUAUGCACAUGCAACUAUCGAAACCUUACCAAACUACUACCUACUAGGGAAUCUUUGUAAAGGCCUCGUAGUGUCUCUAUGCAGUCACACCUCAGUAGUAUGAUAAGUGCCUACUUUUACACAGCAUGGUUAGGUCUAAAGUUCUCUUGAACUUUUACGCGACUUAUGAUGAAAGUGUGCAACCUUUGUAGAGUGUAAAACUAUCAGUCGUGCUCACGGUCAAGAGCGGUCUGGACCCUCGCAUGAUAAUUGAACUUGAAGAAUAAUUAACUUUUGCUUUAUUUAUGCUUUAUUUAUGUGCUUGUUCAAUUAUCUUUAUGCUUAAUUGGGUGGUAUAAACUUACAUUCUAGUAAAUAGCUUGCUAAUAAAACUUGACCAACUUUAAAAGUGAUUAAAUGCACUAAAUCACUCAGCUAUUCCUUGACUUGGCCUUACACUAUACAUUUCCUCAUACUUGCUGAGUACCAACCAUAAGUGUACUUACACUUGCUAUAUCUAUUGUUCAGUACAAGACAACUUGAAAACUUUGAAGAAUUGCUACACGUACGUUCCCCCAGUCAACUACAUGUGAAGUUGUUGGAGAUCCACUGCUUGUACUAGAGAUUUUUAUCGUAUUCCUAGUUAUGUAAUUUUUUAAUAUUUACUAAAGUUAUCGUAUAUGAAACUUAAUCCUGACACACGUACGAUAGUCAUCUGAUUUUGCCUUUAAAACCGGACGUGACAAAUGCCAUCGGCUGCGGUGACGCUGAGCUACGAAGAUCACCAUCUCUGGGCCUUGGCGGGCUGAUAAUAGAAGAACGGCCUAGCCGUCAGCCGCCUGAAAGGCCCCCCAACUCAAACGCUGAGCCCUUAUGGGCCUUUUGGUCCCUGUCCAGUCCAGUAACGUAUUGGACUUAAUUUUUUGCUGUUUUUCGAAAGCCCAUUGGUCAACUAUGGCGAUAGUUAGUUAGUUCUACUAAUCUUGGUGCAUUUAAGUGAGUCGAUAAUUGGUGCAUCAGUCGAUAAGCAUGGGAAAUUAAAUGGGCCAUCCUUCCCCCUUUAGAGAAUCACAUUUUUUAAUCAGAAAAGCAAAAUUGAUUUUAGUCAUUAUGUUUAUCAAGCUUUGAAUGUUGAAAACAACCAAGUUGCGACUCUAGAGGAACAUUCAGUCAUAGAGAACAGUUAGAAAACAAAACAAUGAUUAUCAUUUAGAGCGAGUUCUUUUAACCAAGUCUACGUACGGACGAAGAGAUGCUGCAUGUCAAAGCCCUGAUUUGUUUCAUCAGAAACUACAAUACCUAUUUUUUUUCUUAACGGUAAUCAUGAUUACGUCUUGGGUUUCCUAGUGGGGAGGGACUGUUGGGCAGGGGGAAAGUUAUGGAAGAUGCCGACCAUGGUGCUUCGCCCACAACCGUGGAGGUACACGAUAAGGAGCACUACCGCCCAAAACUUCAUCCACCGCCGCGUCAUUUCUUUAUUCAUCUUCUACGGGUACCCCAAUACACAAACCCACAAAUUUGAAGGUCUUUGCAUACUCCUUUUCUUUUGAAUAUAUAUUAUGUCUAAAUUAUAAAGAACACUUAUCUCUAUCCACCCGCUCAAUGAAACUUUAGCUCCUAGUAGAAUCAGUAUACAUUAAACUAUAUCCACCUGAGAAAGUUAACAAAACGAGAAAGCAUCGUACCAAAGUUGCGUAUGAAUGUACGCCAUGCAAUUCUAUUUAUUAAUAUGGUAUUCAUAUAGUGUAUAUGUAUGUGACUAGAAAGGCGACAAGAAACCCCGCAUCCGUAAAAAAGGUAGUGAUAUCUCAUAUAGAACCUGCAAUCAAGCACUUCUGUAUUUGAAUUAUGAUCGCUUUGUGCAAUUUUUGAUUUGUCAUAGAAUUUGCAUGUUGCAUAUAGGUUAAUCCUAAAAUACUUCUUACAAUCAUAAGUUCUAUAAAUUAAAUAAAUUUCUAAAAGAUAUAAAUGGUAAAGUCCUAUAUUUCAAACAUCUUAGAUAUGUAUGUGCAUCACUCAUUUUAGUUGACACAAAUUGUGGUUUAGAACAUCAUCUAACAUGCCGCAAACUAAAGAGAGAUGAGCAUAGCUCUGGCAAAGAGAAAACACUUGAUUUUGAGGAGAAUGCUACCAAUACAAAUCAUCUUUUAGGUCUUACACCUUUUCCAUAAGUUCCCUCCACAUUUAUCAUAAAUAACAUGAAUGCCCUAAGGAUUUAUUCAAAUUAGCUACGGAGAUAUUUUUAGUCGCAUAUUAUCCAUAUAUAAAUAUAAACUUUAACUUUUAACAUCCCCUCUCCCAUCCAGAUGUGAUCAGACUAGUUUGGUCGGGAAUGUUGUAUAGUUAAUUUUAUUCUCUGAAAAUCAUGUUAAGCCAUGUUCAUGAAAAAAAAAAGAAUUUGCUACAUGAGUAUGGAGGCAAAGGGGUCUGUAGUCUAGUGGUUGCCGUGAUCUUUUUGGAGCAUCUAUGGGAGUGAAAUUCAAGCUGCAUAAAAAAAAGUUGCUCACUAAUUUUCUAGGCGGUUUGGGUGAACCGACAUGUGGUGACGGGUCCUUGUGCAAGGAGUUGGUAGUGGCUUGUGACUCAAAGUACGGUUACAACCCUAACCACAGAGGCGACAUCGCUAUGCAUUAGAGGGACUAAGGCCCGUUUGUUUGAGCUUCUGCUUUUGGGCUUUUGGCUGGAAAGCUAGCUUUUUGAAAGCUGGCUUUUUGGUUGCUGACCUUUUGCUAUUGGUUUUUUAAUAAAUUUUUAUCUUCUCAGCACACCAAAAGCUAGGAAAAGCUCCUCUCAGCCAGCUUUCCAGCUUUCGGUUCAUUUUCGAAAACUAGCCAACUGGAUUGUUUGUUUCAGCUUUCCAGCUUCUGGCUGCCAAAAGCCGAAAAGCUGACCCGAGAAGCUGAAACAAACAGGGUCUAAUUUUCAUGACCUUUCUCGGCUAGGUUUCGAUUAAGUAAGCUUUUCUUAGUGAAAUUUCAUGCCCCUCCAUCCCUCACUCAAGCUAACUCAAAACUCCGAUUUAAGAAAGGAAUACUAAACAAAGAAAUGAGUCGUCCCUUAAUUUCAAAUCGCCCAGACUCUGGUUGAAUUCUUCUUAAUAAAAUACCAUGGGGACGGUUACCAAGUUUUUAAGCACGGAGGGUGGCUAGUGCUAUCGUGUUACUCCUCAAUGCGUAGAUGCCGUUGUGCACGUAGCAGAAUCUGACUGAAGCUGGGAAAGUGCUGCUUGCAUUGUUUGUAACGUUGUGCGUUGUAUUCACCACGAUUGGUGCGGCGUGGUGCUGCCACGAGGCCCCGCGACAAAUCCUCCGCCCGACGGCAUCUUCGCCGCCCCAUCCCCUCCCGAGCUUCCAUCCCCCCUCCCUCCCCUCACACAAAACUGCCCCCUUCUCCCUCCCUCUUCUUUACCACUGCCGACCAGCCCACCAUCCCGCCACCAUUCCCACCACCGCCCCACCGCGCGCUCGCUGCCGCCGCGGCGCUUGCUAGGUAGUAGCCGGCCGCGCGCCAUGGCCUCCGUGGCGGCCACCUCCACGCUGGCCCCGGCCCUCGCCGCCCGCCGGCGCCGGGCGCGGCCUGGGGCGUCGCCGCUACCGCUGCCGCCGCGCCGGGCCGCCGUCGUGCGGUGCUCGCUCGACAGCAACGUCUCCGACAUGGGCGUCAACGGUGAGUUAGCGUUGCCCUGCUCGCGCUUCUCUUCUGGGGGCGGUGUCAGCUGGAAGUGGGUUCAUAGACUGUUAAAUGUUUUGUUAAUCCUCUCUGGGAUUUCCACACUGUAGUUCCAAUACUCCCUUAGGCCAUAAAAAGUUUGCCUUUUGGGCUGGAAUCAAACCUGGAGCUCCAAAUUGGCUAUCUAUAUGUGUGGAAAUCGGUAUCAUGUUGAUUUUGGUUCAGAGGUUCAUUCAUGGUACUGUGAUUUUUCCUAUGCUCUAGGAAUAUCUUAUAAUUGGAAAUGCCUCUCAUAGUUGUGUUUUAGAGACCCUGCCGGUGUUCUCUUUUCUGACCAAAAGUGUAGAAUUCUGGGUAGAUUGCUCCAAUUUUUCUGAAUUUGUGCUGUCAGUUCUGUUUCAGUUUCAAUAGCUUUGGGCUGAAAUGCCAGGUUGACUUGGAAAUUCUAAAUGAGGAUCUUUUACAUGUGUGGCAGCUCCCAAAGGGCUGUUCCCACCUGAGCCGGAGCACUACAGGGGGCCAAAGCUCAAGGUGGCCAUCAUUGGGGCAGGCCUUGCCGGCAUGUCCACUGCUGUCGAGCUUUUGGACCAGGGCCACGAGGUUAGCUUAUCGGUUGCCUUCAGCAGAGCUAAAUGAUCUCUUAUUCAGGAAUGCCACUGCCUUUUAAUUGUCUUAGUUGGGCAUAAUAUGUUUUGCAGGUUGAUUUGUAUGAGUCCCGGCCAUUUAUUGGCGGCAAGGUUGGCUCAUUUGUCGAUAGGCAAGGAAACCAUAUCGAGAUGGGCCUGCACGUGUUCUUCGGGUGUUACAGCAAUCUUUUCCGCCUCAUGAAGAAGGUACAGGCCUCUGUGCAUUGAGGUCACUGGACACAUACUGAAUUAGUUUAAUUGUACUGUUAGCUUGACUGCCCUACUUAGAUAAAUCUGAAUUAGUUUUAGUUGGAGACAUUUUUAAAUUGGAUGUCUUCAUAGUUCCUAGAGUGAAGUAAACUUACAAUACUGGAGUGUAUGGCAGGUAGAAAUGUGCUAGCCUAUUUGUGUAUGUGAACGAAUUGGUUCAGUGGCUUUCCGGUUGAUGAUUGUAGCACUGGUAUUGCUGCCUUAUUGGACAGAUUUAACAGCAAUGAAAUUAAACCUCAUUGUAUUUUAGGUUGGCGCUGAUAAUAAUCUGCUGGUGAAGGAGCACACACAUACUUUUGUAAACAAAGGGGGCACAAUUGGUGGUAUGUUCAGCUAUCAUAUACCCAUCAAUUUUUUGUGGAGUACUUUUAUACUGCAAUAUUUUGAUUAUUCUUAAUUGUUUUUGGAAUUGCUCUAUGCCUAUGAUAGGGAAGAAAAGUGCAAUUGCUUCUAGUGUGUUUAAGUAUUAACCAACUAGUCGAGUUUAAGAAGUAAAAUUUUGAUCUUGUUUUUGCAUGUUCUGCUAAGGGAUUGAUUUGUAUUUUCCAAGAAAUAACAAUGCUUGUGUUGCCCACUGUGGCACGCUAUUUACUUAGUCCUGCAGUAUGUAUCUUGAAUUAAGCCAGUUGUAAUAAAGCAUAACAUGUCAUGCUACAACUGAACUGAACUAUAUUUUGUUGUAUAUUUCCAUGAACUUAUAAUGUAAUUUUUCAUUUUAAUUUCCUUGGUUUACAGAACUUGAUUUUCGGUUUCCGGUGGGAGCCCCAUUACAUGGUAUUCAAGCGUUCCUCAGAACUAACCAACUCAAGGUAAAUUCAUAAUUCAUGACUAUUAUAAUAUUAAAGGAGAACAUCAACUCAUGAAAUUAGUUUAGUCUUGAAUUUCUUUCUUCACCUUUUGGAAUUACAUGCUUUCCCAUCUGCCAUAAAUUUUCUCUUCUUGAGCUCUAUCAGUAUCAUGAUCAUGAGUCUUGCCCUAUGCUGACUAUUUCAAGCUGCCAUUAUUCAACCACUUAAACAUGUUACAUCCUUCUGAUACGUUUUGUGCCAUUCUCUUUGAAUUCCAUCUGUAUUCACAUAUUUGUAGCCGUACACCAACACUCCUGAAAGUGGUCUUCCCUCUCCCAUUUCAUGUGGUUACAAAGACAACAACAACAACAACAACAACAUAGCCUUUCAGUCCCAAGCAAGUUGGGGUAGGCUAGAGUUGAAACCCAACAAGAGCCACAAAUCAGGGUUCGGGCACAUGAAUAGCUGAUUUCCAAGCACUCAUAUCCAUGGCUAAAUCUUUGGGUAUAUUGCAUCCCUUCAAAUCUCCUUGUAUUGCCUCUUCCCAUGUCAAUUUUGGUCUUCCUCUGCCUCGCUUCACAUUACUGUCACGCCUUAGGGUUCCACUACGCACACCGGUGCCUCCGAAGGCCUUCGUUGGACAUGUCCAAACCAUCUCAGCCGGUGUUGGAUAAGCUUUUCUUCAAUUGGUGCUACCCCUAACCUAUCACGUAUAUCCUCAUUCCCUCGUAUGACUACAAAUCCAAAGCAACAUACGCAUUUCCCUGCUGGACAUGUCGUCUCUUUUAGGCCAACAUUCUGCACCAUACAACAUUGCAGGUCUAAUCGCUGUCCUAUAAAACUUGCCUUUUAGCUUUAAUGGUACCUUAUUGUCACAAUUCCUGAUGCUUGGCGCCACUUCAUCCACCCCGCUUUGAUUCUACGACUAACAUCCUCAUCAAUAUCCCCAUCUCGUUGUAGCAUUGAUCCCAAAUAUCGAAAUGUAUCCUUCCUGGGCACUACUUGGCCUUCCAAAUUGACAUCUCCCUCCUAAUGUGUAGUAGUGCCAAAGUCACAUCUCAUAUAUUCAGUUUUAGUUCUACUGAGAUAUAUUUACUCUUGCCACAACUCCAGUUUCCUAUUUACUCUUGCUCGACUUUCAUCAACUAGCACUACAUCAUCCGCGUUCAUGUGAUUACAAAGGAUUUCUUUUUAAGAAUUGUUACAACCUGUCAUAUUUUUAUGCGAAUUAUUGCAUACAGGAUAUAUGCACAAGCAUGCUAUGCCAUUUGAAAUAGUUUGCACUUUGCAGCUAAUUAUUAAAUGUCAGUAAUAGUACAAUUUUUCACAAUAUAUUUGCACUCCUAUUCUUGUUAUAAGCCAUGGAGAAAGCAUAGUAAAGUCCUCAUAGAUUCCUAACUACAUAUCCUUGAGACUAACUUAAAUUAGCAAAGCUUGUUCAUGAUCGUGUUAUCGUCAGACAGAGAGUUGUGGUUUAUUUCGCAGUUAAUAUUUAGUUCUUUUUUUAGUCUAAAUUGUAAAACUUCUUAUUUUUCCCUGUAACUAUCACUGCCAUUCUCAUUGGAAGUGAAGGAUUCUUUUUAAGUGCACUUGAAACAAGGACUGAGGUGUUGUCGCUUGUCAAUUUGUUUAGUAACUACAUACUACUUAAUUACAUACUUUUCGUUAAACCUUUUAAUUCAAAAACAUUUGAAUUAUGUCACAGGUGUAUGAUAAAGCAAGAAAUGCAGUUGCUCUUGCCCUAAGCCCAGUUGUUCGGGCUCUGGUUGAUCCGGAUGGUGCAUUGCAGCAAGUGCGGGACUUGGACGAUGUAAGUAUUCAUGGCUUUUGUUUAAGAUUCAUUAGGAGUGUAUAUCUAGGACAUCUGUAGGAGUGUUCAUGAAGUAUGUUUUUAAAUUUGUGCCAUUAUAACCCAGUGAUAGCUAUUUUUUUUCAAUUUAAAUGUAAAUUUGCCAGUGUACCUUUUUCAGGUUAGUUUCAGUGACUGGUUCAUGUCCAAAGGUGGUACUCGGGAGAGCAUCACAAGAAUGUGGGAUCCUGUUGCUUAUGCUCUGGGUUUCAUCGACUGUGAUAAUAUUAGUGCACGAUGCAUGCUUACAAUUUUCACCCUGUUUGCCACAAAAACAGAGGCAUCUUUGUUACGCAUGCUAAAGGGUUCGCCUGAUGUGUACUUAAGUGGCCCGAUAAAGAAGUACAUAACAGACAGGGGUGGUAGGUAUGAUGACAGACAAGUUUUCUUGUGAAUUGUCUUUGUCUAGGUACUACCAUAGAUCUGAAAACUUACAUCAUGUAACAAAUCCUUCAGGUUUCACUUAAGGUGGGGAUGCAGGGAGGUUUUGUAUGAGAAAUCACCUGAUGGAGAGACCUAUGUUAAAGGCCUUCUUCUCACAAAGGUAAGAUUUUUUUAUCAGUAUAUCAGUUUCUGCUUUGCUUGGUUAUGCAGCUAGAUCAGAGAUGGAAAAUAUGACGAAUUAUGUAGCCUGAACUAUUCUUUAUAUUUGUAUACUUAUAUUGUUGUCCUCGGGAUAUUUUUAGGCCACAAGCAGAGAGAUAAUCAAAGCUGAUGCAUACGUUGCAGGUUCAUUUUCUGCUUCCUUGUCUUCUCUUUGUUUUGUAACUAACACCUCCAACCAUACUCAACUUGGUUUUGAUAAGUGCACAGCUUGCGAUGUCCCGGGGAUCAAAAGACUACUACCGCCAGAAUGGAGGGAAUGGGAAAUGUUCGACAAUAUCUACAAGUUAGAUGGUGUUCCUGUUGUCACUGUUCAGCUUCGGUACAAUGGAUGGGUUACUGAACUUCAAGAUUUGGAGAAAUCAAGGUAGUUGAUGUCCCCUGUUUAUUUUGUAUUUUUGUUACUUAAUUGGUUUUAGACCCAGUAAUUUGCAACGCUCACCAGUCAUAUACGAAUCUUCCAUGAGGAUUACAUUUGUUUCUUCUAAAUGAUAUUUUGUGCAAAUACAAAUUGCAUUUCUCUGUGCUUGCUCAGUGAUACUUCUCGUCUUUGAUGUAGACAACUGGAAAAGGCGGUCGGUUUGGAUAACCUCCUGUACACUGCAGAUGCGGACUUUUCCUGUUUUUCAGACCUUGCACUCUCAUCUCCUGCUGAUUACUACAUUGAAGGACAAGGUUCCCUGAUCCAGUAAGCCUACAUUUUUGAAGAUUCAGCGCUCUUGAUAGUAUUCACUUUUUGACGGAUUGUUUUGAAGUUCGGUUUUGUAUACACUUUAUCUUGCUAGGUUAUCAGCAUGUUUUAACUAAUGUGUUUCAACUAUCAAAUUGAUUUCCUUGUGCAAAUGUAUUCACUUUCAACACUUGAUUCAUUUGCAGAGCUGUGCUAACUCCUGGUGAUCCAUACAUGCCAUUGCCAAAUGAGGAGAUCAUCAGUAAGGUUCAAAAGCAGGUAGGUUCGAAAACAACAUAUGUUCUUUUUUGUCUUAUUACUGCUAUAACUGAUUGUUGCAGGUUGUUCACUUUACAAAUAACUAAGCAAGAUCUCAUUUGAAAGUACUUAAAGAGAAACGAGAUUUCUUGUGAUUGUAUUAUAUAUUUAUAUUCUCCCAAGCUAACCUCAAUACCAUUACAUAUGAUUACCUGCAGGUUGUUGAAUUGUUCCCAUCUGCCCGGGGAUUGGAAGUCACAUGGUCCAGUGUGGUGAAAAUUGGACAAUCUUUGUAUCGUGAGGCUCCUGGAAAUGACCCAUUCAGACCUGACCAGAAGACGCCUGUUAAGAACUUCUUCCUAUCUGGAUCUUACACGAAACAGGUAUUGUUCAUCUACAGGAAUCACUGGAUCAGGAAACAAUAAAAUGUUAUCACUGGAUUUAAUUUGAAGGGAUGCUCCUAAUAUUGUGUUAUGCGUCCAGGACUACAUCGACAGCAUGGAAGGAGCGACUCUCUCAGGCAGGCGAACCGCAGCCUACAUCUGCGGUGCUGGAGAGCAGCUGCUGGCCCUGCGAAAGAAGCUCGUGAUCGACGACAGCGAGAAGGCGCUGGGGAACGUCCAAGUCCUGCAGACAAGUUGAGCCUUGCCAUCGCACAUGCUGGAGUGGCCAGAUUAUAUCAUUCUCGCUCCUGGUGGCUGGCGAGCUCUUGUAAAUCUGAGCUGAGCAUUAGAUCUGCUGCUGCCUUAUUCCCCGCAGUGGCGUUUCAGAUUCCUGAUUCGAGAACCAGGUGUCUAGGUGGCAUACGGGAUUACAUCAGGCAGUGUGUGUGUUCAGCUGGAACUUGACGAUCGAUUGCUGACACUGAUAUAUAGUGCACACUGUUCUUAGGCCUCGCGAGAAAAUAGCAAGUAAUUAUCUGGUGGAAAUUGCUGUAUGAUUUUACUGGUGAUGUUGAUUCAUCUUGGUCCUGUGGCUCUUAUACACACAUUAUGUAUUAGCAACUGUUUUCUUUUUACUUUCUAUUUGAGGAAUACAGCUCCAAGCUUUCCUACUAGCCUCUUCAGUUCUUAUGGAUAUUUCGUUAUUGUUUAGCCAUUUGCAAUUGAACUUGGCUCAUGGAAGAUGUCUUGUUCCUCGCCGGCCGGCCGCUGUGCUGGAAACCGAAACCGGUCAUUUUCCGGCGUUGCCUGCCGCCGUCACCGGCGACGAGUGGUGGCAGCGAGUGAGAGACAGCGGGCAGCUGUCGCGUGUCGUCCCGAAGGCCUUACGACCUGCUAGUUUCUCACGGCCACGAGAGCGCGAGCUCCUGCGUUUGGUUUUGUUCUUGAGCAAGCGGCCAGUUGGUGGCUGAUGGCGCCGAGCCCAGCCGCCGGGCUGUCCCUGACCCGGCCGUCUAGCGGCCACCUGUCGCCCGCCGCCGCCGGCAGCGUCCUCCAGCCCGUCUCCGGCUCGCACGUCUCGCAGCAGCGGCGGAGGCGGCGCUUCGCGGCGGGCGUCGUCCGAGCGGCGCCGGACGCGCCGCCGGCGGUCAGGGCGGCCGUCAGCGCCGUCACCGAGCUCCUCAGAGUGUUAUCCCCAAGCAAGAAGCCCAGGCAACCUAGCUUAGCGCCUUAGCCUCUCGUUCGUCAAGCUCAUCGUCCGCUCUGGAAUUGGAAUUUGGAUUCCGUGGCAUCCAACAUUUUUCUUGGCUCGGCCGCGCAGGGAUGCCGCCCAGGAGGACAAGGCGCUGGAUCCGCCGCCUUGCGACAGCGUCGAGGAUGUGCUCGCCGUGCUCCAAGACGAUUACCGGCGCGCCUACUUCCUCACCGGUACGGGUUCCUGGCACCUUGCUGUGUUCUUUCAUCAGGGAUUGCUUGGUGGCAGAUACAGAUUGCAGAACAGAGGCUGACAAAAUUGUAAAUUUUGAUGCGCGCAAGAGAAAUGAUAACCAACUCCUCUAGGGUUGCAGGGGAUUUCACUCCGGGAAUAUACACUGAAGAUUGCUUGUUUGAGGAUCCGACGAUAAAGUUCCGUGGUAUGUAUAACAACUCUCUUGUGGAACAUUGUUAACUGGGUGAAGCAAAGCCAUAUCGAUGCCUGAUGUCUCCUUAUUUGUUUAAGAGCUGAGGAAUUUGUGACUAAGGAAGGGUGCACUCUUGUUCCUCAUAGGACUGUCUAGGUACUCUCAGAAUCUGGACCUGCUGGUGCCGUUCUUCGACAGCCCUUCACUUGAGCUCGAAAACAUUGAAAAGGUAACAAAUGCCAUUGUUGACUGGAAUUCAGUGACUUGUUUGCGGUAACUUUGUUUCUGACUAGCAAUUAUAUGUUGGCAUCUGAAAAGGUUUUAGUUCUGAAUUGUAAGAACUCACUUGCCAUUCUUCUUGUUGUACUACAACAAGAAAGAGUUGUAGCCUUGUAGGUUAUCUCCUAGCUGAACUGAGCAUUUUUUUUAGUAACACUGUUAUCUGAGAAAAAAAGAGUAUGAACAUAAGAUCCAUGUAGAAACACGUUCAGUCUGCGGAUUUUUAAAAUUGUAACAAAUCUCACAGGGUUUGAGGGUUGAAACAAGGUUCGUCAAAGCGACAUGGAAACUAAGGUGCUUCUGCAAGCUUAAGAAAAAUGUUUGAUUUUUCCUAGUACUUUUAAAGAGGGCUGUCUCCGUUGAUAACACGCCCUGCUAUUUUCAGGACAUAUUUGAGGCUUCCAUGGAGGCCCUUGAUUGCGAUCCGAGGGAACACAACCUAUGAUCUUAACGAAGAUUACAAGGUAGUGAUUGCAAAACCCAAACCAUGUAAACUUACCUUCUCUUUGAUCAAAGGAAAUCGAAAAUAUUCCAAAAUUUUGUUUGCAUUUGUUCAGGUGGUUCGGCACUCUGAGAGCUGGGACGUCUCUGCGCUCGAGGCCAUCGGUCAGAUAUUUGUGUCUGCUCCGGAGCAGCGGAAAGGCAGCUGAGGUUGAAGUGGAAUGUGCAGUAUGCAAUACCACACAUGAUCAGAAAUACUCCCAUGUAGCGUCAGAGACAGCAAUGUUCAAAGCUGUCUGCCAGACCUCCAUUUCAGAAAGCAGCAAGCAAUGUUGAAACUGAAACCAUCGUUUUCUGGCGUCAGAGAGCAAAGAUAGUGGAUCAAGGGAGUUGAUAGAAACAAAUGGCGCCAUUUGACUUCUAAUUGUACCCAUUUAAUGGAACUUUUAAUUGUGGUGAUUCAAGGGUGGAACAAAGUCAGGGCGAGCGAAAAAGUAGAGUGCAGUAGCUAAGAUGAAUGUGUCACACUGAUUGGACUUUGAAGACUUGUACUUUUGCAAGUUGCAUGAAACAGUUCUAUUUUAUAAAAAAAAAUAACUAAAGAUCACAUCAACCAUUUUUCCCUUCAGAUAUUUUAGAAAGAUUUUACGCCAAUGAUCCAGGUACAAAUUUCAAUUGAAAUCCUUGGAUUAAAUGUGUAUACUAAAGAAAUACGGCUCUUGUUCCAAACAAACAUUUUCUUCUGUCCAUCCAUUGUAUUUGACCUCCGCUGAGCUUGCCUAAAUGGGCCGGCCCAUCUUGUGCCCAUAUUCUCUCUCUCCUCCGGAAGCUUCUCCGGCCUUCUCGGAGUAGAGCUCCGCCACCUACCCAAACGCCAGAGAGGCAGGAAGAGCGCCGGUGGUGACGGUGGGAAGCCAAAACUCUCUGCAACUCCGGCGAGCAUCGAAACCACGCACACGAGGCCGAGGAACCUUCGCGAGGAUGCUCUCCAAGCUCUCGGCGUGGUUCGUGAACCCGCGCCGGAACCCGCUGGCCCGCGCCCACCGGAACGCCGUCGCCUCCCGCCUCCGCAAAUACGGUCCGUACCGCUCUCCCCGACACCCUCUAGGAACCAAGGGUUAGUUGGGCCAAUCGACCGGCCGCCGGUAGGUAGGCUAUGCUAGGUUCGUAGGCGGCGGCGUCACUGAUCGGAUUCCUUGUUGCCGUCGGUGCAGGGCUCCGAUACGACGACCUGUACGACCCGUACCACGACCUGGACAUCAAGGAGGCGCUGUCGCGGCUGCCGCGGGAGGUGGUGGACGCCCGUAACCAGCGGCUGAAGCGGGCCAUGGACCUCUCCAUGAAGCACAAGUACCUCCCCGACGAAGUCCAGGUCAGAAUUUGUGCUUGUUCCUCGCUCUGUAAUUCGUAUGUGCUGUAUGCAAUUGCCAAUUGGGAACGGAAGUAAUUUUAGAUAAUUGCAUUUCCGGACUCUGGUGGUGGUGGUUCUGCUCGAUUGCCAUAUUAAGUUUAGGUGGAUUCAUAGGAAUUGGAAUAUUGGAUGCAGAACAAGUGAAUGAUCAUUGGGCUUGGGAUUGGGUUGUAGAAUCGACCUAGACCCUUGUGAACUUGUGGAAACAGAAAGUAGUAAAGGAUUUUAGUUAUCGCUGGUGUGAUUUCCCCCCUUUUGAGCUCUUUUGAGUCAGAGGUUGUAUGCUUGUAAUGCUCACUGUAGUCACUCAUGCCUUAGUCUGUGGUGGUGGAUAUGGUAAAUUGCCACAUUGAUUUUAGGUGUAGUUUUUCCUAGUGGGUUAGUUUCGACUUCCGAGCAGGAUUUGCGUCACGAAUUGGAUAACGAUUAUUUGUGUAGGUGAUUAGGGAUGGGUUCUGAACAUCGUUUUUAUGUGCUUGUUAAAUGGAAAAUGUGGAAGCUUUAGUGAUUGGCUGAUUGCUAAUGUGGGUUUUCCUGCUUCUGACGUCUGUUUGUGGCCUAAGGUUCCCUAGCCGAGUUGGUUAGUGGAACCGAGUGGCACUCCUCAAGUCCUGGGUUCGACUCCCCGUGGGAGCGAAUUUCAGGCUGGGGUUAAAAAAACCUCCUCGUCUAUCCCACACCAAAGCAUGCUGCAAGGCCCGGCCUAGGCUCACGCGGGCGCAGGUGCCGCCAUGUAAGGGUGGGGCAGGGGUUCGGGGGUUUUCUAGGCCUGCGUGAGAAGGUCUUUCUUUUUAAGCCAAAGCCCGGGGGGCCGUCAUACCCCCCCCCCCCCCCCCCCCCCCCCGCAGGUCUAGUUUGACGUCUGUUUGUGAACUUGUGAUAGCUAUAGCCAUGUAUGGUCAGCGCAAUUAUUCCAUGUCUUCUUUUGCUGUGCUGUAUAUAUAGAGGUUGAUGCAGCUAGAUAUAUGUUGGUAUCAUAUAACUCAUUUAGUUGGUAGAGUCGCAUCUGGAAUUCACCAAGGGUUGUUUGUUAAAUGCUGCUAUCAGGCUCUAUUUUGAUUGCCUGAUGGGACAAACAUAAAUUUUUAAUAGGCAUUGUUUUGCCAGUCACCACUAAAUUUAUUUAUGAUGUUUCUAGAAUCCACUGAGACUUCGGUCCGUGCAUCAAAUGAAUUGACACCUUGAUUUCUUUUGACAGGCAAUACAGACGCCAUUCAGAAGCUACCUUUCUGACAUGCUUGGUCUUGUGAGUGCAUUUGUUUCUCCUAAUCAUUUCGUUUCUUUCCAGUUAUGAUUAAUCACUUGACCAUAAACUUCUCGUGAUACUGUUUUUUUGUCCAUACUUGUUUUCUGCUUCCUUAUACCAGCAUAUCUUAUCGGUAAAGGAUCUUGAUUGCAUGGGACUUGCUAGUUUCUUGCUCUUGUGCAUAGUCUAUGCAGCUUGUGCUUCUUGCUCUUGCAUGGUAGUUAACAAAAAAAAGAUGUAAAGAUAAACCUUUUCAGUUUGGAGUUUUCUUAUUACCAUUGUCCAGUAUAUUUGUAUCAUCAAUUGUAGGAGGACAUGAAAGCAUAGUAUUGUUGUCACCUUUGAUAUUGAUGAAUGGUGAUCAACUGAUCAUCUAAAGGAGAAUCAGUCUAACAAUGUAAUGGAUUUGUCUUGUGACUUUGUUGUUUACUUGUUUUGAUUUCACUUGUUUCAUCACCUGUUGUCUGUAGAAUGUGUCAUCAAUGUAUUAAUCGAUGAUGGUAUGUCAGUAUAUGGCUGAAACCUAUGCAUUGAAGGCACUUUUCCAUUAAAUGUUGUUAAGAUUCAACCUUAAUUGAAUAUUUUAUAGUACUUCCACUUAAUCAUAUCCAAUUGGAAAUAUUUCAUGGUAAAAUCAUCCCUCUAUGGCUGUUUUUUGAUGCAUCUGUAUUGCAUUGCAGGUGAAAAAGGAGAAAGCAGAGCGUGAAGCACUUGGAGCACUUCCCCUGUACCAGAGAACCAUCCCAUAAAACGCUUUCUUUGUUACUUAUGAUCUAACAAUGAACGCAAUAAAAUGCAGCAGCUGAUACUGUAAUAUGAUACUGUAGUAAAAUGUUACGGUCGAUGGAGCCUUGUAUAUUUAUGAACGCUUGAAUGAACUGGGAUAUCGUUACUGAAGUCCGCUCGGUGCUACUGUUGAGUACAGUUUUGUGUCAAUUAUUUUCAAAUUAGUUGAAUGACUGAAUUGUACCUGAAGCGGAUCGCGAAAUCAUGUACUCCAGUGGUGUAGUGCAUGAUGAGCAAUCGUGUGCUAAUCAAAGCUGCUACUUCGUGCUAGAACUGCAAUGACAGAAUGGGAGUACCAGAAUUGGAGACAUUGGCUGUCUUCCAAGUUUGGGUGUGCGAUGCAAUAUCAACAUGCAGUGUAAAGGAAUUCUUCCUGUAUUCCGUAGAAAAGAAGGAAAGUAAGUUCCGUGUGUUUUUCACUGCUUGACCCGGUUAAAAGUUGUGUGUUAUACAAAAGAACUAAAAAUUGAGUUAGAGUUCCGUCAUUUGCUGAAGCAGGGAUGCAUUAGAGGCUUGGGCAUGAGCUCCGCCAUUUGCUGAAGUAGGGAUGCAUCAGAGACUUGGGUAUGACUCUGAACCUUCUCCGUUUAGAUGGAUUCUGAAACCUGGAAGGCUGGAACUAGUAGAAGGUUAAACCACCUCUCCAGUCUCCACCACCAGUCCACCACUGGUCCCGUGUGUUCCCAAGUUUUUUAACUUUUGAAACUUCACCAACUUCCCCUUUGUACAUGUUACCUUUAACCCAGGUACUGAGAUGUGUCUGGCAUCUGUCCGAGUCUUUUGUGUUUGCAAGAUGCUGAAGAAGACCGCAGAAACUCCAAAUCCCAUAAAAGGCAUGUUUGUACCCAUCUGCAAAGUAUGUGAACAGGAACUAGCUUUGGGUUUUGGAUCCCUGCUACUGUCUGAAUGUGCACAGUGUGUACACCACGCAUGUGACUACCUACUGCAACUGCAUAUGGCUGGUAAAUCUUGCAGAACCUCUCAGCAUGUACACACAUGAUACACCACAAAGAAGAUUGUCCAUUGCAGUUCCUUCAAAAAAAAAUUAGACACCAUUGUCAUUAAUCUCAUCCUAAUCCACACCUUCCUACCUACCUGGCUACCUACACUUACAUAUAUGCUCUUUUGACAGUGAGUUUAUCUGGCAUGAUUGGAUGCUCAUACUUUUCCAUAUGUCCAUCCCCAAAUGAUUGGCUUUUCUGAGUGGAUGAUAUGUAGCUUUCACAGCCCUGGAUAGCCUCCAUAAGUGGAUCGCAAGCAGGGUCCUCCCCCAACCUCCAUUGUCCCGGCACUCCAGCAGUGACCACCAUGCCAUGGCGUGCACAUGAUCAGGAUCAGCCAGCAGCCUCAUCAGCUGCCGUGAGUGAGUGAGUGACAGAGACUGUGAGAAAGUGAAAGGGCCCCCUCUCCCCCUGUGCACCAUGCAUGGUACAGUCCUAGCAGCAGCCUUUUUGGAGGACAAACAUUGUUGCAUUAUUGUCUGUGUCUCCUAGGCCAUUGGCCUCUUCCAGCCAUUGUAGACAAACGCCAUAAAACGCCUGCUCCGGACUGGAUCGCAUACGCGUACCUGAAUUCGGCCGACGCCGUUGUGUAUGUGGCCAAUGUUUGCUUCUUUUUUUUUGGUUUCUUGCAGUGCAUGCCACUGUAAAUUUGAUUGUUUGGCAGAUUGAAACACCAUCAAAUUUUUCCUAUAACUUAGGCCGUGUUUGGAAUGCUGAAGUCAAUUUUUUUUUAAAAAAUAAAUGUGAGAAACCCUGCAGGAAAGAGAUUUCAACAAGACCAAAUGGGCACCGUGUUGAGUGUCAUGUGACUGACCCUCUCAUUUCACAAUAAUGUUUCCAAAGAAUCCAAGCUGACGCUGUAUUAUAGACAAUAAUCCGUGCCCAUCUUUUGCCGCCCACCAAUAGUGGUAGGGCAUGAGCCAUCAUUUUGUGGAUGCAAGUAAUUUGGCGACGUGAUCACAGCUGUGGACUUGGGAUCAUGGCGCCUAAUUAGGUUAUUAUGCCCCUUUGUGCGUAGAGGAAAGAUGCCCCUUUGCUGUGGCUCAUGAGCAAUGCAUUUGCAUGAUGGGAGAUUAGAAAAUUUUGUUUUUCUUAACUAAAGGGUGCUGCAGCAUGAUUGGGAUAUCACAGUAGCACUUGCAAGGAGCUAGCAUUAAGUUCUCAUUUUAAUCAAAAGCAACAAUUGAUUGCUUGUUUAGAAACAUUUGGAAUGCAAUAAGAAUAGAGGGGGGGAAAAACUCCCAUGCAAUUUAAAAUAAUUUCAUACAAGCAUCCAACCGUACGAAAUUCCAAACAUCUCUUGACCACAUAAAGUAGGAAUGUCAGGCAGGUGAAUUUCCAAACAUCUUCUCAAUUUAAUAUAAUAUUAUGACCUUAUUCCCUUUCCUGACAACCCUAAAGAUUCCCAGCAUGGUGCCCUCGAUUUUCUUUCAUUUUCAUUCCAAAUUUGUCUGCAGCAUUGCCUCAUCAGGAGUCAGGAGCAUCUCUCGCUCAACAAAACAGAUGCAUGCUGGUGGUAGGAAGAUCGAAGGGUACACUUUCUGGGCUUGGCGUGAGUGGACAAAUCCACACCCGCUAGCUAAGCAACCGAGCAAGAGCAACCCAUGUGAGGCUUCUUCCCUUCCCUCCGUCCACACACCUUUCUUGCGUGGCAAAGUGACAUGCUGAGCUCAUGUGAUGGUGCAUGGGGGAAAUAGUUUACAAAUCUUUGGGCAAAAAGUGGCCUGGCUGAAAAAUGCAUGAGAGAAAAGUGGCUUUUGUGCAAAGGCAAAUGUUUGGGGGUAUGGUUUGUAUGGAAAGAAAAUGGAAAUGAACUUAGCAAAGGUACAGUGAAUUUUCAUGAGUGCCAACAUCAUAGAAUCAUACAUGGGAUGGCUCACCUCCAUCCAUGGAGUAUCCUUUUGAUGGUUAUGGUAGUGCCCUCACAAAGUUGCAUUGGCGCAAUAAUGUUGGCGAGAUAGCGCAAUAAUAAUGCGGUUUUUGUUAGGGGGUGUUUGGGAACACCCUAUUAAAGUUUAACACCUAUCACAUCGGAUGUUUAGAUGCUAAUUAGGAGUAUUAAACAUAAGCUAAUUAUAAAAAUAAUUGCACAGAUGGAGUAUAAUUCGCGAGACGAAUCUAUUAAGCCUAAUUAGUCCAUGAUUUGACAAUGUGUUACUACAGUAAUUAUUUGCUAAUGAUGAAUUAAUUAGGCUUAAUAGAUUCAUCUCGCGAAUUAGCACAGGGUUCUGCAAUUAGUUUUAUAAUUAGCUCAUGUUUAAUCCUCCUAAUUAGCAUCCGAACAUCCGAUGUGACACUGUUAAAGAUUAGCCUCCCGUAUCAAACACCCCAUUAGUUGAGUUGAGUUGUGUGAGCACCGCACACAAUAGUAAUGAUUUGGAUUUUAUUUUUAAUUUGCAGUGCAUGAGUAAUAAUUACUUGGAGAAAGAUGAAUGGAUUUAGGUAUUUGGGAAUGGAUUCCACCUGGUCCUUUUUGCUAUGAUUCUGUGGCUUUGGGAAGGGACGCAGCUUCUGGAACAAGCAAAUCGAGCAACGCAUGAUGAGUGGUGAAGCUUCUGCUCGACAAAACUCUAGUAAGUUUCCAAAGUUGCAAGUCUCCUUCAAAAGGCAGCGGCAGAGGAGGGAAAGAGGCAGUGUCAGAAGUAACCCAACAAGUUUUAGGAUGGAUCAGGCUUGUGCUGGGCCAAAGAAAGGCUGUUUUCUUUUGGAGCCUAAAACGUUGUAACUUUUUUUUUACGUCAGUAGAUAAAAUAAUUGAGUUUAACAUUACCCAUACUCCCUCCAUCCCUAAAUAACUGUCACUUUUGAUUUCCGUGCUACAAGUUUAACUGAAUUUGUAGAAAAUACGUGCACCAUUUGUAUCUUCAAAUAAAUGUAUUAAAAAACUAGAUUCAAAUAUCUAUCUAAUGAUAUUAAUUUUGUAUCAUAAAUAUUAAUAUUUUUUUAUAUAUAUUUAAUCAAAGUUGUUCAUCGGGAACCGAAAACGAUAGUUAUUCAGGGAUGGAGGAAACACGUAUCACUGCCUCAUUUUUAUCACGUCAGAUGGCGAAAUUAGACCCAUGAUGCCGCCAGUUGCUGAUUCAGGGCGACUGGCAUUCACUCCAAGGUAGAGUGAGUUGAGUCAGAGGCGAAUCCAUCAUCUUUGGAUUCCUGAACGCAAGCUUCAAUUUUAUCCUAUCGCGGGUGAAAGGACAACAUGGUUAAUGCCUGAGUACCUGACAGUGGGUCCCACCGGAAGCCAAUGAUGGGUAAUGGUAAUGGUAGAGGUUCUUGGCUUGCUGCUGCAGUGCAGGCCUGCAUUGACUGGAUGUUCCUGUAGCAUUGACCACUGGUAUCCCGAGAGAAGCCGAGACCGAACGAGGCCGGCCGAGGCAGAAUGUAAUCUUAUGAUUACUACUGAUACAGUAUUUGCAAGGUUUCCAUGGGCUCAUGUUAAACACCAGUGUGGGCACCUUCUUGAAGUGGCCGUUGCGCUCGAGUACUUAGCAUUUAAGCUCUCCAUCUCAAAUUAUUAUUUAUUUUGAUUUUUUAGAGUUAAAACGAAUAAUAAUUUCGGACGGAGGAGUAAAUGGAAACGCUAGGUACUAACUCCGAAUGGCUGCUGAUCCAACGUGCUGAGUGUGCACAUUGCCUAUGUUUUGCGUAAAGAGUAAAUAUCAUCAACAGUUAUUAAAAUUAUCUUGAGUUCUCAUCCCGAUCCGGUACUGUCAUAGGGAUUUUAAACUAAGUUCAAUCUCAUUCAAAUUUUUAGUGGCUAUGGACUUGGAUGAGAGCUCGUGACAAGUUUAGAAACUACUAUGUGUAUUUAGAGAGUACCGUCACCGGUACGAGAGUUCGGGAUAGAUUUAAGGACCAUGAUGAGAGCUUAGGACAAAUUUAAAGGUGUCACGUGUAUUUUGAGAAUAUCAGGAUCGGGAUGAGAAUUUGGAACAGGAACUGUCCAUAAAAUUUUCUUUUCGCAAAACUUGGUCGAUGCAUACAACUCAAAGAGAGAGUCGGCCUUAGCUCAUGUAACUUAUCAAACGAAUAAACAAAGUUGCUGGCUAAGAUGAUGAGCAGAAUUCCGUAGUGAUAAUAAAGCAAGUAAAAUACAUGUCCUGAUGAGGAAAAAACCAUGCUCAAGCAUUGGCCCAUGCAUGGUCCAUCUCGGCCGUUAUAUCUUUCUGGAUCACAAUCUUUUGGCACUAACCAGACACACACACAGGCACACACGCAGCAUAAAGGGCCUGUUCGCUUCAGCUUAUUCAGCCGGCUUAUCAGCUAUCAAAUAGUGUUUUCCUCUCACAACAAAUCAGUCGUUUCAGCUUUUCAGCCGGCUUAUAAGCUGAAGCGAACAAGUCCAAAAAGGGUAAAUAAAAGGGCUUUUGGUGAAGCCAAAGCUCAUCAACACAGCAAAGGCUAGGAGGAGUACAAUCACUCUCGUGAUUCGUGCUACUCCGGUGCACGUAACGCACGCCCAUGUUCACCCACACGGUCUUCCCUCUCGUGCGUGUGGGCCCGAUCAAGUCAAACAUAGAGGCCCACAUGUCAUCCCCCGCACGCCCUCGACAGCCGUCCACCGCAUGUGCUGCCGCCUUCACCCGAGCGAAUCCAAUGCUCCGGCCCCGGCACGAGGCGCCCCUCACGUGGGGCCCGCCCGCUGACAGCAGUGGCCAGUGGCUGGCACGCUCGCUCGCGGGCAGGCUGCAGCGGCGGAAGGGAUAGACACACGGCAGCUCAGCUAGCUUUGUUCGUGACAGGUAGGACCGUAUGAUGAGCGGGACCCACACGUCAGUGGGGAGCGCGCGAAACUAGUGCCUGUGACGAGUGCACGGGCGCGGGGGGCAGGGUCGGACCGGGACGUGUCGCUGGGCACGGGUGGCGCCACAGUGGACAAGACAGGAGGCCGGGGCCCGCGCACCACCACCUAGAGCUGCAGAAAUGCUAGGGGCACCCCGUCGGUCGCCACAAGCCGGUCUCGUUGGCUUGAACUUCGAAAGAAAAAGAAAAUAGUCCCAUUCUGGACGAUGAAUUUCGCUUGAAUUUACUUUCUUAUACGGAGCAGAAUUUCACGCGAGACGGCCGUUCCGUCAGGAUUUGUAUUGUUAAAUUUAAUACUUUUAUUUGCUCACACAUGACAAUGUAGGCUUGCAGAUAAUUUAAGGAAUUUGUAAGAAUGCAAGUAUGCGAUUUGCUCAUCUCAGAAAAAAUAAAGAAUGCCUUUUUUAAGAAAAAUAUUGACAGAAAAGAGAAGAAUUACGAGUGUAGUAGCAAAGAAGAAAUUAUUAACAUUGCUGUGAUCAUACCUACUAGCAGCCUAGCACUGUUUCAUCCUCAGCACCCUAAAAAUCUUGUUCUCAGGGAUUUUUCUAAUUUAAGAUUAUGUUGGCAUCUUGGUAAAGUGCAAAAUACCAUUUAAUUAGUAACAAACCAUUCGAUUUUAGCUCACGAUACGCAUUGAUCAUAUCUUUUUUUUAAAAAAAAUAGUACUAGUUCAUCUUGAAAAGAGUUUUUUUUUACACUUGUUUUGGUCCAUCAGGAUUUUGAACAUAGAACUAUAGAAGUGACGGAUCACACUGCUGCUCGACGACGGAUUGGUGCAUAGUUCCAUGUCAUCCUGUUCCACAUGGCACACAUGUCGGCCUGUCACCAAACUAUUCGGCAAGAGUCUUGUCACCCUGUCAUCAAGCCGUGCCACUUGUUGCAUCCCACGUGGCACUCCAGUCCAGCUUGCCAAAGUAUAGGUUUACAUGCCUCUUUUUUCAAACAUAAACAUUUUUUGCUGCAAGAAAAAGAAAAACUGUUUUUUUUUUUAUGACAAAGGCGGUGUUUACACUUCAGAGUAGGAAAUUUUCAAAACGCUGCCUGCACGUAAUGUCGUUGGAAGCAUUUUUCCCAGCACUCCCUCCUCCAUCUGAUUGGCCCUCACCUUCACGCGGGCCCCACACGUCAGCGUCGCAGACCUCACUCGUCGGCAUCCACGCUGUGCGCCUAAAUAAUUCGCGAAUCAUGGAGCACGGGGAGGGGCAGUUUCGUCCAUGAACCCAAAAUUGAAGCUCGGAAACGGCAAAAGCCAUGGCGAGUAGCGCAGGCUUGCAGGCCGACCAGUCUCUCCUCCGCCCGCUUCCCACCGAGCUCGCCACUGCACACUCCCCCACUCGGCCACUACCCAGCAGUAGCAGCAGCCUUGCGAGCUCACGGGAGGCCGCGAGGCCCCCUGCACCCCCUGCAUUCUCCCCGUAUUCGCGGAUCGCCCCUCGCCGCAGCAGGCGUGUGGGGGCAUUUCUGUUAGGGAAAAGGGCGCUCUUGAAUUUUUCGAGUGAGGGGAGGGGGCGAGAGGAAAAAGAAGGCGCCGUUGCUGUCUUCACUUUGCUGGGCGUGGCUGAGCUGAGCGCCUGAGCGGUGGGAGGAGACAGCGUGCUGCGGCCGCGAGUGUGGGGAGCGCAUGGCGAGGGCGCGCGGCGGCGGCCCCGCGUCGUGGGUGGUGGCUGUUGCGGCGGCGUGGGUGCUGUGGGUGGCCGCGGCGGCGGAGGCCAGGUCGCCGGCGGGGAGGGUGCACCGGCACCUCAAGCGGCUCAACAAGCCGGCCGUCAAGAGCAUCGAGGUGGGUGGCGCCUACUCGUCCGUGGAGCUUGAAAUGAUGCUCUUUCUUUUGAGUUCUCAUUGAGCUAUGUGCUGAUGAGUUCUGAAGAAAUGGUUGCAAAAUGGGAGUUCGAAUUCAAAAUGGGGUCUAUUUGCAGCCAGAUGCUUUGGUUGGGAGAUGUGUUCUUGGGGCUAAUGUUUUCUUUUCCCCCAUGUUUUCUUGGUUUGCUACUUUAUCUGCAUUUUGUAGGAUUCGAGGCAGUUUCAGUGAGAAGUUGCAUUGCGUCCUCAUUAUUCAAUAAUGAAAAAGGCUGCCUUUUAUCUGAUUCUUUUGGUUUUGGGCUAUCCUCGCUGGUAAAUUUUCGCUUUCACUUUGGAGAAUUGUUUUAAAAAAGUUCUCGCCUUUUAGAGGUAGGCAAUGCAAAUUCAAGCGAACUAGAGCAGAAAAAGAUGAAUGGUGAUUGCGGACAGGCUGGCUCUUGCAAAGUCAUAUUCUCUGAUUGAAAAGGGGCAAAGCCUUGAAUUUCUGAACAUUUUGCUUCCUGCUUGAGUUUCAGAGUUUCUGAGCUCAAAGAAUUUGCAGAGUUCUACAAUGCCAGCUUAAUGUUGCAUAUUUGAUAUUUUCUUCUUUAUUUUCUCCUUAAAAGUUGCAAUCCUGAAGCUUCAUUUUGAAUGAAGUAGACAUUUUGAAAAACCAAAGUUGACAUGAGCAUUGCUUUUGGCUAGAGCAGUGCCUUUUCCAUCUGACACUGAUAGAAGUUUUAUUCCUCAGAGCCCAGAUGGAGACAUCAUCGACUGCGUGCCCAUCUCCCACCAACCAGCCUUCGACCAUCCUCUCCUCAAGAACCACACAAUACAGGUGAGUCAGCAGCCAACCUCUCAAAUCUUUUCAGGAAGCAAAACAAACCUAUAAAUGGUUAAUUUGUGCACUCACUAUUUUAAACCUGCCCAAAAUCUCUAUCCUUGCAGUUUAGGCCAGCCUACCACCCUGAAGGUCUAUAUGAUGAUGUCAAGAGCAGCAUAGGCUCGAACAAUGCCAGAGAGAAGCCAAUGCUCCAAAUGUGGCAUCGAAAUGGCAGAUGUCCAGAGGGCACGGUUCCAAUCAGGAGAACCAAGAAGGAUGACCUGCUCCGAGCGAGCUCCAUGAGGCGCUAUGGCAGGAAGCGGCAUACUGCUCCGAACCCACUGUCUGUUGAUCCUAACAUGCUCAGUGAGGGUGGUCACCAAGUACGUCCACAUGGUUUAUCUUGCUGAGAUUGAAGAGCUUGGUUACAUUGACAUGUUCUGAUUACUGAACUGUUGUCAUUGUGGAAUUCAGCACGCGAUAGCGUACGUUGAGGGUGACAAGUACUACGGUGCGAAGGCCACAAUUAAUGUGUGGGAGCCCAAGAUUCAGCAGGCUAACGAAUUUAGCCUGUCCCAGCUCUGGAUCUUGGGGGGUUCAUUUGGGGAGGAUCUCAACAGCAUAGAGGCUGGUUGGCAGGUACUGUAAAGAAGCUGACUUCUUAAGUUGUGUCAAGUGAAUGCUGACCAUUUUCGCGGUCGCAUACAACCCGAAGUGUGUGCCUUAUCAUUUAUGUGAUGUUUGGUUCAUCAGGUUAGCCCUGACCUCUAUGGAGACAACAACACUAGGCUGUUCACAUACUGGACUGUAAGUCUCACAAAUUCAGUACCUUGUGCUUAAAUAAUUAAUGUGUUUCAGUACUUGAUUGGCAGACAUUCUUGCCUUGAUGUAUUAACUCUGACUGCUGCAUCGCUUUCCUAUUGUGUAUUUUGCAGAGCGAUGCAUACCAGGCAACAGGGUGCUACAACAUCUUGUGCUCGGGGUUCAUUCAGAUCAACAGCGAGAUCGCCAUGGGGGCGAGCAUCUUCCCCAUCUCGAACUACGCUGGCUCCCAGUACGAUAUCAGCAUCCUGAUCUGGAAGGUGAGCAUUAAUCAAUUAAAUUAAUCAUCAGGCCUCACCACAUUAGUGCCUUCAGAAUCAGCACACGAACCACAGGGCCAGAGAAUCUCUGCCCACUUGGUACAAAAAUGCUCCUGCCCAUGCUCACACCUAGUGUUUCAAAAUGGUUUCCUCCAAACCACAUGCACAGCAUAGUUAAGUACCUUUUGAUUUAUCAUUUAUCUAAAGAUUCCAAUUUGUGUGCCCUUUGAGCUGCAGGACCCAAAGGAAGGCAACUGGUGGAUGCAGUUUGGCAAGGAGUAUGUCCUCGGCUACUGGCCAUCCUUCCUCUUCUCCUACCUUGCCGACAGUGCUUCGAUGAUCGAGUGGGGUGGUGAGGUGGUGAACUCGGAGCCUGAUGGUGCGCACACAACGACCCAGAUGGGCAGCGGGCACUUCCCCGAGGAAGGGUUCAGCAAGGCGAGCUACUUCAAGAACAUUCAGGUGGUGGACAGCAGCAACCAGCUGAGUGCCCCAAAGGGGGUGGGCACCUUCACCGAGCAGUCCAACUGCUAUGACGUUCAGAACGGUAACAAUGGCGACUGGGGCACCUAUUUCUACUACGGUGGCCCUGGCAAGAAUUCAAAUUGCCCAUGACUACUUCUAGUGUGUAGUGUGAGUGCUGUCACCAUGAAAAAAAUGUAACCAAGCAUUCAAGUGUGCAAUACAGCGUUGAUCUGCAUCUUGUUCCCUCCUAGGUAGUGUGUAACAUGUGCAUGUGCCUUAGACCCUAGUGAUUUUUUUUUCCAUCUUUUUUUUCUCCCAUGUGCCAUGUAAAGUUUCUGAAGAGAAGAAGCAUGGGCUGGUGAGUGACCUCUCGGAUUUUGCACUGUCACCUUCACCAAGUAUUUUGAAUGUGUGCUAUAUAGCUUAUUGGCUGAUGGUAAUGGUAUUGAGCUUAUUGCAUCCAGUACCCUACACCAUUCUUUUCAUGCAUCAAUCCUCCCUGUAAGUAUAUGCGGAUUCUACACUUUAGUGUUGCUUUUAAUGUAGAAAGUAGAAACAAAACCUCAAUAGUACGGGCACGGGCAGCCUGGCCCAGCCCAAACACAAUGUGCGCUAUGGCCCAUUAGAUACAGCCCAUGUAGACACAUCCAGUACCGUCUCACACACAUUAUCAUGCCAGGGUCUAGCCCAGACUAUGCUGGACUGGCACACAUGCCAUAGCAUAAUUAGCCUAGCGGGCUGUCAAGGCCCAUCUGGCAGAAAAAAAUAGAAGAAGAUCGACAAAAUCCGAAAAAAAUCCAUUUAUAAAAAAAUGAGGGACUACUUAAUCAUCUUUUAAAAAAUAGAUUUCAGGCCGACCAACAGGUAGAAGACAUAUUCAAUUGUUAUUCUGUUACGAAUCGGCUGAAGUUCUCUUGUUAUUCCUGUUAAUACCGUUGCGGCUAAAAUGCACUAAUAACAGGGCAUGUACUACUUUCAAUCGGUAUCCACGCGAUAGUUCCAAAAUGUUUUGGAGGAUGGACGAACUAAUUCACAUCAUCCCAGAUGCAACAAAUGCCAUACAGUACAGGUAUGUACCAAACGUUAAGCAACACAUUAACUGUGGUAAACAUGCGUAUGGCUCAUCUCACAAGUUAAUAAGUUCAACACAUUCAGUGCGGUAAACAUGCAUAUCGUCCAUCUCAGCAGUUAGUAGGUGCGAUCUUCUCAGCAGGUACAAAGGCAGCAACAGCAAGAAAAAGAAAAAAGGGUCUAUCCAUCAAAAACUUCUACUCUCAUAGAAGCUAUCCCAGCCAAGGUCAUCGGCAGCAUACCCAAGGGCUCCCAGCAGGAACUCCUGCACCUCCUCCGCCUGUUCAUCCUCAGUCGUCUGCUUCACAGAGGCAGAUACUUGCUCCGGAGGCCCUGGGAGACAGUGUUAAACACCGGGAGACAAAAAGCCGGCACCGAGACGCGCAGAUGUUGCUGAGUGGUAGUGCUCAGCAAGCCUGCUGAGGUCUGCCGUUAAAUCUUGCCUCUGAUGUUGCUCUUGAUCUAAAACUCAUGAUGCAUCCCAUUCCCAAUACAAAGCUCUUCAAGAAUCGCCAUCGAAUUCUAGUUACGAUGCUAUUCAGCAUACUCGCCAUUUCAGACUAAAGGAGGUAUGAAUUUUAUUUUCAGGCUGUAGCCAUCGAUUAAGCAGGUGAUCUGUUACUUCCUCAAAGGAUGCAGUUUUAUAGGCAUCCAUCAUAAAUUCAGCUUUAUGUUCUCAUCAAUUCACCCACCGAGCAGUGCGUGCACGUACAUACAUUUUUUUUGGGACAAUGAGAGCAAGUAACAUAUGCAUAUGUACACUUGGUACAAUUUCUGAGUUUGCACAUUGUUGACAUUGUUGAGUUUGAACGAUAGAAAAAGGACCAAUGCGAAAUGAAGAAAUGAUCAGGGAUACUCUUGCUAUAGCUCCCUUGUUUGAGGGACUCCGUCAACUAGGUGGAAAACAAAAUUUUAGCUCUAAAUGUUGGUCUUGGUGUGCCGUAAGGUUCUUAUCUUGAUUGCAAGUACUGCUAAUUGUUGCAAACCAUAAGAUUUCUUGUUACUUUACAUAGCAAGAUCACUGACACCCCGAAGGAAGAACAGGAAAGUUACCCUACCACACCAUAGGUGUAAAGAAUGGCAAAUUGGCAAUGGUAAGAUCUACUGGUGUGGUGCCUUGGCAGAGGACAGAGCCACACAGGCCGGGGGUGCUGCACAAGAGGUAGGCAAGGAGUGAAGGAGCCCUCUUGCAGUGGUGGUUGGUGUCAGCCCUCUUUGCGCCAUGUGUGUCAGCCCUCUUCCAUCUAUCUCUAAUCCUGUCGAAACCUCGGCCAAGGGUCGAAGUUUCCAAACUUAAUCUUCAAUUCCUAUUGUUAGUUAUUUAAUGUCGUUCAUACCAUUGUUCUUUUUAGUAGUAAGAACCAACUCACAGGGCACGCUGAAAAACCAGUACAUGUCUUAUUUCAUACAUUAGUUAACCACACAAAGACACAGCGCCUUUUGAUUCUUUCUCCGUUGAAAAUUACAGAGACUCUAGGCAGGGACAACUGUUAGAAUAUCAUACAAGAUGGAGAGAAAACAGUCUGAUACACAUUUGGAGCAAUCUGCUGAUGAGCAAUCUUACUCUGCUGAUGAGGCAUGUAGUAUGUGUCGUGAUAUCCUUAUCGAAGAAAACAUGCCGUGAUAUACCUCAUCAAAUCCCAUGUAAUCCUCCACUGACUGAGGUACCCCAGAUUCCCAAUCUCCAAAUGCCACAAAACCAGCACCAUCAGGUACUACCUUGCUCGUCUUGUCAACCUCAUUGUUGAGCGAAAACUCCUGACGUAUCCUAUCCCCACUAGAAACCUGUUCAUGGGGGUCGCCAUCCAAUUCCCGUUGCCAACAUGCUAUUCAACACACUCAUCGCCAACCAUGGUUUCAGCCUAUAGCCAAUGAGUACCAAAUGAUGGGGUGUGAAUUUUGUUUUUCAGAUGUUGCCUCUUCUGAACCAGGUGAACUUUCUCCCCCUCCAAGGGUGUAGCUUUAUAGGUUUAACUCAUAAAUUGAGGCUCUCGUCUUUCAUUGAUUGAUACCCAUCAGGUAGCUACAUUGACAACAUGCAUGAUGCAUGUAGACAAGUACACUAGCUAUUAAUAUAUUUUUUUCUUGCUGGUUUAUGAUGUAACACUAGCAUUUAUGACGUACGUGAUAUUAGCAAGAUGCCUAGUCUCAGUCAAAGAGUAUGCCUCUUUUUUACUUUAACACGGAGCACAAUCAGUUAAAAACAAAAAAAAGAACCAUUGUAUAGUCUUGGAAUCAGAAUACAUGUGUGGAAUAAAACACAUAUGCAUCCUGAUCAUCACACUUACAUAUUGUCGUCUGAUUUUUGUAUUUUUAAAAAUUAUAUAAAAUAGUUAAAACACUUGUGAGAUUAAGAUGAUUUCAAACCUAAUAAUGAGCUAACGGCGCAAUUUCAGCAUUCAAGCAAAUCAUAGUUUUAUAGUAAUGCCCACAUGUAUCGUAAUUUCAGCAUUUACGCUCUCAUCUCGAUUCACCCACUGGGCGCACACACUGAGAGAAUGACCAACUAUGAGAGAAAUUCUGCUACUUUUAUUUUAUUUAUCUAUAAAUGAUAUCUCUUAUGUCAAUAAGACCAAAGGGAUGGAUAUUAAAUGAUAGGAAGGGCUAGGAAGUGAAAUAGAAUGAAAUAGAGCCACUUUAAGCUUCCCUAUGAAACGAGGCAUGGAACGGAGCCACUGAAGAAAUUCCGGGAGUUACGAAAGAUUUAUCCAGCAAAACACGGGCACGCUGCCCUGCAAUCACAGGGAAUCUACAGAUGAGAUACCGCAUUAUUUGGAUUUUAAAUAACGAAUUGUGCAAUUAUAUUCCUAACGCAUCUAGUGAAACACAAUGGAAAGAGGCCUGGGGGAGAGUUAAGUUAUGCCCUGCAAUAACAUGAUGCUCACCUUCUUGAGUUUGAACGAUAUAGAAAACAUGCAAGGAUGUGAAACGAAGAUACGAAUAAGCACCAAUGUGAAUUGAAGAAAUGAUCGAGAAUACUCUAUUAUAGCUAGAUCCGUUGUUUCACCGACUUUGUCAAUUAUGCAAAAAAAACACACUUAAUUUAGCUCCAAACAUUGGCCGGUCUUGGUGUACUGAAGGUUCUUAUCUUAUUUGCAGGUAAAGAGCCCUCUUGCGGUGGUGGUGAGUGCUCUCUGCAACUGCAACAUGCAUCACCCGGCCUCCCAUAGAAUUGAAGAAACCUUGACCCAAAGAUGAACCAGCUUAUUCCAAACUUAAUCUUCCUUGUAGCAAAAGUGCCCGCAUAUAUGUUGCUAUUAAUCGGAGCUAGGGAUUAAAUAUUUUAAUGGAGCUUUCACGGCCCUUUCAUCGGGUCCGGCGAAAUCAUCUCUCAAAGCUUGAUUCCAUCAUCUCACUGGAGCUGAUCCGAUGCCAUUCUCGGCUGGCUUCCUGGCUCCGCCGAGAUGCAGACGGGUUCCAAAGAGUUUACCAUCCUCUGCAUGUGGUACAGGCCGAGGGAACCCAAAUUCCCAAUCUCAAAAUACGACAACACAGAGGCACGCUACAGUAAGAUUCUCAGCCACUGCCUGUCAUGAUGAGUCUUGAAGUAAUACUCCUGAUGCAUCCGAUCCCCAUUAGAAACCUCUCCAUCUUUUUCCCCGUGUGCCAUGUAAAGUUUCUGAAGAGAAGAAGCAUGGCUUUAGGUACGGUGGUGGUGCUGGGCUGGUGAGUGACCUUGACCUCUGCAGAUUUUUUGCAAGUCUGCUUACUGGUCAUCUUCCCCAAGUAUUUUGAAUGUGUGCUAUAGCUUAUCGGCUGAUGGUAAGUGCGUUGUGCUUGUUUCGCCCAAUACUCUACAUCAGUCUCUUCAUAUCUCAAUCCUCCCUGGAAGUAUAUGAAAGCAUCGCCCAAAACCGGUUUAUACACUUUUGGUAUUUUCUGGCAAUGGCAGCCUGGCCCAGAGCAGGCACAAUGGUGCUGUGGCCCAUUAGGCACAGCCCACGUGUACAUGCGCACAUGCGUGCAGUCUCAACCCACACUAUGCUCACACGCAGGCCACAUCAUAAUUAGCCCAGUGGGCUGUCAAGGCCAAUCUGGCAGAAAAAAAUUUAGAAAGGAUAAACAAAAUCGAAAAAUCCAAUUGAAGGUGAGAUGACUACUUUUUAAUUUUUUGGAGGACUAUUUAAAUCAUUCGAGUGUUGUUUAGAUAUUUUGAUUUAUCAUUCUAGUUUCUACUAAGUCAAAUCAUCUUAAAUUUGACCAAAUUUAUGAAGAAAAACAUUGUUAUUUAAAACAAUAAAUAGGUGUAGUAUGAACAAAUAUUUCGAGAUGAAUAUAAUGGUAUCAUAAAAUAUUUGUACUUUCUUCUUACAAGUCACAUGCUCAGCCAUCACCGACUGACUGAUGUUUCUUUGUUGGCUCCAACUCUUGAGCUCACUCGUCUAAAAUUCUUGAUGCAUCCCAUGAGUUCAUCAUACUUGUCAAGAGUCGUCACUAGGUUCUCUAUUCAUCAUACUUGUCAACCUUUUCAGUUUUUGGGUAGCCAUUCCGUACUAAAAGCAAGUAUAAUUUUUUUUUAAUUUUUUGGACGUUGCCACUAGCAUCACGGAGCAAGUGAUCUUUUAGUCCCUCCAUGGUUGCAGUUUUAUAGCGUGCAUCGUAAAUUCAUCUUUUACUACGCUCUCAUAGAGUCACCUAACGGGCAGCUAGUAGCUGUAUAUACACACUGAUAGAAUGAAAAGCACAAAGCUCAUGCACAAGUACACACUGGGUACAAUGUACUAAAAGUUGACAUAUUCAUGAUGCUCACCCUUCGUGAGUUUGAAUGAUAGACAGAGGGACCAAUAUUGUGAAAAAUGAUCAGGGAUACUGUUGCUAGUUCCCUUGUUCGAGCCACUUCAUCAAUUAUUUGAAAUAACUUUAGCCCGAAACAAUGGCCUUGGGUGUACCGUAAGGUUUUUAUCUUAUUUGUAGGCGCUGCUAAUUUGUUUAGACCAUAAGAUUUCUCGUAUUUUACACGUGGGAUCUAUUGGAGGGACAAAUAGAUCACUUGCUUCGUCAUGCACUUAUGCCAAUAGAUGUGUAGAAACAGAAAACUGGAUAAGUGCAUCACAAGCUGUAGAGUUGACUUAGCUUUGAGUAUUGUCAAGGCCCAUCUACCCUAUGUAGCUUGCCAUGCACUCAUGGCAAGCAAAAAAGAUGUAAGGUCAUAAAAAUCCUUUUUAAAAAGAAGGACAGAUGUGAAAUGGUUAGGGAUACUGUUUGAGGGACUUUGUCAAUUAGGGGAAAUGAUUUAAUUUAGCACGAAGUGUUGAUCUUGGUCAACUAUGAGAUUCUUAUCUUAUUUGCAGGUGCUACUAAUUAGUGUACACCCUAAGAUUUCUUGUUGUUACAUAGUACCGGGGAUGUAGUGUAGGAAAAUAAUAUCGAUAGUAACAUAGUGUACUCCCCAUCGUCGCAUGAAUAGUGCAAUUUUAGUUUUUUAGAAAGAUUAAUGGUGGCGUGAAAAUACUUUCAUAUGCCCGUAUAGGCCACAUACAGUUAAUUUUGGCAUGCGAAUCAAAUCUUACCAACUAAUUAGGCAGGUAGGGCUGCAGGUAGUUGCAGCCUAGUUCCUAGAAUUGUACUCUUUUAUGUGAUUUUUUUCAAACAUUAGGAUCGCAGUUUUCAUGGGAUGGAGGGAAAACUUUUUUAAGAAUAACAGCAAACAUAGCAUUUGUUUCAAGAGAUGUAGUGUAGGUGUAGUGUCAGCCCACUAUAUAUGCUGUCUGGGCUGGCUCACAAGCUGCAGCAUUGAUUAGCCUAGUGGACUGUCGAGCCAUCUUCCCCAAUUAGCUUGUGAUGCCAAACAGAAGAGAUGUAAGGUUGUAAAAAAUCCUUUUAAAAGGGCAAAACCAACAGAGAAGGUUGCCAAAAUUCCGAGAAAAAACAUUCGAAGGUGAAAUAUUUACUUUUUAAAAAUCUGUGGGACUACUCACGGAAGGAACAUGUCCAACCGUUAAGAAUCGGCUGAAAUGUUGUUUCAUUUCAGCCAGUUUUCCAUGUCUAGUUAUUUGUUAGUUUUUGUGUUAAACAUUGAUUAAUAUUUUUAUUGUUUGAUAGAACCCCAAAAUAGUAGGUGUCUGGCCAGCUACUGUCAUGACCUUAUCAAACGGUCAGGACAAUCUAACUGGUUAAUCAUGGAUUGUAAUUGGACAAGGUAAAAAUGUGUUAUCCUCACGAUUUAGGAUUUUGGUGCGAACUGUUUCGCAAUUUACUGGAUUAUCAGUUUUUUUCUAAUAAACAUACUGCAAAUAAACAUACAUGCGGUAGACUUGUGCUUUUAGGGUAUACACAAACUCAAGCCUCGCUUCAUGCUUUCGUGAACCUUACUGUCUAUGCCAGUUUCAGAAGCAGGCUGCCCAUAAGGGUGACACUGACAGUUAAGUGCUGCCAGCCAUCAUAUGACGCGCUGACUCUACUAAGCGGGGCUCUGAGCUUAGUCUUGAUCUAGAACUCUUGAUGUAUCCCAUCCCCAUUACAAAGAUGUUGAAGAGUUGCCACUGAAUUCUAUUUAGCCAUUUCAGACUAGAGGAGGUGUGUGAAUUUUGUUUUCUGGAUGUUGCCAGUGCUGCAUCAUCUGUAAGCAGGUGAUCUAUUACUUCCUCGAAGGGUGCAGUUUUAUAAGCAUCUAUCGCAAUGUAUUUAACUUUUGUGCCCUCAUCAAUUCACCCACCAUUAUAUAUAUGGAUUGGUACCACGCGUCAGCCCUCUUCUAUCUAACCUAUUUUUUUUUUUUGUUGAAACCUGGGCCAAAAGCCUAUCCUUCCAACUUAAUCUUCCUAUUUUUGUCUUUCAUCUCGUUCAUACUACCAAACGUUCUUGUUAGCUAGUGGUAGGAACCAACUCACAUGGCACGCUGUAAAAAACAGCACACGUCUUACUUCUCGCGUCAAUUAACGCUGAAAGACGGACCAUCGUUUGAUUUUUUUUUUUGUAAACACCAAAAAUUGCAGGAAAGCUAGGCAGUGACAACUGUUAGAAGAUAAGAUGGAGACACGAUAGUCAGAUAAGCAUGUUGGAAUCAUUCUCCUGCCUUUGUGUUACAAAUCAUCUCUAAAUAUUUACACUCCGCGAGAAGCAGAUUAAUUCCUGAAGGAGAUUGGAAUGCUCAACGCGAGUUGUAUUGAUCUCAUUCACAUGUAUCUAUAGAUGUACAUCACGUGAUCUGUGCAUCUGAAGAACUAAACGGUGUUUGAAACCAUGUGCGAUGAUGCACCGGUGUCGAAGAACCAAUCUCCGCCUCCAGGGUAGGACGCUGGAGAAGGCAUCCCCUGGAACGCGGCGAGCAGUGCCGGUGGCACGGCAGGCUGCUGGUUCAUACUGGCGAAGGGGUUGGUCGAGCCGGUGGCCACCAUGGCCUGCGACGGGCCGUUGCCGUGACGGGGGCUGAGGACGCCGGCACCCGGCGCACGCCACUGAGGCAUGGACUAGGCUUGGACAACGCCGGUCCACGGGUUGUACGCCGUCCCCCAUGACGUGGUGAAUCUAGGAUGGUAAUGGAUCAUGUCCUCGUACCUCCUUCACAAUCCAACUCAGCUCUAUCUAUUUUUAGUUUAAAAUCAUAUAAUAUUAUAGCCCGAUCCUUAUUGAACCUAAUCCUUAAAUUUGCUAGGUUAAAUUAGAAGGUCCUAUCAGCCCUAGGUGGAUCCAGUUGGGGCAGGCGGCGUGUGAGUUGGUGGAGCGGUUCUUGCCGUCAUUGUGCUUGCACCUUUUCUUGCUGGGCUUGGGGGAGUUGGAACCGGAGGCCGAGGGUGUCGGAGGCGAUGUCGCGCUGACGCACGCUGGAGGGCCAGCGGUGCUCCUGGCGAGGAGCGUGGUGUUCGCCUCCAUCUUGGCGGUGUGGACCAAGCGAGCCUCCUCCUAGAGAAGGUAGGACCGUGCCUCGAUGAAGGUCAGUGGAUCGGCGCGGUUGGAGGUGAGGACGGAGAUCGCAUGGCUGAACUUAGAGUUCAGGCCCCGCAAGGUGUUGACGACGAGUGCCGGAUUGGACACGGGGUGCCCGACGUCGGCCAGGAGGUCGGCGAGCUGCUACAGACGGCUGCAGUAGGCGGUGAUGUUCAUCUCACCUUGGAAGAGCCUGUGGAAUUCCUUCAACGCCAACGCGUAGACAGAACAGUGCGUAGCAUUGUUGAGGAAGAGGUUGCGCAUGGAGGUCUAGAGGGAGAAUGCGGUGAUGUGUGGCUGCAUGAUGAAGUUCACGAUAUCGGUGGUGACCAAUGAACAAAAUAGUGGGCUAUGGGAAUUAGCGUAGAGCUGUGUUCAACCACUAUAGCCUGCUAAUUAGAACAACACUGUUGUAGCGGCAGCUAGCAUCAACCGCUAUAGCGCCGCUAUAGCCUCGCUAUAGCCCGCUAUUUCAUACAUUAGUGAUAACCGUGGUGUAGAUCCACGGCUUGAUGCAGUCAUCGAUCUGCAACCACUCCGCAUCACUAAUGCAGAAUAGCACGUUGAUGGUGCCGUCGAUGUGGUCGGAGAGGCCGAACUUGCUGAAUUUGAGCUCGAAGAAGGUGCUCAACUGCUUGUAGUUGGACUCGUUGAAGUCCAGUGUGACCGGGAUGUGCGCCCGGAUGUUUAUGAGUUGAACUGAGGCAUAUGCACCUUUAGAGGAGGAAGAUGAUCUGUUCACCAUGGGGAAGGAGGAAGGCAGCGGAAGUGUAUGUAUGUGGAUUGGAUCGAGACUAAUCUGAUACCAUGAAGGAGAUUGGAAUGCUCAAUGCGAGUUGUAUUGAUCUUUUUAGAUAAUGGAUAAAUAAUCCGGCUUCAACCUCCUCGUAGAGGUGGAAUCAGUCCCACAAAUUAUUACACUUAGUAUGCUUGCACUACAUGCUCACAUGCAUGACUAUUGUUUAUAUCUUCAUCAUACAUGAUUAAAAAUCAAUCCGUAAACUAAAAGACCGUCCCUGGGAGGUGAAAAAAAUAAAGUGCCGAAGUCUCCAACAUCCGGCAUGCUUGGAUCGUCGUAUCCUUUUGCUCAUCAUGACACUGUAAUUGCACCCAUUGUCGGAGCCAAUAAGUUCCCCUGAAUAAGACCUGCAUAAAAGUUUUCGGUUGACAUUUAUCGAAAAUCACAUCAUUUCUCGUUAGCCAAAUUGCCAAAAGUAAAGCCACCACCCCUGUCAAUAAGUUUACGUUUGGUUUGUGUCCCCCUAUUUUAUCCAACUAUUGAAUAGAUCAUUAGUGUUAAUUGGAGGAAUAAUACCAAACAUAAUAUGUACAACCCUCCACAGGAAUCUAGCAUAAGCACAAUAAAAAAGCAAGUGCUUAAUGGACUCUUCCAUAUUACAAAAGCAACAAGAUUUACUACCAUUCCAAUUCCUUCAUGCUAGAUUAUCUUUUGUUAAUAUAACCCCAUUCUAUAAGUACCACAAAAACAUCUUGAUUUUUAAUGGUAACUUGGUGCGCCAAAUUUCCCGUGAGACUUUAAUUCCACUAUUGAUAAGAUGCUUAUACAUAGAGCGUACUGGAAAAGAUCCAUUUGCAUGUAAAAAACCAUAUAAAGGUAUCUCUUCCCUCCUGCAAAUUUAUAUUUACUAAUCUUGAUACCAGGUUAUGCCAUUCUUGUAACUUUUCACCUACUAAAGCCCUCCUAAAGGAUAUAUUUAAAGGUGCUGAGUUACAAACUUCUGCAACCAUGGUAUAUCUUCGACGAGCAAUAUUAUAGAGAGACGGGUACUGUGAUUUCAAUGUUUGGUUACCCAGCUAUAUGCCUUCCCAGAACUUAAUCUGCAUGCCCUCCUGCAACUUGAAACUACCUAAACUAAGGAACUUAUCCUUCACACUCAUGAGACCCAUCCAAAAAUGAGAGUCUCCUAGUUUCUUGUUAACUUGACCUAAAGUUUUAUUUUUAAGUACUUAUUUACCAGCAACUCUUGCCAAAUUCCAUCCUCAUUACACAGUUUAAAAAGCCACUUACUCAGUAAACACUUAUUCUGUAUAUCAAGGUUUUGUAUUCCCAUCCCUCCUUAUUCUUUUGGCUGGCACAAAACACUCCAUUUUACUAAUCUAUAUUUCUUUUUAUGUUGAUCAUAUUGCCAGAAAAAUGUCGAUCUAUAAUAAUCUAAUUUUUUGAGAACACCCCUAGGGAUCUCAAAAAAGAUAGCAUGAACAUCGGUAGGCUUGAUAGCACUGAGUUAAUCAACACUAGCCUUCCUCCUGCAGAUAUUACUUUUCCUUUCCACCCACUUAAUCUGUUCUCGAAACAUUCCUCUAUUUCCUUCCAAUUAUUAUUGGUCGGCUUUCUAUAGUGCAUUAGAAUACCAAGGUAGCGGAAGGGAUAUGAACCUAGCUUGCAUCCAAACAAACUCAAAUAUAUAGUUUCUUGUUAUUUAGCUUGACCAAAGCAGAAAAUUUUGCUCUUAUGGAAGUUAAUUUUCAUAAUUGUUCAAAAACACAAAAUAGUAGUUUCAUAUUUUCGCCUUUUCAAUAUCAUGGUCCAUGAAAAUCAUAGUGUCAUCUGCAUAUUACAGUAUAGACAAGCUAUCUUCUACCAAGUGUGGUACAACCCCGUGCACUUACCCAUCCUCCUUUGCUCUAGCAAUGAUGAUAGCCAGCAUAUCGACCACUAUAUUAAAUAGUAAUAGUGAUAGCGGAUCACCUUGCUGCAAACUCUUUUAGUUUGGAAGUAUGAGCCCAUUUGUUCGUUCCUUUAUGCCCACAUUUCCUCCUUGAGUAAAUGCUCGUAUCCUAUUACACCAUGUUUCUAAGAACCCUUUCAUUCUUAAAAUAUGUUGCAAGAAAUCUCACUUUAUUUUAUCAUACGCUUUCUCAAAAUUAAUUUUAAAAAUAAUUCCAUUUUGCUUCUUUGUACGUAACUCAUCAGUUGUUUCAUGUAGAAUGAAUGCCCCCUCCAUAAUAUUUCUAACUGGAAGGAAGGUUGUUUGAGAUGGUCUGAUUAUUUUCUGUCCUACUCUUGAAAUUCUAUUUGUGGCCACCUUAGUGAAAAUCUUGAAACUUACAUUUAGCAGACAUAUUGGUCUAUACUGCUGAAUUUUUUUCACGUCUCUACUCGGAAGAAUGAUAGUACCGAAGUUUAAGCUAUGGAGAGGCAGGGUACCAUUAUGGAAGUCUUCAAAUAGAGCCAUCAAGUUAUCUUUAAUCACAUGCCAGAACACUUGAUAGAACUCUAUCGAGAACCCAUUCGGAUUUAUUAUGUUCCAUUUUAAAAACUGCACCCCGUACUUCCUCUUCGGAAAAUGUAUCAGCCAGUAUAUUAUUCUCUUCCCUCGUAACCUGCGGUAUGUCAUCACGAUGUGACUCAUCCAUGAGCACGUUGUUCCUCUCUGGUGGCCCAAAAAGAUUCUUAUAAUAUUUGGUAAUAUACCUUUUUAAUUCAGUAUCACCACAUAUUAUUCCUUCCUCCUCCUCUACGCCUUUUUCUAUAUUUCCCGUUAGCCACUAACUAGAAAUAUUUAGUAUUUGCAUCUCCCUUUAGAAGAUCUUUAGAGCCAGUACAAAAUCAUAGUCUCGGAUCUUUCGCGUGAGCUAUAUAUAUGGUUGAAAACUCUCCCCCCCCCACCUUUUCUACCCUAUGUAGUGAAAUAAUGGUCGAGAGUUAGGCAACUCCGUUUUCUUGCACAUGGUGUUGCUAUCUGCAUUAUUUACUCCAAAAAUAAAGUGGGAAAACUAAACAAGAUUUACUCCAUAAAUAAAAUCAUGUGUUCCUUCGUAAUCAAGGCCAGGCCCUCUUCACAUUUAUGGGUUGAAGCAAUUCAUGCACAUCCUAUCUCCUCAACCAUCAUCUUACCAAAAUAUUCAACAUUCAAGUAUCGUAUUCAUUUUGGUGAGCUAAUACCUAGUGUACUUUCUUCUAAAAAAAUACCUAGUGUACUUGUGCAUAUGCAAUGUGCUAUCCAUGUAGCGGCUGGUAGGUGAAUCAAUGGAAGCAGAAAAGCUCACUUCACGAGUUAUGUUGCACUCCUAUAAAGCUAGAACCUUCGAUCGGGGAGAAAAAUCACUUUCAUUUCUCCUGGACUUUCAUUUCUCCUGGUGAAACAGAGCAAAUUUCACACCUCGUGUAGUAUGGAAUGGCUCAGCUGAAACUAGGGUAGAUGACGAGUAUUCUGACUAGCCUGGCACUAGGAAUUCAGUGGCAACCCCUAUGAAGAGAGGUUUGUAAUGGGAAUGGGAAUGGGAUACAUUAGGAAUUUUAGCUUAAGCAAAGUUUUGGAAGGUAGAGCCAGAGUGUAUUGUCGUGGGAGCAAGGCCUGCAAGCUAGCUUGUUGAGACCAAAAACUCUGCGCCAAGAAAUCUGUAAGUGCAAUGCCGCUGCAACAUCACACUCCAAGCACCGCCUCUUGAGAUGAGCGCGGAGGCGCUCUCCCGCCGGUGACCUUCUGGUCUCCGGGGAACAGGUCCUGCCGGUUUUCGGCGCCGGUGAUCACUUUCUUUUUCUUUCUGGUGGUUUUCUCCCUACUCCAUGGAUACUUCAAUGGUAGACCUUCGUCCUGGUCUUCAAUUCUCCAAAAAGGUACGAUCCCUCCUCGGAGUGUCGAUUUCUGCCUCUCCAUCUUCUGGAUCAAGCUUCUGGCUGUUUGCAACCUUCACAAGAUCAAAGUUGAAGUUGACUGUUGAGCAUGUUGGUUUUCUAUUGCAAUCGGCUCUGGGAGGUUCAUCUGACCUCUUCCAAGUGUCUGAAUUGGAGGAUUGGAUUUUCAAGUUUUGUGUCUCUUCCAAGGAAGUUGGUCUUUUAGUUUACCAAUUGGGGAUCUUUCAAUGUGAUAUUUUUAAGGUGGCUUUUCAUCUCUGUAAUGAACGGGGGAUUCAGUUUGCACGAUCCGUCCUUUCCUCAGCUCAAGGAAUUAGUUCGGAUUGGAAAACAGUGGUUUCUAGGAAGGCACAUCUUCAUGGUCAUCUGCCUUUGACUGGAUCAAAUCUCAUUCCAGUUAGAUCAUACUCCCCAGAUGCAUAUACUCGGCAUAAUCCCAGGAAUUCUUUUUCUGUCUUUCACCGCUUGGGCAAGAAUUGGGCCACUCAGCAGCUUACACCAGCGAAGAACACGGCAUCUGGGCGGAUUUCAAAUUCAAACUCAUCUUUUACCGGAGUUAAUUUGGGGCUUAAUCUGGGGCCAUCAAUGCAAGAUUCUUUUGCCAAUUCAGCAAGGUCACCUGCUAAUUUGGCGCUGGAUUUGAAUGUGGCAGCUGUUUCUCAUUUGGGCCACCUAUCCUGUUCUCGGUGUUUCUCCAAUAAGCACAACCGGGCCUCUUGUCUUCGGCCUGUUAGAUGUGGGCUAUGUUUCAGACUGGGCCAUGUCGCCAACUUUUGCAGAUACCCACCAAGAUUUCCUGGCCUGUCCAUGAAUAGAACCUUCUCCAAUUCGGUUCCUCAGUCUGGCUGGAAUGAUGCAAAUGUCCACCGAUGGUUUCAAACCCAUGAGGCUAUGACAAGUGGGCCCUCAACAACUGUAUCACCGAUUGUAGGAACCUUCCAACAUCUGGGUCGGUACCUCCUGGGUGCUCCUGCUGUCGCUCCGGAAGAAAUAGUUCUUUGGCAACUCUCCCCUACAACCGCAAUCGCCGGUGCUGUCGCUUCACCUUCCAAGCUUCCGACGCUGCAAUCGCAGCUGCCUAGCUCCUCGCUACCACAAUCCAGCCGCCGUGAUCCCCCUCCUUUUGCUGAAGCGCAUCCACAUUGCUCCUCGCUACCAAAUCCUCAGCUCUUCUCCUUGGGUGACCUGUCUUGGAGGCAGACGGAAUCUUCGGAGCAUUCGCCUUCGGCCCCAAUGGCGUACAAAUUUGUGGAUCCUACCCCCUUUCUUCCUCGUGGUUCCCAGAGGCAGUUGGUGGGCUUCCGUAAGCCAAUGUCCAGAGUUAUUCUUGGUGCUCCUCGGCGAAAUCAGUGUGAUGUGGCGAUAGCAACCAUCGAGCCCCUACCUCAUCAGCAGGUAUCCUUUCAAUCCAUAAGAGAUAUGCUUGAUGACUUCUUGAGGAAUCGGUGUCGAAUGGGGGUCCAUUCUAUUCAGCCUUGCCCGUAUGGUCAAGCAUAUGUUCGUUUUCAGUUUGUCCAUGAAAAGGAUUUCCUGAUUGGUGGGGGCCCUCAUGAGUAUGGUCAGUAUAGGAUAUCUUUCUCUGAUCAUAAUAAGGGUUGGAAUAAUAGACUCAUAACUAUGAAUUGUGAAGUCUGGAUCAUGCUUCUAGGCUUUAACAUUGAUUAUUGGACAAAAGCAGACUUGGAGAAAGCUAUUGCAGAAUUUGGUAGGCUUCUGGUUUGGGAAGAGGAUCCCAAUAAUUUGGCCAGAAUUAUUGCAAAAAUAAGAGUUGUUGAUCUCUCGGAAAUACCAUGGUUUCUUGUUUGUUCAGAAGGUGAGGAUUUUGAAGGGAAUUCAUGGACUGCUCAGUGUGAAAUUUUACAGUACAGAAUGCUAGGUGGGGGUCCUGCUGAUGAAGGAUAACCGCCUGAUGAUGUGGAACCGACUCUAUUUGACUUCUUUGGUUAUGGGCAGCCCUCUGGUAAUGUGGCAAAUCCAGGAAAUGCCAAUCUCAAUGCUAAUCAACCUGUUAAUCAGGAGCCAGCACCACAAUGGGGCCUUUGGCCUGAUGGGCCGAAAGCACAAGACAAUGGGCCUUUCAUUGGCCCACAAAUUUCCCAAGAAGACCCAGUUGUCCCUAUUGUUCAGGCAUUGCCUGCACUUAAUCCUGUGAACCAUGGCCAGGGAGAAGAAGAGGAUAACCCAGAUUUUGAUUUGAACAUGGCCAUUGCUGAUGAUUUGGGGGGAAUUGAUAAUUUGGCUCCUUUAGAUGAGGAAAUAGAGGAGGCAGGUAAUGAUGUAGUAAAUAAUCAAGUGAUUGAAGGGUCAGAUAAUUCUGAUAAUGAGCUCCCUAUAGCUAAUCAGGUGAUGGAGCACCCUGUUCAUGUUGAGGUUUUUAUUCCCCAAGCGGAUGGACAGCCUGUUCAGAUGGUGCAAGAUGAAAUAAAUGAGAAUGAUCUGAUGGGAGGCAAUCAGGAUCAGGAUAUACAGUUGGCAGAGGAGAAUAAUAACUUUAUGCACCUGGGUUAUGUGGAGGUUAUGCAGCCUAGCCAUGAUCCAGUUUUUGCCCAAAUGGAAUCAUUGUAUCGCCCACCUUCCAAUCAGCCAAGUGCUGAAUUCUAUAGGCAGUGGGCUACACAUUUUUCUUCGGCAUCUGAUGAACCCAAGGUAGAGGUUCCUAUUUCUUGGGCCUCGUUCUUUAUGGCUCAACUGAUUACCCCUGGAAAUUUUGAGUGGGCCAAGAAUUUCCUGUCAUCUCCAGCUAUGCAAUAUCUGGAGUCUGAUCAAUUCCUGAAUUUUUCGAUUCCUAUGAAAUGCCCUUAUUCUGCAGCUACAGCUUGUGCCAAGGAAGCAGUUACUACCACAGCUGAUAACAAAGGCAAAGGUAUCAUAUUUGAAGGUUCUGAUAAAUCCCUCAUUACGAGUUCCUCUGCUUCUCCAUUCACUACCGCAACUACACCUCAGAGUGCUGGGCCUGGAUUUCCUUCAGUUGAUUCAGCCAACAACACUCAGUCUUCUCCAGUUACGCCGGUUCAGGGGUUGCUUAAAAAGGUUGCUGCUUCUUCUGGCCCAUGGUCCAAGUCCCUUCUUCAACAGGCCUCCAUGGUGGAUAAGGUAACUCAGGAUGUCUCUGGCAACCCUCUUUCUGAUGAUGAACUUCGAAGAAGUAGCAAGACUGCCAAGCACAAUAAUGGAUUUAAAGCUUCAGGAUGUAAGGACAGAAAUUGCAUUGGUUGCUCGGUAAAGCCACCGCUCUUGUCACAGUCAGUGAUUCGCAACCUGGGUGCGUCAUUCUCUAAAAUUGAAUCUUCGAAGUUAUUAGUAGUUGCUUUGAACAAGAAAUCAAAGCCUGCAGCUCCCCCUGGUGGAAGGAAGCCAGCCAAGAAGAAAGCUGAUAAGAAUGAAGCUGAUAAUGUCCCAAAAGACCAGAAGAAGAAGCCCAGAAAGUAGUACUCUUGGAAGGGGAACUAGUUUCUUUAUUUUGCUUCUCAAGAAUACACAAGUCUUAUUUUGCUUUGUACCUAUGGGUUUUUAUCCUUCUGGGAGAAACUUUCUUUUAUGUCUUUGUACUGAUGCUAUCCAUACAGUACUAUGGUUGCUGAACUCUUGCCUUAUACCUUUUAAUGAACUCUAGUCAUAACAAAAGACUCUGGAAGGUUUUGUGCUGGAAUGUCAGAGGAAUUAAUUCUGACAAGAAGUGGCAUUCAGUUAAAGAUAAAAUUUCUGAGAGUAAUUGUGACAUCAUUUGCCUCCAGGAAACAAAAAGAGAAGCUUUUGACAGUGUAUUCAUCAAAAAUUUUUGCCCCUCCUCUUUUGACAAAUUUGAGUUUUUGCCCUCACAAGGGGCUUCUGGUGGUCUUGCAAUAAUCUGGAAAUCUUCUGUGUUUCAUGGUGAUUUGGUGUUCAUGAAUCAAUAUGCUAUUUCAGUGAAGCUCUCCUCCAAUCUUACUGAUUGGGAAUGGAUUUUAACAAAUGUUUAUGGGCCUUGUUCUGCGGAGGGGAAAAUUGCGUUUAUUCAAUGGUUUGAAAAUAUACGGAUGCCAGAUGAUUUUGACUGGUUGGUGGUGGGUGAUUUCAACCUCAUAAGAGAGCCAUCUAAUAGAAACAAGCCUGGGGGUAAUCACAAUGACAUGUUCCGAUUCAAUGAGGCAAUUAACAAACUUGGCUUAGUGGAGAUUCCUCUGAAAUCAAAGCGCUUUACAUGGUCAAAUAAACAACGAGCACCUCUGUUGGAAAGGUUAGACUGGUUUUUCUCAUCUAAUUCUUGGGUUCUUAAUCAUCCAAACACAAUGGCCUAUCCCUUGGUGAUGGAAACUUCAGCUCAUUCUCCUUGUGUAAUCAACAUCGCUUCUGAUAUUCCGAAGGGCAAGCUCUUUAGAUUCGAAAACUAUUGGCUUGAACAUGAUCAGUUCAUGAACAUAGUCUCACAUGGUUGGUCGGUUCCAGUACAUGCAAUUGAUAGAGCAAAAAUUAUUACUCAGAAGUUCAAGAAUCUCAGAAGGGUGCUAAGAGCAUGGCAGUCUCAACUUUCAAAUCUAAAGUCCCUACUAUCCAAUGUGAAGUUGUCCCUCUCUUUUAUGGAAUUAAUUGAGGAAUAUAGAGACUUGUCUCUUAUUGAAUGGAAUUUCAAGGUUCCGUUGCAGGAACAGUUGCAAACUUUACUCAAGCAGCAAAAUAUCUAUUGGAAACAACGAGGUUCAAUUAAAUGGGUCAAGUUUGGUGAUGAGUCAACAAAAUUCUUUCAUGCGAAUGCUUCCAUCAAGCAUGGUAAAAGCUAUAUUAGAUCCCUAGCAGACAUAACAGGGACCCCAAAAUAUAAUCAUUUGGAAAAGGAAGCAAUUCUCUAGGAUGCAUACAAGGAAAGAUUGGGUACUACUGAGUACAACUCUAUGGUUUUUGAUCUACAACAAUUACUGCACCAAGUGGAGGAUCUGUCCUGCCUGGAGGAACCAUUUUCUCAUGCCGAGAUAGAUUCUGUUAUCAAGUUUAUGCCAAAUGACAAGGCUCCAGGUCCGGAUGGAUUUAAUACAAAUUUCAUAAAGAGGUGCUGGCCGAUCAUCAGGCAAGACUUUUAUGAUCUCUGUGAUACUUUCUACUCUGACAAUGUUUCCUUACGGAGUAUAAAUGGAUCUCUGAUCACUUUGAUACCUAAAGUUGAAGGGGCAGCACAUGUAUCGGACUACAGACCUAUAUCUCUUUUGAACACUUCAAUGAAACUUCUGACCAAGCUGCUGGCUAAUAGAUUGCAAACUGUGAUUCAAUCUCUUGUACAUGUAAAUCAAUAUGGUUUCAUCAGGACCAGAACUAUACAAGAUUGUCUUGCUUGGGCAUUUGAAUACCUUCAUUUUUGCCACAAGUCCAGAAAGGAGAUAGUCAUCCUCAAGCUUGAUUUUGAAAAAGCAUUUGAUAAAAUUGAGCACCAGGCCAUGUUGACAAUCAUGAAGCAUAAGGACUUUGGAGACAAAUGGAUUCAUUGGAUGGAACAAAUCUUUGCUUCUGGUACUUCUUCAGUUCUUUUGAAUGGCGUCCCUGGGAAAAGGUUUACAUGCAAGAGAGGAGUCCGGCAAGGGGAUCCCCUUUCGCCCCUUCUUUUUGUCUUAGGGGCUAACUUACUCCAAACCAUUGUAAAUGACUCCAAAGAACAAGGCCACCUAACACUCCCAAUUCCUCUGACAUACAGUUCUGAUUUCCCUAUUCUGCAAUAUGCUGAUGAUACCCUAAUAAUCAUGGAGGGAUGUCCUAACCAAUUGUUACAUUUGAAGCAGCUCCUUCAUAAUUUUGCACUGUCCACUGGUCUAAGGGUCAACUUCUGUAAAUCAAUGAUGGUACCCAUUAAUAUCACAGAGGACAAAUUACAAUUCCUAUCACAGACUUUUGGAUGUGCUAUUGGUAAACUUCCCUUUACCUAUUUAGGGCUUCCUCUUGGUCUUACCAAGUCAAAAAUUGAGGAGUUCCUGCCUAUGGUCACUAGAUGUGAACGGUGAUUGGUAUCCACAUCAAAAUUUCUGUCAGAUGCAGGGAGACUUCAGUUGACAAAUUUAAUUUUUACAGCCAUGCCAAUGUUUCAUAUGUGCACUUUCCAGCUUCACAAGACAGUAUAUAAACAAGUGGACAAAUAUAGAAAGUGUUGCCUCUGGAGAAAUUCUGAUAUAAAUAAUAGGCAACCUCCAAAGGCUGCUUGGGAUCUUGUUUAUCUACCAAAGAAAGAGGGUGGCCUUGGGGUGUUAAAUCUAAGGACUCAAAAUGAAGCUCUUCUUCUUAAGUACCUUCAUAAGUUCCUGAACAAAUCAGACGUCCCAUGGGUACAUCUAAUUUGGGAGAAAUAUUAUGCUUCUGGCAGGUUACCAGGACAAGUUCGAAAAGGAUCCUUUUGGUGGAAAGAUGUUGUGAAACUCUUGGACAAAUUCAAAGGUCUAGCAUCUGUAACUGUGCACAGUGGUCAGAUAUGUCUUCUCUAGCAUGAUUUGUGGAAUAAUAAGAUCCCUGCACAAGAGUAUCCACACUUAAACUCUUUCACUAGAAAGGUUGACAUAUCUGUUAGGAAAGCUUAUGACCUGCCUAACUUGCACCAGCUUUUCAAUUUGCCUUUAUCAACCCAAGCUAUGGAUCAGCUGCUUCAAUUAGGUACAGAUCUGAAUGGAAUCCAAUUUAAUGAAGAUCAUGACUGUUGGACAUAUAUCUGGGGUAAUUCUCACUUUUCCUCAUCAAAAGCAUAUCAAGUACUGUCUGGACAUCGACAGGUGCACCCGGUUUUCGGAUGGCUUUGGAAAUCUAAAUGUCAAAGUAAACACAAGUUUUUUUUCUGGCUUCUACUCAAUGACCGGCUAAGUACCAGAAAUGUACUUAGAAGAAAACACAUGGCACUGCCUUCUUAUUCUUGUGUCUUGUGUCCGCAUGAUAGUGAGGAAACCUUGUUCCAUCUUCUACUGCAAUGUCCCUUUGCCCAAGAGUGUUGGAUCAAUAUUAGUCUUUUUGCUAACCUGGCAGAUGAACCAUACACAAUCCUUACCAGCUUUAAAACUCAGCUGCAAGUUCCGUAUUUUAUGGAAAUCAUUGUUCUCAUGAGCUGGUGUAUAUGGAUGGCGAGAAAUGAUUGGAUUUUCAGAAAUAUUACUCCCUCAGUCCAGGAUGCUAUGAGGAGGUUUAGGACUGUUUUUACUCAAGUUGUUCUGCGAGUAAAAGAGGCUUGGAAACAACCAAUGUUUGAAUGGCUAGAGCACUCAUUGUAGUUUUUCUGAUUUACUUUCUCUCCUUCUUUGUUUCUUGAUUUGUAAUUCUACAACUUUUGUUCUUUCAUUUUAAUAUAUAUCCAGCAGGGGAUGAUCAUCCCCUCCUGUUUCAUCAAAAAAAAAAAUAUCACACUCCACCUGACAAAGUGAUACCACCGAAUCCGGAUCUUUCUCAGGCUGCCUCGCAGUCGUCACCACCUCUCAAUAGCUCGGCAAUAUAUGCAUUCUGCGUGAGUUACAAGCUAUAACUUGUGCUACUAGCUGUACCAACUCUCAAUAGCUUCUGUACUGUGUUGCCAGUGUAGUGACACAGUGGGUGAAUCAAUGGAAGCAUAACAGUUCAAUUUACUCCUAUAAAGCUCAAAUUUUUAAUGGGGAGAAAAAUCGCUUGAAUCUCUCCGGAUGCACCAGACAACAAAAUUACUCACGCCUCAUGUAGCAUGGAAUGCCUCGGCAUAAACUGAGGUGGGUGUACAAUGGCAUUCGGUAUUCAGUGGCGACCAUAUUGAAGAAGGUUCUAAUGGGGAUGUUUAACAUCAGGAACCUGUGCGGCGAGGCAAAGGUUUGUCAAGUUCUGGCUCCGAACCAAUUGGGGACCGGCUUACGCUUCUUUGGCUGGUGAGUUGGACGCUAACGAAACAGGCCCCUACAUGUACAUCAUCUUGAUGAAGCUGCUCGUCUUGUUUCUUCUACCCCUACCUCUCGCGAGCUAUGAAUUUUCAGAGAUGAACCCAAUAAUAUAUAGGAGAUCCAUUGUAACAGGUUUAACACCUAGUUGUAUCUCGCCAUCUCAUCUGAACUUCUAACAAUCAUCAGUUAUCACUGAUGGCUACAUAGUUUCUGUAAAUUUUCAUUAGUGCAGCCAAACUUCUCGUGGUGGACUAGUUAGAGCGUUGAACUGCAGUAGUUAUUGAAACUUCCAUCCUGAUCCAGGUUCGAAGCAUGGCACCUUAUUAGAACAAAGCCCGGAGAGGCCCCCCCCCCCCCCCCCUCCCCCUCAACAGUGCAAAAAUGAAUGAUGGUAGGAGUUUGUGAGUUUGUUCAUCGACGUCAUCUGAAAUUAGAGAUGUGAUUUUUUUGGGCAUGCCCUUUUGGGUUCAAGCCUCAGCAAUGUAACGUGUUUCAUUUAACUGAUUGAAACACCAUGCUAAACAAGGAGGUGAUGGGUCAGCUAUACGUUAUAUCUAUCAACGGUACCCAUGCAUAGUUGCUACCACGUCGCUGGUAGAUUGGUGGCUACCAACAAGCAGGAAAACAUCAACAUAAAGUUCUGGAAGGGUGUCGAUUCCCUCAUGGUUCUCACCUGCUGGUACCUCUAGAACGUGCGCAAUAACUGGGUUUGCAACCGAUCAAUUACAACACCAGAGGCCUUGGCUCUGAUGAUCAUGGAGGAGGCCUCAUGCUGGUUGGUUGCGGGGAUUAGGCGUCUAGCGCCGUUCCUGCUGCAAAAUAGCAGCAUGUUUGAUUUGGAGGUCCAUCUCACCCCGCAUGGAGUCAUCCAGACUUUUUUGAGGAAUGAACCCGUGCCUCCGGAAUUUCCUAUGUAGUCAUUAUACAAAGCGAGUGUGCAACGAUGAAGUGAUUCCGCAAUGUAAACCAAACAGUGGUGUACGUUACAUGACGUUCCAUGAUGCAAACUAAACACACCAUAAAUCGUAAAAUGGAGCUCUUAUUUUGUUGGAAGUAAUCUCUAAAAUUUCUGACAACUCGGUUGGCUGUUGGCGUGAUGCUAGGUCCUUGUAUUUUCUCCCUCUUACGUGUCAGUCAUGUUCUUGAAAAAAAAUCAACCAUAGGUUAUAACUAUCAACAGUGAACUACUGAUUAGGUUCCUUAUGGUAUAACCUGCCCACCUUGGUCUGAGCAUUUCUCCUGGCAUGGAGUACUAUUCUGUGAUUGGUGUUGGCGAUAUUCAUUCGGGUAGGAUCGCAUGCAUGUAUUCACAUGGGUUAAUGUGUGUGCAUGGAUCUAAGCAUCUAUAUUUGUACCGUGUUUUGAAAAAAAAAAUAUAUCAACGGUGCUUUUGGUUAACUAUUCAACUUCAGUGACUGAGACUACUCAUUCGAUGCUCAAUUUCUCUUCUUUUCGGGCCGUUAGAAAUUCCCAAUGCGUCCCAUACCCAAGCCUCACCCACAAUCACCAUUCAGCUGCGGCACUGUAACCGUCAUUCACCAUGUAUCUCCUCUGGCCAGCUCCGUUCUCACUACCCUGCUAUAUAUAUAAGAGGAGGUGUUUUAAUAAGGUAUCUUUGUAGCUUCAUGCAGUAAAUUGAGAAAUUUUUGUUUUGUUGGUUCAUAAAUCGGCUAGAUAGGUUCAGGAUAAAUGUGACAAGUACACCAGCUAUAAAUGAGUCAACAUGUAAUGUAUUACCUACUGUUUUCUAGAGUUCACAAUCUUACUCCCCUUCUCCUAUUCAAUUUUAAAUGCAGGAUUGUAACACUGUCGAUCUAUCAACAGAAUGUAUAAUACAAUUGCUAUCUUCAAUAGUAGCUGCCAUCUUUCUAGUGAUUUUCUCCUCCAUUAAAUGAGACACUAGAACCUGGCAAGAAACUUUGGCUUUGACACACUCUAGAAUACAAAUGUCAACUGCUGCCAACAGAAGUCUAUGAUCUUCAAUACAAUUUAUUUUUCAAAAAAGUAAAGUAUUAGAAAAAUAAAAGAAUGCGUGACAAUUCCCUCAAAAGACGAGCAUGCUGUAAAGAAACUGUAACAUAAACAGAAGAAAAUUAGCAUGUAACUUCACUAUGAAAAUUAGCCAGUGGUGAAGGCGAAGGUGAAGGAAAGGAGGUAAUCGAUGGAGGCUGGCCACCCGGAGCCUCACGGCUUGGGGCAGGAGGUGAGAUUGAAGUUGGGCCACCCAAAAGGCUAGAACAUCACUCGACCCAUUCUUUUGCAGGAGCUGAAUGAAAGGAUAUGCUUGAUGAAGGAUGGAGUCAUGGAAUCAAACUACCCAUUCUUUUGCGUAUCAUUUUUGGUGAAGCCAAUCUUUGAAAAGUGGCAAUUGUCGAAGCCAGUUGUUUUGGACAGUCAAAAAUGCAAAUUUCUGCAAAUCUCAUCUCUAAAUGAUCCAUAGAAGUGUGUGAAAGGAUUACACAGGGCUGAAUUAUACACUUCUGCUGAUGUUGCAGCGAAUUAUAGCAACAUAAUAUGGAAUAAAGCUGGGAAGCAUGAUGAUAUCCUCAACCUCAGUUAUUGGAGGCUUCUGAAGCACAUCGAGCUCAACACAUCCGGAGCUGCGGGGAAGAAUGAGGUGAAAUUUCUUCAAUUUCAUUCGUUUUUACAAUUCGAAUUUGGUUAAGCGUCAAGCAACAUAUGUAUUCUCUUGUGUAGAGCAACAUUUUUAGGUGUCCGAUAUAUAGCAAGAUACCUAGGCAACCAAGAGCACAGUUAAAUAUUUGCCAAAGCAUGUAGGCUGCAACAAAGCUCAAGUCCUUCCGCUCCCUGGACGUUAUAUGCUCAGGUCAGCUACUGGACCACGGGAUGGAAGCUCGCAAUCUCAAAAAAGGACGAAGCGAAGUGGCAAAGAGUUUUUGCUCUCAACGAACUAGCUUAUACUUCCCAAUGGUCUACAAGCUAGCUUGUACAUGGGAACUUCUAGAGGAGCAUUCAGCAUUCGGUUUGCUUGAAAUUCCCAAUGCGUCCCAUUCCCAAGCCUCACCCUCAGUCACCAUUCAACUGUGGCCUAGUAACUUUCAUUCACCAUGCCUCUCCUCCAGCUUCGAUCUCCCACUCUGCUAUAUAAAUGAAAUGAAGUUAAAUUGAGCAUUUUGGCUUUUAUUGGAUUGUAAACACGCUAGAUAGCUUGAGGAUAAAUGUGACAAGUAUACAAGCUAUAAAUGAGUCAAUUAGGGAUGCAAGUGGGUGCCCGUUCCUUGCUACAGUUUUCAAGUUUGAGAUCCGCAAAUGUUAGAGAAGCGAUCAUGAUCUGCCUUACUAUUUUCAGAUAAAAGUUAAUGCAAGUGCCUUUGUAUUGCUUUACCAUAGCCACUGCCGCUAGUUCCAUGCACAUAUAAGCAUGAGAGUGUUAUACAGUUGAUCAGUUAACGCUAUGUUCUAAAAAUAUUAUAUAGGAUGCCCAUCUUGCAGUAAGAUGGAAGAAAAAGGAUGAUGUUGAAAUACUAAACAGUUGCGAAAGAAAGACACAUCUUUCUUCUAAUUUCUUUUAGAGAACCCCAAAGUAGUAUACGACCAGCACCUACAGUCAUGACUAUCUGUCUAUUCAGGAGUCAGAGCAAUCUAUCUAACCGGUUAAUUAUAGACUGCAAUGAGAAGGUAACAUGUGGUAGUUUCGUGAUUCUUAGGAUUUGGGUGCAAACUGUUUCGCAAUCUGAUUAUCAGACUUUUCUAAUAAACAUGUAUACAAUGGACUUGUUUGAUUUACUGUAUACUCAAGUUUAAGCCUAGAUAGCUCAAUGCUCCGUCUUCUUGUGCAAGCUUCACUAGAAGCAGAUAAUUGCAUCAUGAUUCAAAACUCGUGAUGUAUCCCAUGCCCAAUACGAAGCCCUUCAAGAGUGGCCUCUGAAUUUUAGUUACCAUGCUAUUCGGCAUAUACUCGUUAAUCUUUCCUGUUUUAUGGUAGCUUUUCCAUACUAACGGAGGUGUGAAUUUUGUUUUAUGGGUGCUGUCACUAUUGCACCAGGAAGCAAGUUACCUUUUUUGCUUGAGGGUGCACAUUUAUAGUCAUACAUUGUAAAUUCAGAAUUUACGCAUUCACCGGGUAGUUACAAUGUCCUCAAAUUUGAAUGUCAACCAGCUUUCAAGGGAUCAUCGCCCUUUCCUGGCACCCAUCAAAUUAUCUGUUGUCCUAUGUUUACUGCCACGUAGUCCUUGGGAUAUACAUUUCACAGAAAUCUUGCCAUUGCACUCGUGCUAGUGCUAGCAAACAUGAAGAGAGUUCACUGGUGGUCAUAAUUAGGUAGGAAAGGUGCUUUCGAAUAACAUCAUGAAAGGAAACAUGAGACUAUAUUACAUAGCUAACCUCAAUCACGUUUUCAAUAACUUGUUCAGCCUAUAGCCUGAUGGAAAACAUGAGUACUAGCUCAUUCGUCCUCUUCUGCUGUGCCAUGUUAUGUUUAGAACACAAAUCAUGAAGUUCCAAGAAUAAUAGUUUAGGACAAUCAAGGUAGUUCUAAGUUAAAGAAAAAAAACCAAGGUCAGCAUUGUGGCUGAUUCGUCCUCUUCGGUUGCGCCAUACAGGACAGCCUGCAGAACCAUCCCUGGCCAAAAACAAAAACAUACUAGCGCCGGCAAUGCCCCAGCACAAGAUACCAACACCGUCGUAAGUACGCUGUCGUCGCCUACUAUUCCCCGGCGGUCUCGCCGCCAGGCAACUUCCAACGGUCGCCACCUGUGGCACCUUGGUGCCCAACGCUUCUGUUGAGGUGUAAGCUGCAGCUGCGGACCAAAUUGGGCUGCAAAGGACGCUUGAUGCUCAAUCUCCCUUAUCAUCAGUUCGUUUGAAACUUCCAAUGUGUCCCAUACCCAAGGCUCACCCAUAGUCACCAUGCACUGCACGCGGCACCAUGACGGUUGGGCUUAUCCUCCAUCUUCAAUCUUGACAGGUGCCGCUCUGCUAUAUAAAAGAGGAGAAGUUAUAGUUUGGAUGUAGCCUACAUUUUUUUAAUAACGUACAUUUUGUAGCUGCAUGAAGUGAAUUGAGCAUUUUGGCAUUUAUUGGAUCGUAAACACGCUACAGUGCUUGAGGGAUAAAUAUGACAAGCAUACAAGCUAUAUAAAUGAGUCAAUUAGGGAUGCAAGUGGGUGCCCGUUCCUUGCUACAGUUUCCCAGUUUCAGAUCCACAAAUGUUAGAGGAGCAAUCAUGAUCUGCCUUACCGUUUUCAGAUAAAAGUUCCAUGCACAUGUAUGCAUGAGAGUGAUAUAGAGUUGAUCAGUUAACGCUAUGUUCUAAAAAUACUCCCUCCAUCCCAAAUUAUAAGUCAUUCCAAGAAUCUUGGAGAGUCAAAACAUCUCAACUUUAACCAAAUUUAUAUGAUAAUAUAAUAACAUUUAUGAUGUUAACUAAGUAUCAUUGGAUUCUUCAUCAAUUAUAUUUUCAUAGUAUACCUACUUGAUGUCAUAAAUCUUUAUAAUUUUCUCUAUAAUUUUGGUCAAACUUGAGAUGCUUUGACUCUCCAAAAUUCUUGAAAUGACUUGUAAUUUGGAAUGGAGGGAGUAUUAUAUAGGAUGCCCGUCUUGCAGUAAUGUGGAAGAAAAAGGAUGACAUGGAAAAACUAAACUGUUGCGAAAGGAAGACGCAUAUUUCUUUUAAUUUCUUCUUGCGAACACCAAACUAGUAUACGACCAGCGCCUACAGUCAUGACUAUUUAUCUAUUCAGGAGUCAGAGCAAUCUAUGUAACCGGUUAAUCAUAGACUGCAAAUUCAGAAGGUAACAUGUGGUAGUUUCAUGAUUCUUAGGAUUUGGGUGCAAACUGUUUCGCAAUCUGACUGAUUAUCAGACUUUUCUAAUAAAACAAUGGACUUGUUUGAUUUACUGUAUACUCAAGUUUAAGCUAAUGCUCCAUCUUGUAGUGCAAGCUUCACUAGAAGCAGGUAAUUACAUAAGUUAGCAAAAGGCGGACUACGCUGAUCACUGUGAUAGUGCUCAAGCUCUGCGUGUUACAUGCUCAGCUAACGCGAACUAGAUACCCAACCAAAAAAUCCCGUUGCCUUGCUAGUCUGGGUUUACAGCUUGGGUAUUAGCAUCUUGAUCCAAAACUCGUGAUGUAUCCCAUGCCCAUUACAAAGCCCUUCAAGAGUGGCCUCUGAAUUGUAUUAAUCAUGCUAUUCGGUAUAUACUCGUUAGUCUUUCCAGUUUUACGGUAGCUGUUCCAUAGUAACGGAGGUGUGAAUUUCGUUUUCUGGGUGUUCUCACUGUUGCACCAAGAAGCAAGUGACCUUUUUACUAGAGGGUGUACAUUUAUAGUCAUACAUUGUAAAUUCAGAAUUUACUCUCUCAUUUGUCAUUCACCGGGUAGCUAUACACACACACAUUGAGAGAUUGAAAGUACGUUGCGUAUAUAUGCGCAAGCACGUUAUGUAUAUAUGUACAACAUAUAUUAAAAGUCGGCACACUCUGAAAAACGAUUCUGCUUGUUUUUUUUCCUUUAUCUAGCAAAACACAGGCACAUUGCAAUUAUAGGGAAUCUAGAGAUGAGAUAUAUACUUACAUAGUUGUUGACGCUCGUUAUUGACAUAUUUUUAGUACCAUUUAACUAGUAUUUUCAUGUUUAAUCUUAUACUAAUUAACUCGCCACCUGGCACCUGAAAUAACCCAAUUAUUGCAUAUGUGUUGUAUUCUGGAGUAUAUUGCAUUAUGACAGGAAAUACGAUGUACUCAAGGGUGUUUGCAUAAAGAGCUUCAUGGAUAUUUAGACAUGGAUCGUCGAGAGAAGCCAGCACGAGGAAGGAGAGGACAAGAAGGGCCAGCAAGGGCCCAGGCCGAUCGCCUAGCCCAUUUCAGGGCUCGGUCGACCUCCCAUUUCUUUAGUGUGAAGUCUACGAUGAUGUAUUGGGUUUUUUUCCACCAACAUUGACCCAGAGCCACCGCCUAUGGGAGACUAUAAAUGCUUCCUCAUGGACUUCAAGGAGGGAGAGUUAGGGAGAGAGGAAAAACACCAUGUUAACACCAUCCACCGCUGUUGGGCAUAUAUCUCAGGCCCACGAGUAGGCCCUGUGCGGCCCACUAAGGGGCGUACUCGGACACAAUCAAGACUAGGGGGCUACGCGGCAAGAAAUGUAUCCCACUCGGACUAGUUAGGUGUGCAUAUGGAAACUACUCGAUCUACACUGAGUAGAACUCUGUAAUCAUACCCCACUAGGAUUCAAACUUGUAACCCUGCCCUCCCGAGUAUAUAAGGGUGGGCAGGGACCCCCUCAAAGACAACUCCUUCAACUCAUCCAAGUUCAAUACAACCUACUCACAGGACGUAGGGUAUUACGUGAUCUAGCGGCCUGAACCUAUCUAAAUCGUGUUCCUUACGUCACCAUUGACUCCUUGAUUCUCGAUGGCCCUUACCGCACAAAAGACCACCUAGGGUACCCCCUAGGCGGGUUGCCGGUCUAAAACACUGACAGCUGGCACGCCAGGUAGGGGAAGUCAUCGAGUUUCUCUGCGUGAGUUUGAUGGCACCUGUCGUUAUCAAGCCUGCUUUCACCUUCGAGGCAGGCGCAACUUUCAUUUUCGGAUCUUGGCUCUGCAUCGCCGACGGUGCUGGAUCGUUUCAGCGCCAAAUCAUCAACGUCCGGGAGAAGAAAUCUCUCGACAAAAGCCUUUCUCAGCCGAAAACAGAGGAUUCGGUCAGGAAUAACCAAAACUUCAAAAUCAACAACACCGAGUUCGACUACGCUGCGGACUCGACCCUAGUUCGGACUAGUCGCUCCCAGUCACUUCACAAAUCGACUUCGACUCCAAAAUGGUUCCCAUACGGACUCCGCAAUAUAGUCGAGGUCUACCAAGAUCUCCUCACUCGAACUCAACUCGAACACGGGGAAGACAAGGACGACGACUCCGACUCAGACUAUGUCCCAGAGAUCCCGCUGUCAGGACCUGCCCAAGGUCUGGUAAUAACUUCAACACUGCAAGGCAAAUUCGUUCACUGGCCAGGAAUGAGACCAUCUCUCCUCACCCGCGACUAUGAGUCACGCCUCAUCGCUCAUAUAGACAACCUCCCGUACCAGGAAGGCGUCCCACUCACUUCAAGCCGCGAGGAAAGUUCCACAGAAAUCACAACAUCAAGCUCUAGAAGCUACUACCCAGACAAAGAAGUCUUUAUCAUUACUCAAAAUAACAACAUGGGUACUAGCCAAUAGAGAAUCCCUCGACGGAUAGCACAACUCGACAACGUCUCAGAGGACGAGUCAUCAGCUAACGUCCCACAAGAUGAAACUUCCGAUCAAAGAAACCAAAGAAGGAUGCAAAAUAUUACUCGGGCUGAACGUCGACAAAUGCUGGCCACAAACAUUCCCAUCACAAACCUUGAAAGAGCAUUUGACGCAGUACAAGCUCAAGAGCACAACACUCCGCUCGCAGCAAUUGCCUCAAUCAACCUUAUAUCAACUCUCAUACCUCGAGACAGAGACAACGAAAUGACAGCUCAACUUGCAUAGCGAGGCAACAGACUAAUUGCACAACUCGUAGAACAAGCUUACAAGCUACUCGAUAGGGAAUCACCAAUCCCAUCUGUUCCUCGUAAUUCGGCUCAUCGAGAGGGCAGUAGGGGUGCUGCAGUCAACAAUGGCUUCCACAAAGCACAAAGAAAUAACAACGAAGUAGUCAACCAACCAAGGCAACAUAGCCAAGGACUGAGCAAACACGAAGCUCCAGUGCGACAAAAAGAUGUUGGAGAGGUAAGCUGCACCAAUUCUGCAAAAAGUCCUCGCCAUAUCAGGAAAAAUCAUGAAGUAUCAAAUUUCAGCGAUCUAUGGGAAAUAAUCAAUAGUUGCCGCGAACCUGAAGUCGACAACUACAAUCACUUUCCCGCCUUCACAACUCGGGUAAUGAGGACAAGACUACCCGAAAAAUUCAAGCCAACAGGAAUCACUAAGUAUGAUGGCAAGCAAAACCCAAUUCAAUGGUUCCGAUGUUACAAUGGGCAGAUGAAGAAGACAAAGAGCGAGAACGGUUCGGCUCUCAUCGCAACCGAGGGCGCAACAAUAACAAUCAUGACCAGGAUAGGAACCGACACAGCGAUACUCAAAACAACUUUUCGAGUAACCAAAAUCGCAAAUGGAAACCUGACAACACCAUUGCUUCCAUGACUAACUCAGGGAAGAAGGGAUCCUGCAAAAAUGAUGACAGACUAAGCUUCACCGAACUACUAAAAAAAUAAUGCCCAUGGCACCCAACUAGCAAAUACUCAGCAAUAUAUUGCUACAGAAUGCGCCGAGUAAUGCAAGAUUUGCCCGCACCACCACCUCCCGAGGAGUACAACAAGAAAAAAGAUAAAGGCAAAAACAAAGUCCAUAACAACAAAGAAGGAGAAGGCGACUUCCAGACCACCUCCAAAAUAGUCAACGCCAUCUUUGGCAGAAUCCUUGGUACCGCAUCCAAGCGAUCCAAAAAACUGGUACUCAGGGAAAUCAUGGCCAUCGAGCUAAUAGAACCAACACCGCUAAAAUGGUCAGGGGUACCCAUAACCUUCAGUAGAAGGGACCAAUGGACAAACUUCUCAGAACCAGGCCGAUUUCCCCUAGUACUCAAUCCUGUCGUUGCAGGUUCAAAACUGACAAAAGUACUCAUUGAUGGCGGAAGCGGACUCAACGUCAUUUUCGCCAAAAUACUAAGGAAAAUGUGUCUUGACGUCACGGACAUGCUCACUCCAACAGACUCACCCUUCUACGGAAUCGUACCAGAAAACACAGCCAUACCACUAGGACAAGUCGUCCUGCCAGUUACUUUCGUAACCAAGGAACACUACCGAACCGAGUACAUUAGAUUUGAAGUCGUCGACUUUGUGACCUCUUACCAUGCCAUACUCGGGAGACCAGCUCUGGCUAAGUUUAUGACUAUACCACACUACGUUUACUUGGUACUCAAAAUGCCAGGGCCCAAGGGAGAACUAACGCUACGAGGAGAUUUACGGUGAUCCUACGAGUGCGACACCGAAGCAGUAGAGAUUGCUGCAACCUCUCAAGCACCCAACCCUAUGCAACAAGUUUUCUCAGCUUCAAAGAAACUUCACCCAACAGAACUCAAAAUACCAGAAAACAAGUCGGGGUCAGCAAAGGAAGCCAACAAAUGAGAAAGACUUCAAAAUAAUUGAUCUCCAGACUGGCGACUCUUCUAAGACAACUCUGAUUGGAACAGGGCUAGAUCCCAAAUAGGAAACCGCACUCAUCAGUUUUCUUCGGGAAAACUACGAUAUCUUCGCCUGGAAACCAGCUGACAUGCUUGGUGUGCCCAAGGAACUGAUUGAGCACUCUCUAAAUGUUGACCCCAAAGCUACCCCAAAGCGACAGCGCCUCCGUAGGUUCGCCCAAGACAGACGAGAAGCAAUCAAAAAAAAGCUAGCCAAACUACUCGCAGUAGGGUUCAUCAAAGAAGUAUUUCACCCUGACUGGCUAGCCAAUCCUGUACUCGUUCACAAGAAAAACAACGAAUGGAGAAUGUGCGUCGAUUACAUGGACCUCAACAAACAUUAUCCAAAGGACCCCUUUGGACUACCCAAGAUCGACCAAGUAGUCGACUCUACUGUUGGGUGCGAUUUGCUAUGCUUUCUCGACUGUUACUCGGGUUACCAUCAGAUAAGCCUCAAAGAAGAAGAUCAAGCUAAGACAGCCUUCAUCACUCCAUUUGGGGCCUUUUGCUACAAAACAAUGUCAUUUGGAUUAAAAAAUGCGGGAGCAACUUACCAACGCGCUAUACAGAUGUGCUUCGAAAAGCAAUUGCAUUGCAACAUAGAAGCUUACGUGGACGACGUAGUCGUCAAAACAAGAAGUCGGGAGGAUCUAAUCGUCGAUUUGGAGGAAACCUUUUCAAGCCUACGAGCUUUCCGAUGGAAGCUUAACCCUACCAAAUGCAUUUUUGGAGUACCUUCCAGCAAACUACUCGGGUUCAUCAUUAGCCAUCACGGCAUUGAGGCCAACCUAGAGAAAAUAUCUGCCAUCACAAGUAUGCUCGCACCAGCUAGCAUCAAGGAUGUGCAGAAACUCACGGGUUGCAUGGCAGCCCUUAAUCGAUUCAUCUUGAGACUUGGAGAACGAGAACUACCCUUCUUCAAGCUUCUCAAACGACAGGACAAGUUUAAAUGGACAGAAGAGGCAGACAAAGCAUUGACGCAACUCAAGGACUUCCUGUCAAAACCACCAAUCCUCACUGCUCCAUCUCCAAACGAGGACUUGCUCCUAUACAUGGCGGCUACUACUCACGUCAUCAGCACCGCAGUAGUAGUCGAACGGUCUGAACCAGGCCAAGUUUAUAAAGUCCAGAGACCCGUAUACUUCAUCAAUGAAGUACUAUCCGACUCCAAAACUCGGUACCCACCAAUACAGAAGCUGCUCUACGCAAUCCUGCUCACUUCACGGAAACUGCAACAUUAUUUUCAAGAGCACACCAUUACAGUCAUCACCGAUUUCCCGCUCGGCGAAAUCCUCCAUAAUAGAGAUGCCACGGGUAGAAUUUUCAAAUGGGCAGUAGAACUCGGAGCCCUAUCCUUGGACUUCAAACCAAGGACAGCCAUCAAAUCUCAGGCUUUGGUCGACUUCAUGGCUGAAUGGACAGAGAACCAAGUGCCAACACCGGUCAAGAGGCCAGAAGCACCGGGUAAUGUACUUCGACGAUUCCCUCAAACUCGAAGGAGCCGACGCAGGCGUACUCAUUUCCUCAAAAGGAGACCAACUCAAAUAUGUACUACAAAUCUUUUGGGAAGCCUCAAACAACAAAGCGGAGUACGAAGCACUGCUACACGGCCUUCGUCUUGCAGUCUCCCUCAGAAUCAAAAGACUACUCAUAUACGACGACUCACUAGUUGUUAUAAACCAAGUCAAUGACGAAUGGGAUCGAAACAAGGACAACAUGGAUGCCUACUGCAAAGAAGUCCGUAAACUGGACAACAAGUUGUUAGGCUUGGAAUUUCAUCAUGUCGUCCAUGACAAGAAUGUAGCCGCUAAUGUAUUAUAAAAAAUGGGCUCGACUCAUGCAGAAGUUUCAGCAGGAAUUUUUGUACAUUAACUCCAUAAACCGUCCAUACCAGAACAAAUUACACCAUCAAUGGUCAAGACUACAGAAACUAAUCGGAAAAUCAUGAUGAUAGAAGUUGACUGGAGGACACCCUUCAUCGACUACAUCAAAGACCAUAAGUUACCAUCUGACAAAAGUCAAGCUGAGCAAAUUUCCCGACGAGGAAAAAACUACGUUCUAGUCGGAGACAAGCUCUACAAGAAAAGUGCAUCAUCAGGGGUACUCAUGAAGUGUGUCACCCGAGAAGAUGGCCAAGAAAUCCUAGAAGAAAUUCAUAAAGGAAUAUGUGGCAACCAUGCAUCUUAACGAACAAUAGUAGGCAAGGCUUUCCGAGCAGGCUUCUACUGGCCCAUGGCGUUGGCAGAUGCAAAACAAUUAGUCCAAAAAUGCCAAAGCUGUCAAUUCUUCACUAAACAACAACACGUCCCUGCCUACAAACUAGUCACAAUCCCUCCAACAUGGCCUUUCGCUUGCUGGGGGCUAGACAUGAUAGGACCACUGCCAACUGCGCCAGGAGGUUUCAACCGAGUACUCAUGGCCAUCGACAAAUUCACCAAAUGGAUCGAGGUCAAACCAGUCACUUGCCCCAAGGCAGACUGAGUCCUCGACUUCUUGGAUGAAAUCGUACACCGUUACGGUUUUCCAAACAGAAUCAUCACAGACUUGGGAUCCAACUUCAACAACCAUGACUUUUGGGAGUACUACGAGAAUAGUGGAAUUGAUGUCCGCUACGUCUCAGUUGCUCACCCACGAGCCAACAGACAAGUCGAGUGUGCUAACGGCAUAAUACUCGAAGCUCUCAAGAAAAUGCUACACGAUAUUAGCAAUACAAAAGGAGGCAAAUGGCUCAAAGAGCUACCUAAUGCUCUGUGAGGACUACGAACCCAACCAUGCAAGACUACCGGGCUCUCCCCCUAUUUUCUUGUAUAUGGUUCAGAAGCUAUCUUACCCGCGGACGUCAUGUGGCAGUCUCCUCUAGUCGAACAAUACGACGAAGGAAUGGCAGAAGAAACAAGAUGCACGGAUCUGGAUAGUCUAGAAGAAAUGAGAUGCGCAACAUUAGUUCAAUCAGCCAGAUACCUCGACGGGUUAAGAUGAUACCACGACCGCAAUGUUAAGGAGUGAUCCUUCAACUUAGGUGACAUGGUCGUCAAACGAAUCCAGGACACAUCAGGGUUGCAUAAACUCAAUUCACCAUGGGAAGGUCCCUACAUCGUAUCCAAGGUCACAGGACCCGGAUCUUACAGACCACAAGAACUUUCAGGAGAGCAAGUACCAAAUUCCUGGAAUAUAGAACAUCUCUAUCGCUACUACCUAUAGUAGACAAACGUACUCGAGCCUUCGCCCCAAACAUCUCAAAACAAACUCGUUCCAGCUACUGGGAGCCGACAGUCCGACUACCGACUACAUAUGCUCUACUCUUGACACAAGACUUCAUCAAAGGUCAGCAGGCAUCCCAUCCUACGAGUCCCAAAACUUCAAAGGGCAAAGCAAUUUGUUACUCGAGUUUGAUUCAAGCAGAAAAUUUUGAAGUUACAUGUGAUUACUCAUAAUAGAGUAAGGGUACUCAAAAUACAAGAUAAUAGCACAACAAAGACUACAAGCAAUUGCCUACUGGCGGUCUGCAUUUAAGCCUCAGGCUUUUACAAUAUCACAAGGCCACACAGGCCUACCGACUACUACAAAGGGAAGGGCCCACACGCAAGGAAGCUGCGCAAAACAUAGCCAUAUCCAGGUCCUCCUCCCAAACAACACCAGGUACUGCUUCACCACCGCUACCUCGACAGCGGCAACGAUGAAUCCCGAGUGCUGCAUAAGGGAGAAAAAAUAAGGUUGCUCUCUUGCUAGCCUUGGCGAGCCGUCCCACACUGCAUGCCACACCUCCAGCUCUAAGAGAGCCGGAUAAAGACCGUGGCACUCAUCACCCAUCACUCGCGAGUUCCAACAUGGACUUAGCUUGAUCACGAGCUGCAAGAUGAGGCACGCAACGAACCCUCCUACGAGGAUUCUUCUAGCAUCGCGGCUAUCCCUAUGAGCGCUAGAGUUUGUGGAGGGAAGGUGGCUCUAAUCUACAAGGAAUCUUCUAGCACCAGAAUACUCUUUGAAGGCUCUCUACAAUCAAAUAACAACAACCGAAAGCAAUCCAUCACUACUCAAGCCUGAUCCUGGUCGACCUCCAUGGUAGUCUAUUUAUAGCCUAGUGUCACAACUACCAACCACUCGGGAGUUACUAUUCGCUCGUGACAACAAAAGUACUGAUGAGUCAAGAUGCUCUUUGACUCCAUUCAUUACUCGGAUGGUGGUCUCAAAGUACUCGGAAUUGUGACGCUUGACUACAAAGUACUCGAGGUCUUGUCGGGCAUACAUCCCAGGCCCACGAGUAGGUCCUGUGCGGCCCACUAAGGGGCGUACUCGGACACAAUCAAGACUAGGGGGCUACGCGGUAAGAAGCGUAUCCCACUCGGAGUAGUUAGGUGUGCAUAUGGAAACUACUCGGUCUACACCGAGUAGAACUCUGUAAUCGUACCCGACUAGGAUUCAAACUUGUAACCCUGCUCUCCUGAGUAUCUAAGGGUGGGCAGGGAUCCCCUCAAAGACAACUCCUUCAACUCAUCCAAGUUCAAUACAACCUACUCACAAGACGUAGGGUGUUACGCGAUCUAGCGGCCCGAACCUAUCUAAAUCGUGUUCCUUGCGUCACCAUUGACUCCUUGAUUCUCGACGGCCCUUACCGCACAAAAGACCACCUAGGGUACCCCCUAGGUGGGUUGCUAGUCUAAAACACUGACAACCGCCGCCACAAGGAGGAAAAACGGAGAGAAGAUUGGAUCUACAAGAAGCCAUCCGAAGUGGAGCGCCAGAGGAGGAAGGAACCUCCCAAGCCGAUCGGCUUGGAGGUGCCCAGGCCGAUCGGCCUUGCGCUUUCCUGCCCCCGUUUGUCGUUAUCUUUGGUCCAAUUGAUCUACUGGGCGUACCCAGAAUUCGAUCAACAUGUGUAAGAUCAUGGGGUAAAGUCUCUGUUUGUCCUCGGGGUUAUAUGGAGAUCUUGAUUUAUAAUCGUUGAACCUCCUAUUUAAGAUCUUAUUUAAGAUCUGUUUGUUAUUUGUCAUAUCUUGAUGAUGCUCUUUCUUGUAAUGGCUGGCCAGCGCUACUUUGGGUUGCUUAUUCAAGUCGUGUUCUUAUCGUUCAAUAUUUGAGUACUCUCGUGUAGUGACAAUGUGCAAGAGGGAAAGUGUUGGGCAUAGUUCACAUCCACUCACAAUAACAUUUAGAUCCAGCUCUUUCUUGCAUGGUGAUUACAUCUACAAGUGAUCCUAGAUCCCUAGGACAAGCAUUUUAUCUAUCUUAUUUACAUUCAUACUCUCUAUCUACUUUAAUCUAAGUCACUAGUUCUUUUAUUAGAUAAAUCUUAUGAUAUACAAAGAACCUUCGGUUACAUAGAUUAUUGCUUAGUUUAGCAUGCAAAUUAACUUGUUCCACGGAUUGAUAAACCUUGGGGAUUACUCUAAGGGAUAUGUUUGCGGUUCAUAAAUUGACGUGUUAAACUGCCGUCAACAAUAGUUUGGAUUUCAAACAAUGAAAUGUGAUAUAAUAAUGUUCUGCUGCAUGUAUUGAGACAGAGGCCUUGGGAGGGGGGGAGUUUGCACGAGAUAGAAAAGAGGGACUAAUGUGAAAUGAAGAAAUGAUCGGGAGUAUACUCUGUUGCCACCUCGGAAGCGCUCUCACUUGUUUCACCAGCUCCACCAAUUAGGUGGAAAAAACUUAUCGUAGCUCUGAACAUUAUAUAUAUUGGUAUUGGCAUACCAUAAGGUUCUUACCUUAUUUGCUGGUGUUAGUGUAGAUCAUAAGAUUUCACGUUAGUUUACAUGGCAAGAUCACCCUAUCAUACCAUCUGUGUACGCCAUGGAAAAUUAUAUUCGCAAUGGUUCUAGAGAACAAGCAAAUAGAUUGCUAUUGCUGCACAGGUUAAUUAGUCCUUGUUGAUAGGCAAGGAGAGCCCUAUUGCUGUGGCACUGGGUGCUGUCUUCACCUCGUGUGGCUGGCCUGUUCCGUCUAAUAUAACCCUAAGUCUGUAGAAACCUUAUUCAAAAUACGACCUUCCAGACCUAAUCUUCCUAUUUAUUUCUUUCAUCUCGUUGACAUCUAACGUUGUUGAAAGUAGUAAGGACCAACUCACAGGGCAUGCUAUAAAAAAAUUACGUCCUCUUUCAUAUGUCAAACACAUAAAGACACAGCACCAUUCGACUAUUACACUGUUGAAAAUUACAGAGACUCUAGGCAGUGAUAACUGUUAGAAGAUAAGAUAAGAUGGUGAGAAAAUAGUCUGAUAAACAUGUUACAAUCAAUUAGACCUGAGCAUUUUAAACCCAGCCCGCGAGCCCAGCCCGACCCCUAUGGGUUUUGGCCUGCCCACGCUACCUGCCGGGCCGGGCGUGGUCAGCGAAAACCAAGCCCGAAAAACAAUCGAGCCGGCCCGAGCCUGCUCAAACUAUUAAUUUCAUUUAUUUUUCUAUAAAAAAGAACAGGCGGCCUGAGCCCAACCCGAGCCUGGCCUGCCCGAUCCGUUCUGAAGCGAAGUUGCGCAUUGUUUGCGCUCUCUACAAGCUAGCUUGCAGGCCUUGCUCCUACGCAAAUAUGCUCUGGCUCUACCUUCCUGAAUUUUGCUUAAGCUAAAAUUCCUGAUGUAUCCCAUUCCCAUCCCCAUUACAAACCUCUCGUCAUAGGGGUCACCACUGAAUUCCUAGUGCCAUGCUAGUCAGAAUACUCGUCAUCUACCCUAGUUUCAGCUGAGCCAUUCCAUACUACACGAGGCGUGAAAUUUGCUCUGUUUCACCAGGAGAAAUGAAAGUGAUUUUUCUCCCCGAUCGAAGGGUCUAGCUUUAUAGGAGUGCAACAUAACUCGUGAAGUGAGCUUUUCUGCUUCCAUUGAUUCACCUACCGGCCACUACAUGGAUAACACAAUGCAUAUGCACAAGUACACUGGGUAUUAGGUCACCAAAUUGAAUACGAUAUAAGAGUUGAAUGUUGAAUAUUUUGGUAAGAUGAUGGUUGAGGAGAUAUGUUGUGCAUGAAUUACUUCAACCCACAAAUUAAUGAAUAUUUUGAAGGGCCACAUCAUUUUAUUUAUGGAGCAAAUCACGUUCAGUUUUCCCACUUUAUUUGUGGAGUAAAUAAUGCAGAGGGCAACACCAUGUGCAAGAAAACGGAGUCGCCUAACUCUUGACCAUUAUUGCGCUACAUAGGGCAGAAAAGAUGGAGGGAGAGAGAGACAGAGCGUGUUUUGAACCCCAUAUAUAUAUGCUCAUGCGAAAGAUCUGAGACUAUGAAUUUGUACUGGCUCUUCAGCUCAACAAAAUAAUUUUGUUUGACUUAACGGUUGCAAAUGCAAAAGAUACCAGAGUCGGUAUCGUGGACGGUUCGUUCUUUUGGCCAGCAUCCAGGACCGUACCUGGCCAAGAUAAAAGCAAAAAUACUAGCUAGCGCCGCUAAUUUCCCAGCUCACGCUGGCACAUCGGCCUGCUGUGGCACACUAUAUUCACCGGCAGUCUCGCCAACUGGCGACGUCGAACGACGAUGAAACCAUGUAGUGGGAUGUGUACAGGAAUGCUGUGUAUCAGCUGCCUGAGGUGCAAGCUAUGCAGCAGGUGUCCAACUCGGGCUGUAAAGCUUGCUUGAUGGUUCAGUCUUUCUUAUUUUCAGUUGGUUUGAGUUUCCAAUGUGUCCCAUACCCAAGCCUCACCCUCAGUCACCAUUCAACCGCGGCACCGUAACUGUCCUUGACCAUGGCUCUCCUCCGGCUUCAUUCUCGCCACUAUGCUAUAUAAAGGAGUUGAAAUUAUAUUUUGGAUGUAGUCUAUUUUUUUAGAUAAGGUACCUUUGUAGCUAGCUGCCUGCAGUAAAUUAGCAUUUUGGUUUUUAUUGAAUCCUAAACAUGCUAGAUAGCUGGAGGAUUAACGUGCCAAGCAAGUGCACCAGCUAUAAAUGAGUCACUUAGUAGGGAUAAAAUGCUUUGAUAUUUUUUUUCUUUCUCUUCUCUCUAUGUGAAACUGCACAGGAAACAACGACGCAUACUAAAACCCGUAACAUCUUAACAACACUUGUCGACUAUAUUUCUUUCAGCCUGUCAGAGGCAACCCCUAUCAAAUAUAAAAAACGAAGAGAAACAAAAUGAUAAUUCAAGGAAAGAAUUAACAAUAGAGGAUCAAUAAUGCUCAGAUCCAAAGCAUUCGACAUUCUUGUCCCUGUUAUGAUGCCCACAAUGGCCUUGCACUCUACCAGUCUGUCGCGAUCCCUGGGAACGGCCUGCUGGAAUAGUACCGUACCAUUUCGACUAUAUCUCUUUCAGCUACCAAACAGUAUUUUCCUCUCACAAUAAAUUAGCCGUUUCAGCUUUUCAGCUAGCUUAUAAGCUGAAGCGAACAGGUGCAUGGACGAGCAGCAGCUGAUGGACUGGUCCUUCAUGGCAGCCGCUACGGGCGCAAGCCGUGAGGAAGCUGCGGCGAUCUGGUGGAGGGCGGCAGACAGGUUGCACUCAUAGGUUGACAAGGAUUAUGUCUCAGCACAGUAGAAACUCCCAAUGUCUCCCAUCUCCAACCGGAAACAUCACCCGUCGGCCAUUCGAAAUUGAAACUGCCAUGCUGUUCAAAACUACAAACUACUCAUCAUCGGCCCUGGCCUCUCCUCCAUACAAAUGAGCUGUACUUUUAUUUUUAGAGGUCACCUCUGCCAAUAAAACAUGUAAACUUUAUGAGGGAUUCACAUUUGUAGGCGCGCACACUUAAUUGAGCUCUUAGGUUUCCAUCGACCCCGUAACAGUAUAGCUGGCUAGCUAGUUCGAAUGAUAAUGGUAAGGAAUCAAUGCUCGUAGCCUAAGAGGGGGAGGGGGUAAAUUAGGUAACUUAAAAACUUAACAUAUAGCUUCCACUAUUUUGCAUAAAAAUAUAAACUAGAUCAUGCUAUCUAGAUGUGCAACCUACUGUUGAUCUAGUGUGAAACUCUCAUCCCAAAACAAGUUUUGCAAUCUAUAGCUAAUCCUAUCAAUACUACUCUAGGAAAGUAAAGGCACACAAGUUGCAAGUAUGAAAUGCGAAAACGUAAGGAGAGGAUGAGAGGAAGCAAACUCUUGACACAAGGAUUUAUCCCGUAGUAUCGGUAGGCACUAAGCCACCACUAAUCCACGUUGUUGAAGCACUCACACAAAAGUAUUGCUUCCCGGUCACCAAGUCUCUCCCAAGGCACCCCUUGACUUGCCACAAAGGCUCGGCCACUAAGACACACGCCAAGUUCCUCGAUCACCUUGAUGCCGUUUCCACUAAGGAGUUUCUUCACGAAGGAAGGUGGUCUCCACGUCGCCCGCACAAGAUCAUCGACGCCACUCCACACCAAGCCGGAAGGUCGAAGACUUGCCGGCGAACCACCAAGGCUCCAAGGCACCGGCACACCUUUUGUACAGCGGUGGUUCACUCUAGAACCUGAUCACAAGGUCAGCACACCUUGCACUCACUCGUCUCCAAGCCUAUUCUGGCACUAAUCACUCUCCUAAGCUUGUGCUAAGCUUUUGAUGGAUCACUUAAGUAUUUUUGGCGGCAUGGAUGUGUUCUUGAUGAGUCUUGGUCUUCAAUGUAUUCCUGGACACUCCAACAACUCCAAAUGGGCGAGUGGUGGGGAUAUAAAUAGCCCUAAGGGCUCAAAGAACCGUUGCUCCAACGGCUAGUAAAAAAGUAUACCAUUAGAUGUUCCGAUGGUCUAUUUUUAACCUGCAACGGAACAUCCGGUGCAACUAGCUGUUGGAUUCUCCGUGCCCAAAUUCUCCAGAAAUUGAUCAAACGCUUUAUCCGAUGCCCCCAUCAGUUCAUCCGGUGCCACUGGCCACGUCACAUAGCCGUUGGAUCCCCUGACAUCAUUGCUCCAAUGCUUCUUCUGAUGGAACCAUCGGAUCAUCCGGUGCUGAAGGCAUUCUAGCCAAAAUCUUCUGUUUGGGAUCAAAGAAAAUAUGUUUUGUCUGAUGCUGCUUUCUUAUCCUAGCAUGGGAACAUCCGAGGUCCCCUUCUCUUCUGGCUAUUGCUCCGAUGGUACUAGAAAAGUGGGCAUCGGAACAUCUGAUGGUUUACCCUUGACUUGACUUUUGCCCGGCGUACCAAUUGAUCCAAUGCUUGUUCCGACGCUCAUUUGGGGGCCAUCGGAACAUCCGGUGGUGCAUUUUCAUUCCAAUUCGUCCAAUGCGAUCACCAAAAAUACCGUCACUUGGAUGGUCUAGAAUUAUUUAGAUUUUUUUAUCAUUUGGAUGCUUCAAUACUAUAAAAUAAUCCUAAAUAUCAUGGCUUGGUCACUUAAAUACCAUAGCUUGGAUACUCGAAUACCAUGACUUGGAUGACAAGAAUACCAUCAUUUGGACCUUGCCAUGAUUUGGUUAGCAUUCUUGGGACCUAGAAAGCCUACAAGGUACAUGCUAGACAAAGCAUUAGUCCCAAUGACUAUGUCACCAAAAUCAUAAACUAUGGCUUAAUGAGGCCAUGUUCGCUACAAUCUCCCUUUUUUUGGUGAUUGAUGACAACACAAACAAAGCAACAAAAAUUUUGCAAAAAUUGAUCAAUUGAACCACUUACACUUGCUUGGAUGCUUAUCAUCAUCCAACCUCCCCCUUUGAACAUCUUCAUAUGAUCCCCUUGAUGUACUUCUCCUUUUUUCUUGGAUUUCUCACUCUAUGUAUGUUCACACUCCCCCUUUGGAAUCAAAUCGUCAAAAUAACAAUCUUUCCAGUUUGUAAGCCUACAAGACCUUGCAAAGGUAGCUCAAAGGAAAACAACGGCCGCCGUGAUGGCCAUGCCAUCCACCACCGCCCUGACGUCCAUGUACCCCGUAGCCGUGAUUAGCCAGGUGACCCCGGCCUCCAUAUCCGCCACAUCCUCCAUAGCCAGGAUUGAAACCCGAGGUGAACCCUGGGUUAAAACCCUGGCCGCGCCCUGCGGCAAGCUGGACCUGACCGCCACGUCGAACGCCAUGGUGUGCUUGACGACGGUCGUUGGCAGGUACUCCCGCUCCUUCUUUGGCCGCCAUGACCGACCUUGCGCGCCCGAACUUCACAGCGUCCGCGUAAGAGCGAUGACGAUGAGCAGUAGCCGGCGGCGCAAGUUUUCGCGUAGGGUUUUGCUUGCGUGCAGUCCCAGUACGAGAAAACAAAAAGACAAGCCCAGGCGCCUAAACCAUUUGCCUGGCCCAAUUAGCACCUGUCCAUCGUGGCACUCCAUUUACAUUGAUUUUUUUUUUUGAUUUUGAACUAUGCGUCAAUUUCGCCUCCAAGAAGGCCGGCGAUCCGUGAUCGUCGGCCCUCGCCCUGAAUGUUCGCGUCUCAUCGGCUUGUCCGCCCAUUGCACCACCGACAGUUGCCGGCGAUAGGCCAUGGGUUGCAGAACACCGACGAUCGCCAGAUGUUGGUGACCCAAAUCGUUCCUGAUGUUUUCCGCACCUGAUAGCAUCUCCGGUUAUCACCGGUGAUAGGCUAGAUGAGGACAAACGGUUCCCCGGAGAACUUGUUUUAGUGCUCACCGACGCUUUGUCUAGAGCAUCUCCCUUAUUAUCAGUUCGUUUGAAACUCCCAAUGUGUCCCAUACCCAAGGCUCACCCUUAGUCACCAUUCACUGCACGCGGCACCAUAAUGGUUGGGCUUAUCCUCCACCUUCAAUCUUGCCAGGUGCCACUCUGCUAUAAAAGAGGAGAAGUUAUAGUUUGGAUGUAGCCUACAUUUUUUAAUAACGUACAUUUUGUAGCUGCAUGAAGUAAAUUGAGCAUUUUGGCUUUUAUUGGAUCGUAAACACGCUAGAUAGCUUGAGGAUAAAUGUGACAAGUAUACCAGCUAUAGAUGAGUCAAUUAGGGAUGCAAGUGAGUGCCCGUUCCUUGCUACCGUUUUCAAAGUAUGAAGUAUCAGAGAAGCGAUUAUGAUCUGCCUUACCGUUUUCAGAUAAUAGUAAAUGCAAAUUCCUUUGUAUUGCUUUACCAUAGCCACUGCCUCUAGUUCCAUGCACACAUAAGCAUGAGAGUGAUAUACAGUUGAUUAGUUAACGCUAUGUUCUUAAAAUAUUACAUAGGAUGCCCGUCUUGCAGUAAGAUGGAAGGAAAAGUAUGGUGCUGAAAUACUGAACAAUUGCCAAAGGAAGACGCAUCUUUCUUCUAAUUUCUUUUAGAGAACCCCAAACUAGUAUACGACCAGUGCCUACAGUCAUGACUAUCUAUUAAUUCAGGAGUCGGAGCAAUCUAUCUAACCGGUUAAUCAUAAACUGCAAAUUGAGAAAAUAACAUGUGGUAGUUUCGUGAUUCUUAGGAUUUGGGUGCAAACUGUUUCGCAAUCUAACUGAUUAUCAGACUUUUCUAAUAAACAUGUAUACAAUGGACUUGUUUGAUUUACUGCAUACUCAAGUUUAAGCCUAGCUCAAUGCGCGCUCCGUCAUCUAGUGGACAGUAUUGUGUAUGCAAGCUUCACUAGAAGCAGGUAAUUACAUAAGUUAGCAAAAGGCUGACUACCCUGAUCAGAGUGACAGUGCAUGCGCUGCUCAAAUUCUGGGUGUUACAUGCUCAGCUAACGCAAGCCAGAUACCCAACCAAAAAAUCCCGUUGCCUUGCUAGUCUGGGAUUACAGCUUGGGUAUUAGCAUCUUGAUCCAAAACUCGUGAUGUAUCCCAUGCCCAUUACAAAGCCCUUCAAGAGUGGCCUCUGAAUUGUAGUUACCAUUCUAUUCGGCAUAUACUCGUUAAUCUUUCCAGUUUUACGGUAGCUGUUCCAUACUAACGGAGGUGUGAAUUUUGUUUUCUGGGUGCUGUCACUCUUGCACCAAGAAGCAAGUGACCUUUUUACUGGAGUGUGUACUUUUAUAGUUAUACAUUGUAAAUUCAGAAUUUACGCUCUCAUCGGUCAUUCACCGGGUAGCUAUAUACACACACAUUGAGAGAAUGAAAGCACGUUGCAUUAUAUGCACAAGCACACUAUGUACAUUAUAUAUGGAAAGAGGCCUGGGGGGAGGGUUGUUCCAUAUUAAAGAUUUUCGGUGCUCCCUCUACUGAGUUUGCACGAGAUUAAAAGAUGGACCAAUGUGAAAUGAAAUGAUCGGGACUAUACUGUAUUGCUAGCUCUGAAGCGCUCUCCUGGUUUCACCGGCUCCACCAAUUGGGCAGAAAAAAACUUGACUUACCUGGAAACAUUAUAUUGGUGCUGGCAUACCAUAAGGUUGUUAUCUUACCCGGAAACAUUAUUCUGGUGCUAGCAUACCACCGGCUCCACCAAUGCUUGAUUGCAAGAUCACCCUAUCAUACCAUGGGUGUACGCCAUGGAAAAUUAUAUUGGCAACAGCACUAGAGAACUCUAAGCAUAGGACAGAGUCGCACAGGCUAGUCCUUGUCAAUAUGCAAGGAACCCUAUUGCUGUGGCAGUGGGUGCUCGACGCGUUGUCCUAUGUUGUGUGCAACAACUUGUGUAUGUGCCCGUCGUGUUUUCUCUGUAAGUAUUUUUCUUCUGCCGUGUCAAGUUUGUGAAGAGAAGAAGAAUGGCUUGCGAUACUGGUGAUGACUGGUGACGUCCUGGGAAUUCUGCAAGUCAGACUCGAUGUGACGGACAUCAGAUUCGAUGCCAAUAUGGUAUCUGGGUCCUCCAAGGAAGUAGUUAAGGGCAUCAAGCAGAGCCGGAUUGUACACUUGGGUUGAUGUUGCUGUCAAUGGUAGAACCAGCUGAGGGAUUUUGGAACAUAUAUAGCAACCAAAAGAAAAAGAUUCACAACUCCUUUAGUAUGGAAUAGAUCCGCAAAACUGGAGAGGGUGAAGUGAUGAUCAUGACUAUGCUAGCACGGAAUAUUGGGAAUUCAAUGGCAACCCUUGUAGAGCGUUAGGAUAGGGAUGGGAUUCAUUGGGAGUUUUAGCUUAAAUCUGAGGUUGAUAUCACGAGCCAUAUCGUGUCCACACACCAGCAAAGCUUGUGAGCUAGCUUGUUUGAAGGGUUCUGUGCAUGCUGGAUUGGUGUGAUUUUGGGAUUGAGAAUUUUGGUUCCCAUGGCCAAAGAUGGAUAUGCAAAUUCGAGCAGUUGAACUGCUUUCUCAUCAAGGGACACCGAGUAGCCGCCAGAUGCAGCGUAAACUGCUUCCCUAUACUAACUGUUUGUUCGUCAUCAUCUGUUCGAGGACACCGCGUAGCCACCAGAUGCAGCUGACUGCUCUUGUAGGCAUUUGAUUAACAGCGAUUGUCAAUUGGAUCUCACCGGCUGCCGCCUACCAUUCUAGGGCACGAGAUUACACUAGGUUUGUGACUAGUAUACUGAGAACGAUAUCAUGAUGGGGUGGGAUAAAUCCUAGAUACCCAUUAAAAAUGGUGCACAAUAUAGUUGUUAUUCUUUUUCUUCUAUGAGUAUGAAGCAUUGGAUUAUCCAUGUGCUUAUAUAUUGCUAUUCCAUUUCUUCUGAGAUUAUAAUCUUAAAUUUUUAAGACUAAGAUUGAGCGACAAUGCUUGCUUAUGGCAUAGUUUAUGGGCCUAAUAAGUGGCAUAAUGGGCUAUAGGUCGGGCGGUGAUGUUUAGCGCCUACAGAGUAUGUUAAAAUGUAGUCACCUUGGUGACGAAUUUUGUGAAGUGACGUAAUUUUGGUAGCAUUUGCAGGUGUUAAAUAUUGCAAAGAUACCAGACAAGUAUAAGUCCGAUCAAAAGAAACUAGUGAACAAACAAGAAGAUGAGACAAUGCACUACUAGGGAAUGGACCUCUCGUCCACGGCCUCAGGUCACUUUUUGGUCCUGGAUAGUCCCGGAGGAGGCACCUGUGAGGCCCUUUAGUACCGGUUGGGGGCAACAACCGGUACUAAAGGGUGCACAUUAGAAAACCGGUACUAAUGCGCCACCCAUCCUUUAGUCCCGGUUUGUCAAUUAUAGUUAGAAAAUGUAUAAAUAUUAGUCAUUCAUUUUCAUAAUCGUUUUUUGUAAUUAUAUGUAUAAGUCAUAGUCAUUGUUAUUAUAAUAGUCAUUUUAUUUUUUUUAACAAGUUGUAUAAGUGUAUUAUCCUUUUUUAGUCAUUUAUUAUUGUUAUAAAUUGUGUAAGUGUUUAAUUCUUUUUGUAGUCAUUCUUUUUAUUGUUGUUGCCUACUAUUUCUUAGAAUAAUUCCUUUUAUAUUAUACUAGUUAUAAUGGCACGAUCAAAGGACGAGUAGGACGCUCGAACGAUAGAGGAGCUCAUAUUUCAGUUGAUUGCUAAAGGCGGCACAAACGAUCAACCAAAUGAAAAGAUUGAUCACAGCCAAGCUGACAUCUACCUCAACAUGUCUGGUGAUGGUAACGAGGAGCAACCGAUUGCCGAGGAAGGCAAUGAGGAGCAACAAAUUGCCGAGGGAGGCAGGGAUGGGCAACAAGGCGAGGUAUAGCAAUUAUUGUAUGUAAACAUUAUUUGAAUUCUCUUCUUAUUGAAAGAAACAUCAGCACGCAACAAAUUGUUGUUUUCAGCCAUCUGGAUCGAGUAGCAGGCCUCAAAAGAAACGAGGCAAGAACAAGAAGUUAGAGGGCUGUAUCAUCAUCACAGAAAAUGCUGAAGAUGGUGAACCGAUUGCUCCUGCCAAUGCUAAGACAAAAUUGGUGAAUCAGAUUGGGUUUCUUGUCAGAGAUAACAUCCCAAUCAACUUUCAGAAUUGGAAAAAACCUCGUCGCUUCAACAGGCAUGGUCUCGGCCCCCAUAAGCUUCGUACCUGACCUAGAGAAGAAUAUGUUACGGGAACAAUUAAAAGAUAACUUCACAUUCGAAGGUGUAGAGGAAGACAAAGUGAAAGAAUGGGGCUUCAAGAAGGCUGCAAUUGCUUUUCAGAUGUACAAGAAAAACUUGAACAAAGAGUACAUAAAGAAGGGGCUUACACCUAAUUUUAAUAAGCACCCGAAGUUAAGGGAUCACUGGGAUUCCUUUGUACAGUUCAAGCAAUCAGAAAAGAGCCAGUUGCAAACUCGGACCAACACCGACAGUGCUCACAAGAAGUAAUACUUUCAUUAUCUUGGGACAGGAGGUUACAAGUCAGGGAUCAUAAAAUGGAAAAGGAUGGAAGAUGACCUAAUUGCUAGGGUAAUAAUACUACAGACUCUCGAAUGUCCUGAGCGAGCAAAGAAUUGGUUUUAUGCUCAUGGCAGCACGCUCAAUCCCGAAGAUGGAUCAAUUGUGUUUGGCAAUGAAUUAAGAGAAGUGGCUACGAGACUUGAUGACUUAUUAAAGAAAACGGCCCAUGGAUCUUUCGUGCCUGAUUGAGAGAGGGACGAGCUGACUAUAGCACUUGGAAAUCCUAAACACCCUGGACGAUGCCGAGGCAAAGGAGUCAUUUUGUGGAAGUUUGCCUUUUCUGAGCACAUUGAUUCAUAGAGAAGUCGCCAAAGAAGUAAGGCCGACCACGCACGAUAGCUACGAGAGUUGCAAAAACAUGUAGCAGCAUCAGAGGCAAGAAUGGAGGAAAUAAUCGACUGGCGUGUGGUGCUAGCUUUGAGCAAACAAGCCAGUGAACAAGCAGUUGCUGCAGCAUCAGGGCCACAUGUCGAUGUAAGCCCGACUCAGCGUUGAAGCAGUGUUGCUUCCACGGAAGCCCCAGUUGGAGGAUCCUCUGAGAUACUUGAGGACAACCAACGCCACCUCAUGGACGGCAUCACUGGGAGAGCCCCUGUGAGUUUGUUACUCCCAUGAAAAACAAGCUCAUCAUGGUGGCUUAUGGUGUGGCUAAGCAACCGACGCAAGGACAAACAAUUCAUGGCGUGGAGAUUCCAGCUCGCGGUUACGCCAAAUUUGGGGUGGACUGAGUGGUCAACGGUUGGGAUGACCUGGAACUAGAGAUCCCUGGAGGUGACGGGGAAAGGAAUCUAGGAGAAGCCAUCCAUGGUUGGAUUCUGUGGCCCAAGCGCUACAUAAGGAUUACGCAGCCAAAUCCCCCGACCUUGGGAUCAUCUCCUCAAAGCUCAAGGGCAAGAUCACCUACACCAUCUGCCAGGGCACCCUCUCCACUACCAUACAGGGAUCCUAGCAUAAGUCCAGUACCAAAAAGGGAUCCAAGAAUGAGUCCACCUCCACCUCCCAUGAAGAAGCCUUCAGUUCCACCUCCACCUCCUAAGAAGAAGCAGAAUAAGUGGAAGGAGAAGCAACUAGUGCCUAAAUUACCAUACGACAUGACAGAUGAGGAACUCCGCGUAGCAGUGGAAGCUGAGAAAAAAAAAGCUUUCUACGCAAGUUGUGUAGAGCGAAAAAAUAGAAAGAGCAGCCACCACUUGAUAAGGGUAAACUUCAGGCUUUCAUCAGAAGUAUGGAGGAAGAGCAAAGGAAAUAGUUAGAGAAACCAUCGCUAUCUGAUUACAAUAGGCAGAUAACAAAGGUUUUUAAGUAGGGGAAGAAAAGUGGGUCAACUAUUCCUCAACUUGGAGCCCAAUCCAACCAAUCAGUUGCCCUACUCAAGGUUCUUUUUGAGUUUGAUAAGAACCUACUCAAUUCGCUAAAAAUACAAAACUCACCGUAGCUUAACUUCAAGGGGAGGAUCACAUCCCAAAGCACCCUGGGGCUGCUAAAUGAAAAUAUGAGUAUGGGAAACCGCUUGUGUGGCCACAGUUGGUGGACCGUCUCCCAACGAAGAUGUACAAGUUGCACCAAUGGUACAUAGAGGCCACAGCAGAGGGUUUUGCCAUGCUCGAAGUUCGGAUUGGUGAUGAACAUUUUUUCCAUGGGGAUGACAUCAUAAAUAUGCCGCUGGAGGAAUUGUAUUUCCUGUUCAAUCAAAACGCACUUGACAAGUCACUCAUCAGUUACUGGGUUCUAUAAGUCUUUAUUAUAUUCCUCUAACUUCAAAAUCCCCGCUCUAGUCAAUUUGCAAUGUCUUAACUCCUAUUCGAUUUUUUAUCAUGCAGGAUGGAGAUUCAAACCUGUCGGAGGAAUGGAUACUAUGAUGUAGGCUUCAUGGACCCCGAUGUUGUAAACGAGGCAAAUCUAAGAGAUAAACCAAAUCGGACCUUGAAGAAUAUAUAUAAGUUUAUUGACAAGCAACAUUACAAGAAGUACAUACUGCUACCGUACAACUUCAAGUGAGCGUGUUUCCCAUCUCUUUCAUUUUCAAACUAGCAGUUAAGCAUAAGACUAACUAGAUUUAGUUUGGCUGUGCAGAUUCCAUUGGAUACUCAUUGUUGUUGUGCCUGAUAUGAGCAUCGUAUAUGUCUUUGACUCUUUGAGGAAACCAAAACAAGAAUACAAUGACAUCAUAGAUGCUAUGAAAAAAGCAUGGGCUCGAUUCUGUCGAACUCACGUGGGUGAAUUCAAGGAAGAACUUCAAUGAAAGUCUGAAUUCCCGGUAUGUGUUGAAUUUUCACAUCUCGUGACACUUUCUUUAACACAAUAAAUAUUUCAUAACUUUUUUUUCCAUGUAUAUAGUGUUCGAGAUAGGAGCCGCAUACUAAUUUAUGCAGAUACUAUGUAUGUGAGUUCAUCCAUGGCCUUGUAGGUCUGAAGCGUAUGACCGACCACGAAUUAACCGUACGUAUACAAAAUUCUCAACAAUAAAUUAGUUCUACUUAGAAAAUUAACUCCUGUGUAUAUACUUCAAUAAUCAAUUCAUAUGCUUAUACUUCAAAAACCAAUUCAUGUGUAUAUACUUAGAAAAAUUAGAUUAAGUAUUUCAAUUUAUUUGCUUAUAUUUCAAAAAUAAAUUCAUGUGUAUAUACUUAGAAAACUUAGAUUAAGUAUUUCAAUUUAUUUUUUUAUACUUCAAAAACCAAUUCAUGUGUAUAUACUUAAAAAAAUUAGGUUAAGUAUUUCAAUUUAUUUGCUUAUAUUUCAAAUAAGUUUCAAUUGUGCAAACCCAUUGAUCUACUAUAUAUAUAAUAAACUUUCCCAAUGACUCAAAUGAUGUACAGGAAGGAUAGACUCUUCGACACGGAAGUUUUUAGGGCAAUACAAGAACAACUCUGUGGAUUUCUUCUGGACGAGGUCAUAAAUUCAGCGGAGGAGUUUCAUAAUGAUGGAUCAAAUCUACAUAACCAUCAGGACUCGAGUUCAGAAUAGUAGAUACAAUAUGUGUAUGCACAAUAUGUCUAUAUAUAUGUGUAAUAGUAUUAUGCAUAAUAUCUAUAUAUAUAUAUAUAUAUAAUAGUAUCUCAAAUGUAAUAUUAAAGAUAAAUAAAACUUUAUAUAUAUUAGCGUAGACUAGUAUACGUAAAGGAAACAAAUACGAAAUACAAAUAUAGAAUAAAGAAAUAGAAAAUAAGAAAAGAAAGGAAAAAACAAAUUAGUACCGGUUGGUGACCGGUAUUCAUUAGGCCACCCCGCGCGUGGUAUGGCAAGCCUUUUAGUACCUGUUGGGUACUAAAGGACCCCCUCUAGUACCGAAUUGCCAGUACCGGUUGCACAACCGAUACUAAAGGGGGUUUCCGACCAGCUUUAAACGUGGAUUCCUAGUAGUGAUGGUUACGACUUCAGCAAAACUUUUGGAGAGCUCAAGCAAUGCCGUGUUUGAUUCAGUAAUUUUUGGUCUGUAAGUGUAAUUUCUCUACUGCUGAUGCUAUCAUAUAGAUGGCCAGAUGGGCCGCCCGACAGUAGCCCAAUUUGGCCCGACCCGAAUAGGCCCCUCACUAUUAGGCCCGAUAGCUUUUUCAUGCCGGGCCGGGCCGGCACAGCGUGCCAAACUGCUAGCCCAGACCCAGCACGAUGGCCUUUUUAUCGUGCUGGCUGGCACUACCGUGCUAGUGCCUAGCCCGACACUGGGUGCACCUCCUAGCAGCGGCAGCCCCCGGCGGCGGCGGGCGCGCCUCCAAGCAGCGGCGGCCCUCAGUGGUGGCAGGCCUGCCUCCAGGCAGUGGCAGCCCCCGGCGGCGGCGGGUGCCCCUCCUUGCAGCGGCGGCCCCCGGCUGUGGCGGGCGCGCCUCUCGGCCGCGGCGGGCACCCCUCCUUGAAGCGGCAGCCCCCGGCAUCGGAGGGCGCCCUUCCAGGCAGCGGUGGCGGCGGGCGCGCCUCUCGGCCGCGGCAUCCCCCGGCGGCGGCUGGCGCGGCUCGAGGCAGCACCGGUCCCCAGCGGCAGCGGGCGCCCCUCCUUGAAGUGGCAGCCCCUGGCGGCGGCCCCCGGUAACGGCGGGCGCCCCUAUAGGCAGCGGUGGUCCUGGCGGCGGCGGGCGCGCCUCCCGACCGUGGCAGCCCCUGGCGGCAGCGGGCGCCCCUCUAGGCCGCGCCCUCAGCGGCGGCGGGCGCCCCUCCCGGUCGCGGCGGAGGUGUGAGGGGAGGGAGGGCUGAGGGGCGGCCGUGGUGGUGUCAUGGGAUGGAGGGGUGGCGGAUCGACGGUCGAGCGGUGGAGGCAUCACGGGAGAGAGGGGCACCCUGCUGCUGUAUGUUGGGGGAGUGGAGGAGGGUAAAGAGUUAGAGUUUUUUCUGUAUAUAUAUGGACUUGUGGGUUGCUCAUCAAACGGUUGGGAGGGGAACGUAUGCUCAUCCAACGGUUCGGAGGCGGGGGGUUGCUGGGUAUCGGGCCGGCAUCGGGUUGGCUCCAAAAUCAUGUCGGGCUCGUGCUGGCCCAAUGUGCUGGGGAGGCGGCCCAGGCCUGACCCAACGCAUCAUGCCGGGCCGGCUCGGGUACCAUUCGUCUAGUGCUGGGCUUUUUAGUGCUGGGCCUCAGGCCGUCCAGUGGGCCUGGCCUAUCUGAUCAUCUAUAUGCUAUCAUCAGUAAGAUUGCUCCUUGGCCUGUUCCCUUUGCACAGUUGUCAAGACUAUUCUACAGGAGCAAUUAAUUAAAUAGAGCGAGGAUGAAAGGCCAAACAGGUCAAAACACGAAACGAAGCGGGAUUAAUUAUAUGCAAUGGAAAGGAGAUGAAAUCUGCCUGGACAUUGAGCGCUUGAAACCUAGCGAGCUCACAAGGAUGACUGAACACGAGCCUUUGCGCGAAACGCUCCCUUCCUCUUCCAGCGAAUCAGUGAUGGGAAGGCCAAUUGCCGUGCCAUGGAUUGCAGACGGAGUUCGCAGACAUGAAGCUUCGCCGCCGCAAGAGAGCGUGCGUGAGCGGUGGGCUCGCCGCGCCGCUGGGCAUUCCUAACCACAGUGCGGUACAAGGUACCUGCAACUGCAAGGCUGCAAGGGUGACAGCACGCGCACAACGGCACAGCCGCGCGUUGGGCACGCCCUUGGGGUCCGUUUGCUUUCUGCCUACGCAGGCCCUGCCAAUCUGCAUCAAAGUGUGGCUUGCCAAUUCUUUGGCGACACCACACGGAGGGAGUAGGAUAUAAUCCCAACCAUGCAUGUCACAUGAUGUGGAUCGAACUGAAUCUUUCCUACCCCUUACUCCCUUACCAUCAAAACUCGAUUCCUGCCCUCCCUGCUAGCGGUUACUAGUCAGAAACAUUAUGUUGAGUCACCAUUUCAAUAUGAACUAUGAAGAGCUGCCUCGAUUAAUGGAAUCAUGGGGAUGGGAUGCGCCAGGAAUUUUUCAUUGGGGACACAAAUCCUUGCCAAUCCGGAUCACUGACACCUGUGUCGUUGCGUGUAGCAGCUAUGUGGCCGACGGAUCCCCUCCAGUGGAGCAAAAAUUGAAUGGAAAAUGUCCAGCUUUUCGGAUUUUGUAGGAUCCCUACAUUAAUAAUAUCGGGGAGAUCCAAGUGACAAUCACAGUUAAUCAAACCCAUAUCUGGAGGCUACGUUGUUGCAUUGUUAACUCAUUGGCUAGGCUGAAUCCGUGAAGGGUUAUGAGAUGUUCAAUAGCAUGGGGUCGAGUGAAAUCAAAUGGCGACCCAUUAAGAGGUUUCUAAUAGGAAUGGGAUACAUCAGGAGUUUUAGCUCAGGAAUGAGCUUAAAAUGAUGAGCAAUUGCAAUUGUGUAGUACUUCCAUGCUAGCAAGGCACUUCUAACAGUUGUCACGGCCUAGCGUUUCUAUAAUUUUCAAUGGUGAAAAAACCAAACGACGGUGUGUCUGUGUGUUUGUAACAUCCUGCCUUUUUAGAGCAUUUAAAAAUACAGAUUUAUUAAAAAUUUUCUUUAAAUUUAAUACAAAUUCCUUUUCUCAAAAUUAUUCAACUUCUUUUACUUUAAAAACUAUGCAUUGAACCCACAUAUGUGCUGCACUUGGUUGCUUUAGUAGUCCUUCCUAAGCAUAGAAUUAAAACACAUUCAAAUCUAACCCAUAACUCCUAGGAAAGAUAUUUCUUUUCUUGAAUUAAUAUUCAAAUAUAUUUUGAAUACUAAUUUUCAACUCAAAUCCCUAUAAGGCUCUUAUUCAACUUCAACCACACUCAAACCCCAUUAAAUUCCAAAACCCUCCCCAAAAGUCUCACCUCUAUGGCCAACUCAACCCUCUAACUUAAAUUCACCUCAAAUUUGAAAACUAGUUCAAAUUUGGAUUUAAUACCACAUUUAAACAAAUGCAAAACCACAAACCCUACCUACGGGCCGCAAACUUCAUCUCUGGACCAACCCUGCUUCCGGCCAAGCCCAUCUCCACCUCCACCUUCCGCCUUUGGGCCAAUCCAGCCUCCCGAUCCGCUCUCUCGGCUCGGUCGGCCACCCCGCUAGCCCACUCAGCCACGCAGCCCAACAUGCCAAAGCGGCCCAGCUCCCCUCCAUGGGCCAGCCUACCUUGGCCCAUUCCGCACGCUCGAUCAGUGCCACCGUUGCCGUCAUUCCCUCCCUCCCCGUCGCCACAUGCCGCACCGCUGUGCCAUACCACGCCACCUAACUACACACCGCUCUGCCGUGACACCACCAGAUCCCUCCCCCCUUGCUCGCUUCGCGCCCAUGCAAGCUCUCCCUCCCCACUGUUGCACGCCGCACCGCCACGCCACCACCAUGCCACUGCACUGUGCGCUGCCAUGCCGUGCCGCCACCAGAUCCCUUCCCCCUAUCUCGCUUCACACCCACGCAAGCUCCCCCAUCUCCCUAUCCUCCUCCGCCCUCAUCCACCUUGCCACACCACCGCCUGCCACCCUGCCGCCGCAUUGCCACCGCUCUACGCCGCGCUGCUCUGCUGUGCUACCGUGCCAUGAGCCGCACCAGUACCUCCCCCCUUCUCCUCGUGCGCCUUAGCCCCUAAGGCAGCCCAUCCAUGUCCCCUGCCACCUUUCCCGCUGGCGACACCUCACCAUGCAACUGCUGCACCCCAUGAAUACCAUGGCAGUGCAUCUCCCCCUCCCUUUUCUUCGCCGUUAAGCCACCUUCGGCCAUCCUUAUCCCACCGGCAUGAUGUGGCGCCCUCCCUGGCCCCUCUCCUCACCUAUAAAAGGUCGUCCCCGUCCCUCCCCGGAACUCACACCACUGGCCGCGGGAGCACAUUCCGCCCUUCCAUGGUUGUGCCCCUUCGGCCCUCCUCUCCCCUCCAUGACCCCUAGCUGCACUCCCUAUGCACCCGUCUCCCUCCCAUAGCCCUCCGUGGGGCUGGCGGUGACUAGGAACACCUUUCCGGGGUGCUCCGGUGAGCCUUGCGGUGGCACCCAUGGAGGCGUUGCCCGACCCCAGCCAAAACCGGCACCCAUUAUGCCAUCCCCAUGCCACAUUGUCCCCGUCCGUUCCUUCCCUUUCCCUGCCACACGGGCCCAGCCCCAAACACCGUUCACCCGUCGUUCCCCUCUCUCCCUCCCUGAUCCGUGCGCCCGGCUCAUGAAGAUCGGCUGCACAGCUAUGCCCAUGGUCCACAACCUAGGCCCACGGGCUCAUAGCACAGUGACCCAAGGACCCUACUCGCGCCAUGCCAGCCUGGGGAAAAUGCUAUGUACACCCGGUAAGUGCACACCACCUUUCACUUCAAGCCCCUCCACCAUUCCAAAAAUUCCCAAAAUUUUUCCAAAGAUACUACAAAAUAAUCUAAGCCUAUCCAUGUCACUCUUUUCCAAUUGUCAUCCCAUAUAGACCCUUUUCCAAAAUAUCGUCCUUGCACAUAGUAGAAAACCCUAUAAAAGUGCACCUGGAAAUUCGCGUCUCGCCUGUCCAUGUUCCAAAAACCCUAGGAAAAUUCCUAAAAAUAUCUUAGGGCCACCUAAGCCUAUUCCUAUGCCUAUCUUUGGUCAUCUUGCCCCGGCUCCGCCUCAGUGGCUGAAGUGAGUCUGUCGAGCAAGCUCUGGCCUCAAUUCUGCAUCCACUUGAUCUAGCCCGAGCUCCACCCUAGUGGUCAAAGUGAGUUCGUCGUGCAAGCUCUCUAGCUUCCACUUGAUCUUGCCUGACUACAUUGUAGCCAUGUGUACUAUCCCCUGGUACCAAGGUAGAUCAACUGUCGCACAAGCUCUCAAGUUCCACCCUUACCCUAGAUAAGGAAACUUGACCAGCUCGACCCGUCGUAGGGUCAAAGCCGAGCUUGUCGUACAAGUUUCCUAAACCUUGAAAUCCACUCCUACCACCCAGCAUCUAAUUUUACCCAAAGCCUAUUCCAAAACCCAGUUGGGAUGUUGCCCGACUAAAACCCUAAUCCUUAACCCCAUCUAGCCAUAGUGUCACCCAUCGAAAAUCUCAAAUUAUUCCAAAACCCAGCCGCUGUGCUGCCUAAUUCAAACCCUAGAUAUCGACAAAACCUAGCCGUCAUGCCGCCCAUUCAGAACCCUAGGAAAUCCUUUAAUAAUUUCCUAGAAAUUCUUUUAGAUUCCAACCAUUCCAUCCAUUAAUUAUUUAGAAAUCCAUUUCUAAAUAAUUCACUAUUCCCCUUUAUCUGGGAAUUACUCAUUAGAUAUCGGAUAAUUCCCAAAACCUUCAUCAUUCAUUCCCUUCCAUUUCCUUAAGCUAGGUAUUUAUUGCUAGAAUUGUUUGCUUGUUUGAGCCAAAGAUGGGCUGGCCAGGAGACAAGGAUCUCGAAGGUAUGAAACCGAAGGUCCGGCCAUCCAAAAGACCCAUAGAAUGCCCAACUAGGCUCCAACAAGAAGCUGAGGAUCCAGAAGGUAGGAAGCCAAGUCCCUGGUCAACCUAGGAAGCUUAAUGAAGGCAAGUCCUAGCAUCCACCCCUUGAUCAUAUUUUUAUCCUAUAAUUAUCUUAAAUAUUAAAAUCAACCAAGAUAGUAACUUGACUUGCAUAUUCCUCAAGACCAAAGGAGCAGCCCACCUCUAUUUUUCCUCCUGCCUUGUCUUGAAGCCGCUCUAACCCAAAAAUCCUAUUACUGACCCCGAUCAUGACUUGAUCAAUGAUCGAGCGUCAUUAUAAAAAUAGAAUUUCAUAGGAACAAUACACACACAAUGUUUUCAUGGGAAAACCCAAAAAGGCAUGAGUUCUAGGGUAAAUAUAAAAUGAACCAACUAAAGAGUUAGAAACCAUUAAGGACAUGACAUGGGAGUAAGGGGGCAGCCUCGAUGGAGGAUUCUGUCCCAAUGCUUACUCCGGUCAUAUAAGGAUCGGUUCACAGGAAAGUCUUUCUAGUGAUCCGUACAGCCAUAUGUGCCAAAAAGGUACAACUUUUGGGAGUGCCUAAUCAUGCGAGGCCUUAAUUCACACCCCAUCAACUGAACCUAGUAAACCAUCCCAAGGGGCCACGCUGGGCAACAGGUAGACUGGAGCACGACCUUCGCAUAGUCCCAGGUCCAAUCAGCACGGGUCAUAGGUUGAGGUCUAAAGGACCUUGUGGCAUUAUAUGCCACAUUAUGAUGCAUCUGUUUUCCCAGGAUAGUGUCCCUGUGUGGACGUAGUAUGGCUCCUGUUUACCCCAGUCGUAUCUGUGGAUGGAACUAGGAAAUGUUGUCUAGAGAUAGACACCGAUGGGUACAGGUCUCGUAGGUCAAUACCGCCUAUGAUCAAGGUAUGGGUUGAUCGAAUGUAUGGGUAAAGUGUACACCUCUAUCAGAGGAAAGUGUAUUGACCUACGAGACCUGUCUAAUUUCCUUCUCUAAGCCCAGCCCAACUCCACCUCCCUCUCCUUGUCUCCUUCCUCCUGCAGCCGAGCCCUCGGGCGAGGCGGAUAAGGGUCGGUGGAACAGAUAGGGUCGGGCGGAUAAGAGGGGUCGAGCGAAGCGGACUGGGGUCGGCAGCUUACCUUCUUCCUACAAGGAAAGCUUGGGGUCGGGAAGAAGCAGACUUGGGCGGAGGGACUAAGGCUCUGAACAACGGCUAAGUCCGGCAAUGCUCCGGCGGCGGCGGUGCUUCUUGUGGAUCACAAGUGAGCUUUUACGCAGCACGGAGGAGCAAGCGGCUGGGGUGGCUUGGGGAAAAUGGAGGGGAGCUGAGAGGAGAGUUCCUUAGGAACUUAGGGUGCGGCACUAGGAGCAAGGAGCAAGAGAAUUGGCGGAAGGCAGCAAUGGCGGAGGGAACUCUGGCGGGCUUGCGCAUUCCCUUUUAUAGCUGCUGGAACGGGGAAGGGAAGCGGCGUAGGAGCGAGAAGGGGAGCGGCACGAAGGCCGGGGAGAAGCAAUGGAGUGCUCUGCCUGGGCGGCGAUUGAGCGACGAGGGCGGUGGUGCAGGACUUCGGGGAUGACGCCAGCGGUCAUUAGGCUCUGGCGUCAGGGCGGCGCAGGAGCGGGUAUGCCGGUGGUUGAGAUUUGGCGGAGGCGGGCGUCGUCGUGCGGUAGAUUUGAUGGACGCGACCAGUUUAACAGCGCUAGAAUCGAGGGCGCACAGGUGAGAAGACAGGCAGCCGCGGGCGAGCGGGUGAGCGCGGAGCAACAGAUUGUCGGGCGGCUUCUGACAGGGCGGGGAAAGGAGCUGUCGCUGCUGUGGUCGGGGUUGGCGAAGGAGGAAUUGUCGGGUAGCGAAGACCAGGCGGCGCGACUGUGUUCGAAGUGAUGGAAAAGACGGGCGACAUCGGGCCCUGCGGCCGGGAUCUGGCGGUGUGAUGAUGGGCGCGGGAGGCGAGGUGCUGCAGAAAGGUUGCAGAGGGGCUUCCGCUGCCAUUGGGGAAGGGGGUGCGAGAAUCCAUUCGGUCGCGAGCCAAAGACAAGGCUGAGCGGCGGGCGUCGGAGAAGAUGAGCCACGCGGCGGGGAGACUCUGAAGCGGGCAUGCAACUCGAGUGCGCCUGUCGCGGAAGAUCGGGGGAAAAAGAUCUCGCGGAUCCACUGGUCAGAUAGAACGGACGUUUGGGAAAGACUUAAAGGGAUCCGACGGCGAGCUGGGUUUGGCGGGGUCGGAAAUCAGAGCGAAGCGGGGAGGGGUCGGGUCUCAGGGGUCGGGACCGGUCGGGAGGUUGGACACUUUGGCUCGGAAAACUAGACAGGUGAUCAGGGGCUAGGAUUAAGAUUAACUGGGAAGAUUGGGGCCGGUCGUCACAGUGUUGCUUUGUAGUGUUGUUUAGAUUUCUCUAGUAGCUUCCUUGCAAUCACUACGUGAUCAUCGGCUGCCUUAUAGCCGGUCACUUUAACAGUAAAUCGGCCGAUUCGCUGAUAUGCUUUUCAAGACAGAUCGGAACUUUAGCCGAUCGAAACCAUUGGAAUUUAAUAUUUUUAUUUCCUUGUCAAUCAACAAGUCAGAUUGACUAGCACGCUGUACGAACCGCACCAGGGCGAUAACUCGAACAGGAGUUAAGCAGAUUCUCCUGGGUCGUGUGUUCGACGCUGAUGGUCAUCGGCCGAUUUUUAGCACCAACACUAAUAUAGUUCUCAUCACAUAUUAGUAUCAUAACAAUAAAAGGCGCAUUAAAAGGUAUAUAUAGGUUUUCACCUUUAAGCAGCGGAGUGUGGUGUAGCUGCCCAUUCCACCAGCAAAAGAGGAUGCAGCACCGAGAACCCUAAACUUGUACAAAUGAAAGUAAGGCUGAGUACACUUAUGGUUGGUACUUAGAAAAUCUUAGCGUUGAAAUUAUAUUAUAUGCAGCGAUGGUCAAGGAAAGGGUUUGGUUUAAUUAAAAGAAACUUAUUUUAAUGCAGGGUAUUAAUUUCCUUCUCUAGGCCCAGCCCAACUCCACCUCCCUCUCCUUGUCUCCUUCCUCCUGCUUGUUGCCUGUCCACGCUCGCACGCACAACACGCGCCCGAGAAGGUCGCACCUCAACCACCCCGCUCAAUUUACCGGCAGCACCGUUACUCCACCGUGCAGCACUCCUGAGGCACGCCAUCGUCUCUCCUCUCAUACAGCUGUAGCCGCAACGAUGACGAGCAGUCGUACGACCCACGGCGGGAGAGCACAUGUGCCGCUGUACCUUUGUAUGCGGCAAAGGCUGAGUCUAAAUCCCACUAGCUAAUCUGUAGUCGUCCGUAGGCAAGUGUUGCAACGGGAGGUCAUGGAGCAGGCGUAAGCAAAUGCAUGCUUAGCGACCCAGUUGGAGACCUCAUUGGAAGGUCAUAAACCCCUAGUUAGCUUCCGUGGAUGACUAGUUGGGAUUAUGCCACUAGUAGAGAAUUGGCUUUCGAUGCCUCUUUUUAUUCCGGUUUAAAGUUGGCUCGGGACAAAAGGUUCACCAACCGAGACUAAAGCUCGAUCACUGGUGGGGGGCUCACCAACCGGGACCUUUUAUCCCGGUUUGAAACACCAACUGGGAUAAAAGACCCCCCUUUUACCCCGGUUGGUGUUAACACCAACCGGGAUAAAAGGGUCGAGAGCCUUUUAUCCCGGUUUGUAAUACCAACCGGGAUAAAAGGGGAUCAUUUAUCCCGGUUGGUGUUUCAAAUUGGGAUAAAAGGGUCCCCAACGAGGUGACUAAAAGAGGACUAAAUCCCUCGAACCCUUUUAUCCGGGUUUGUAAUACUAACCGGGAUAAAAGGGGAUCUUGGUAUCAUGAAAAAUUGCGUGUGGGGGGCCUCCUGGGAGCAUAGGAUUUUUUUUUGCGGUGCCUGGUGUGGUGACCCGUUUUAUCCCAGUUGGUAGUCCCGGUUUAGUGACCAGGAUAAAAGGACCCCCUUUUGUCCCGAUUGGUUUAUCCCGGAUGGAUUUCCAGGAGAUUUGCACCCUACCAACCGGGACUAAAGGCCAAUUCUCUACUAGUGUGCUAUGGUGGGCAAUGGUUUUGAUGGAUCCGUGCUGUCAAUCACUACGGUAUCAUGAUACGGCACCCUACUGGUGAGUAAAGUACACGUUAAAUUCUAUUCGAAUAUAACCAUAUCCACGAACUAACUAGUUGUUUUUGGAAAAUGGUUUAUUCUUGAUGUAACUAAAGUGUGAGUUAAAUUUUGGAAAUGAACGGCUAGAUUGGCAUGUGCUACCAUGGACAGGGUGUGCAGUAGUACUUGUAGGAUCACUCCACUCUUUCAUAACUAUGGGCAGCCACCCAACCUCUUUUUUUUAUUUUCGCAAAAUCAACUGUGAUGGUGGGUGACAUAACCACCCGCCACCACAGAGAGCCAUCUGUGCUCGCUCAAAGUUACUGGCGGGUGCUAUACUCGCCAGCAUAGAGCCAUUUGGCCCGCCAGCAAAAAUCGUUUUUGGCGUAGCGAAGAUGUCAAAAGCGUAGGAUAUGCUAUUUACUAGGUCUUACCGUUAGAUUGAUAUCCGACGCCUCCUGCUAGUUUGAAAAACUUACAAGUUCAGGCACGUAGCGUCACCCUUGUAUUGUCUGCUUUGGUACCUGGAUCUAUCAAUCACUCAUCGAUCUUGCCAGGAUGUCGAUCGUGCGUCACUCCAAAUCGGUCACUGUUCAACCCUCCAAAUCUAGCUGCAUAUGCACCGACAACUCUGGAUGAAGAUCGGGACCACGCAGCAUGCAUGCAUGCAUAAACCUCCAAACGCUACAUAAUAUAAGCGUGUAUAUAUGCAUGCAUAUACGUCGUUCUGAUGAAGUGCCAUCGAUGACGAUGGACCAACUGUUCUUUUAUUUGCUUGUCUAGGUAGAUCCGGUUUUGAUGGAAAACAUGUAGGGCUGGAUCCAACAUCCACCUGUUCGGUCGGUGGAUCGACACUGUCACACAGCUGCCACAGAUUUGCCAUUUUGUUCCGAGGUCUUUUACUAAGCACAAUAUUAUCUUAUACUACUGUUUCGAAAAAGGACUCGUAUGUAAGGAUCCAACGGUUGGAACCUUAAGCUGUAAUAUAGGUAGUAUAAGGAUAUCUUGUUAAAAGAACACAAAUGACAUCACUUAAAUUUUAUUUUUAACACUAGCAUAAAGUUUAAAAAGGUCAUUGCAUUUGAAAUAUCACUACUUUUCACAUGUAGUAAUUACUAAAUCAUCCGUAAUCAUGAACAUUUAAAUCUUAUAUAUAUCGUAAAAGAGCUCUUGUUUUUUCAUCCACUCAAGGUGUGUUUGGUUGCAUGUACCACAUGAUGCAUGCAUGGAUGAUCCUGGAUAGGGUGGUUCAACCAAUUUGCUUAUACCAUAUGGUUCACUCUGGGUGUGUUUGGUUGCAUGCACCACAUGAUGCAUGCAUGGAUAAUCCUGGAUGGGGUGGUUCAACUAAUUUGCUAGUUUGUACCGUAUGGUUCACUCUAAUGAGUAGAAUAAUAUAUUUAGUGGGAUGACCUUAUCCUGGAUGAGUUGGUUCCAUUCACCCAACCAAACAAAAAUAUCAUUAUUAUUUUGCAACCAAACAAAAAUAUCAUUAUUAUUUUGAAUCAAUUCAUACACGAACCAAAUGAUACAACCAACCAAACACACCCUCGUUCUCUCCGACCCGCUGCUGCUGCUUCUGCUCUCUAUAUAUGCGUACACACUGCCAGGCUAGCUAACGCACCGACAGCAACUCUGUUCCAGCCUCCCCUCAUGGCUUGCUGCAAGCUCUUCUCCAUCAUGUUGCUGGCCGCAGUCCUCGCCGCCGGCCCGGCGGUGGCGGCUGCGACGUCGGCACACCUGCACUUUUACAUGCACGACGUGACGGGCGGGCCGUCACCGACGGCCGUGCGGGUGGUCAGCGGCCCGCGCGGCUACUUCGGCAACACGGUGGUCAUCGACGACAAGCUGACCGAGGGCACGUCGCAGUCGUCGGCCACCGUGGGCCGCGCGCAGGGCUACUACAUGGUGGCGUCGGUGGCCAACCUGGAGCUCUUGGUGAGCAUGAACGUGGUGCUCACGUCGGGGCCGUACGCCGGCAGCUCGCUCACGGUCGUGGGGCGCGACGACGUCGGCACGCCGGUGCGGGAGCUCUCGGUGGUCGGCGGCACGGGGCAGUUCAGGAUGGCGCGUGGCUACGUGCUGUGGAAGACGGUCACCCCUGAGAUCCUCGACCUCGAGAUCUUCGUCAAUCCUUGAUCAAGACUGCUGUGUUCCGGCUUGGAUGGUGAGAUUGCCAAGGUAAACAGCUUGUUAACGCGUAGUUGUUUUCCUUUUGGCACUGAAUCAUUAUUCAUUUAAUUUGGCCGCCGUUCGUUCGUUUAAUUUGGUACAGUAGUCUGAACAACUUUGAUCCUUUGGUUUUAAUGAAGCAUAAGUGAAUCGCUGGCUAUCAUUUAUCUCUUUACUUGCGCUGAAUUUGUUGGUGCCUAUGUUUUACCUGAAGCAUAAUUGAAUUGCUGGCUAUCAUUCUUUACUUGUGGUUAACUUGUUGGUGCUUGUAACUGAAUACUUACAUUUGUUUUCCCGAAUAGGAAAAAUAUUACUCUCCUAAACUAUGAGUUAUGAGUAAUGUUUGUCGUUCCAAUAUCAGUCUCGAGCUGAACUCACUACGGGAAACAGUAAAAAUGUCAAGUGUUUUUACUUUCCUGAGUGUAAUUCAUCGGACACUCGGCAACCCAUGUAGACACUCGGCAUUUUUACUUUUUGCCGAGUGUCAUGGAGGAAACACUCGGCAAAAAUCAACACGGCACUCGGCAACUCUCUAGCACGUGACUGGCACGUGCGACGUUCGCCAGAUGCCCUAAUGGCUGUCAGAACAUUGCCGAGAGUCCGUUAGUGACACUCGGGAGAGUUAAGCUUUGCCGAGUGUUUUCUGUAGACACUAGAUAAAAUAAUAUUUGUUUUCCUCUCCUACCCUCCAAUCAUUUUCUACUCUCCACAUACAACAUGUGGUACUACAUGUUAAAAUUUGGUAUAUUUGUGGAUCAGUUUGCUAUAUUGAAUUAAUUUAUUGCAUAAAUAGGAAUUUUUUGGUUUAAGGCAAAUUUGAACGGCAAGUGAUUCAAAUAAUGGAAUAAGUUGAGUCAAAAAAUCAUAUUCAUGUUAUUGAGUCCAUUUUGGGGCCUUAGACAGGAAAUGAAAAGAAAUCUCGAACAUUUUGUUCAGAAAACACGACCACAAAUGUGUGGUCCAAUGAUUUUUAAAUUCUAAAAAAAGCAAACCAAGUCUUAAAAUUAUGAGAUUUGUCAAGAUCUCAUGAUAUCAUACGUGGAGGUUGUGAAAAAAAUUAGGAAGGUUUCGCACAUUUUUUCAUGUACGACACUUACAAACCAGAGUAUCUCCGAAGAAGAGUUUAGGAGUUCAGAAGGAUUUGUUAAAAUUUGGAGUCAAAGUGACGGUCGAGUUAGAGUUGGACUUCAAAAAUUUUGUACAGGCAAUAGACAGCAUAGAUUGGUUCAUGUCCAAUUUUGGAAAUUUUUGGGAUCUGUUUGAUAAUUUUAUUUAUUAACUGCAAUUAUAGAAUUUUAAUGGAGAUAAAUUAAAUUUGAGCGAUAACUGCAUGAAAUAAUGGAAUAGUAUUCAUAGAAAAAUCAAAUAUGUAUUGUUAAGUGAAUUUGAUAAGGUUUUUUCAAAGUAUAUCGGAAAAAAUUUAGUAAAGCACGUUAUGAAAGUUAUACAUACAUGAAAUAUGAAAGAACUUUGCCGAGUGUUUGGUCCCAGGCACUCGGCAAAGUCAAUGUUUGCCAAGUGUUUCCAGGACAACACUCGGCAAACGUAGUGCAUGGGCCCAUAACAGCGCCUGUACCGUUUCGAAAUUAAAAUAAAAAUAGGGUUUGUCGAGUGUUUUGGAUCGGGGCACUCAGCAAAAUACGGUUGCAGAACACACAAUAGAAAAGUUACUUAUGCAAUCUCUACUCCUUUGUGCAGAAUCAGUUGGCGGGAUCGAAUCAACCAUCGGAUCCAUCAGCUUGGUCGCCUCAGUGGCCAUCGUGGCCUCCUCAGUGACUUGUUGGAAACUUUACUUGUGUUGUGGUUAAACUAGAACUUAUACUUGUGGGUUACUUGUCUUAAGCAUAUACUUGUGGUUGUGAACGGAUCUUCUGAUGAUGACGCUUAUUUGUGUGUUGUGAAUGUUAUUUAUAUGCUUGUAAUGCUUAAUAUAUGUCUGUGAUAUUUGUUUGAGAGGGGUCCUUUAUACGUAAAAAAAA